CCAUCCCUGCUCUCUCUAUUCGGCUUACAGUCAUAAGUCAUCAACCAUGUCCUGUUUAUCUGUUUCCAUGCUAUGUUUCCUCCUUGCUUUGCUAACUCCCGCCAACCUCACUUCAGCCACCGGCAAUAUCGGAUUCAGCCUGCCUCUCGUGUCCAGCCACCACAAGCUCAACCACACAACCGGUGAAAUCGGGGAGCUCUUGCUGCCUGAGGGUGAUGUGACCCAUGAACGUACGACCCAAGGUAGCCCCUGCCGGUUGGCCGAUGUUCAGUGUCGUCGUCGGAGUCGGCAGCGGCAGAGGCCAGCACUUUUAUAAGCUCGCGCUGGACUUCGUGGGCAACCUCACAUGGAUCCGGUGUAAGCCUUGCACCCCGGAGGAGCAGCAGGAGGGCCCAAUCUUCGACGCUGCCCUCUCCCCAAAGUAUGCGUUUGUCCACACAACCAGCUUCUACUGCAAGCCCCCCUUUAUUGGCCACCAUGGUGACAAGUGCAGCUUCUCCGCCACCACUUCGCUCGCUGCCGCGCAUGGGUACCUGGCCACCGACUUGUUCAUUUUGGUGACACCAACACCGGUCAUAAGAGGGUGGAGGGACUCUUAUUCGGGUGUGCGCAUAGAGCAGAUGAGUUCUGGAACCACGGCAUUGUCGCUGGUGCCAUGAGCUUGAACAAAAAGUCGACGUCGUUCAAGUACCAGCUUGGCGAGCGCGGGUUCGCCACUUCAAAGUUUUCUUACUGCCUCUUCUACCACGGCCAACACACCACCAAGCAUGGCUUCCUCAGGUUCGGCAACGACGUCCCAAACCACGACCAUGCCCACAGCACGCCAUUGAUGCACUAUUGAAACCAUUGUACUACAUUGGCUUGGAAGGUGUUAGCCUGAACGAGAAGAUGCUCAUGAGAAUCGACCCAGGUAUGUUCAAGAGGGACUCGGCGAGCAAUCGCGGCGGCACCAUCGUCGAUGUCGGGACACGCGCGACCCGGAUGAUCCGUGCGGCGUAUGACAUCCUGGAGGCCGCGGUCAUCGCAGACCUACACCAUCGCCUCGGGGUGAGCCGUGCCGGAUACCGAGUACCGGGCUCCCGCCUCUGCUUCAUCGUGUCGAUGCAGGGGAUCUACCAGAAGCUCCCAAGCAUCACGCUCCACCUGAAAGAUGGCGCCGAGCUUACGAUCAAGUGGGAUCUGUUGUUUGUGACAAAAAUGCACCACGGAGCCCAACAUGUCUGCUUCCUAAUCUUUCCGGACGAGAAGAUGACGGUUCUUGGCGCCGCGCAGCAGGUGGGCACGCGCUUCACCAUUGACGUCGACAAUAAUCGACUCUACUUUGCUCCGGAGAAUUGCGCGAACGACAGUAGCUAGAUCAAUAUGUCUUUCUUUCUGAUGCACAUACAUGUCUGGUGCAAGAACUGCAUGCAUGGGGACAAAUAAAUAAUAAUUGAUCAGAACUAUUGGGGUGAUUUUCUCUCGGUGCUGGUUUUGGGCUAGAUGUCAAGAAAAUAUCGUGCACCCUUGUAAAAAUUGAUGCGAUUUGAUUUCAUACUUGCAAGAAUCAGCGAUGAAAAAAAACAUACACUCCCAAUAUUCAAGGACAUGACGUAUUGCUGUUAGCCUGUUAGUGUACACCUUUGUUUGUUGGAUAUGCCUGUCAGCAAGAUGUUCUUCGAACAUUUACCUUAUUUUUCAUUCUUUUAACAAGAUGGUGAUAGUAUCAUAGGUGUAUAUUCGAUCCCUCUCACCCAAACAUUAACCAGUUAUAGCGACCAUCUAGUGCACAGAGGGUGGUGCUGUUUGGUUGGUGGCCUGAUGUAGCGUAGGUGGCACUCACAGUCGCUAAAUCGGCUUUAACUUGUUGUCCUCUCCGUGGCGUUGAUGCAGGCUAAGAUGGCGACUUUGUCUCGUUGGGUUGGCGGAACCGCUCGUCUAGAUUGGAACGCUGUGUCAGGUACCUGAUGAAACUGGAGAAUAUGACAUGUGCUAGUGUUUCAACAGCAUAGUCGCGUGCGUUUAUGCUGUCCUGUUAUCUCAGGAUCUGACACAGAACGCUGUGUCAGGUACCUGAUGAAACUAGAGAAUAUGACAUGUACUAGUGUUUCGACAGCAUAGUCUCAGAGGCCUACCCUUCUCACCAUAUUGUAUCAUUCGGCCAUGUAUCCUUGGUGUUUUUGCUUUAUAUAUAAAGCGGGGCAAGAAUCUGUAGAGACAGGAGAAUAUGAUAGUAAUACUUGAAGACUGAAGUUGUGUGUUGUUUCCUGUCAACCGGGGAAGUCGUGCAUCGGACGGUUGAAGAGCAACUUACUUAUUCGCCGCCCCAUCUACAACUGCAACCGCAGAUCAUCCGUCUAAGGGCUCCCAGCGCUUCAGUUCUCCCUGUUAGCACUAGCUAAUUUAUAAAUUAUUUUUUCUUCUCCUUGCUUUGUAUCGUGUAAGGCUAUAUGAGCGAACACACCGAUCCGAGAGAUCAGUGACGAGCCCUCCAUAAGUGUUGACAUGUCACAGAUUGGUCACGCCGUUUUCUUGACCGUUAAGUUGGACAGAGGGCCCACCCUUUAGCAUGGUCAUCUCUCUCAGACCUUCUUCUCUUUGAGGGCAUUCCAACGAACACCUCGGGUGCAUGGGAAGAGGUGGGUGGUCAAACGUCAAGGAAAGGCCAUCGAGGCAACAUGGGUGGCCGACGCAGUGGCGUGAAGAGCAGCGAGACAACGACGCAAUGGCCUUUCCCGUUGGCAACCAACUCGUCAUGGAUUGGGUGGGGCGAUAGGAGGGUGAGCAUGGCCAUGCGGGGCAGCGGUGACCGGGAGGAGUGGGGCAGCCGAAUGUCCUUCUCUCCGCCUCCCACCAACAGGAGAUGGUGAGCACCAGUGCCAGUCGGAGCAACUCGAGCUACUCUGCUCAGAGAGGUGGCCGCGCUAUCUCGGCAACCCACGGGCGCAUCGCAUGUGAUGGGUGGCCUCUGGCCCGUCACUGGAGCAAGUCACCCGCAAGAAGCAGCGACAGAGUAUGCACUGGCAGCGAGCAGCACCGGCGGCAAUCCAUGACGGCGGGUGCAUGCGGGAAGGAGAGGUGUGGCAGUGAGGAAAGAAGGUGGAUGGGACCCACAAGUGGGCCCUCCUUUUAAUUUAAUAGUCAAUGUCGUUUGAGUUGACCAUAUGACCUGACCUGCUUAGCUGGCAUGCAAAUUAGGAUCUCUUUUUUUGUUUUGCGGGCAGACGUACAACUUGAUCACAUAUGUCAGGAAGGCUACUGUAGUAAUCGAGGAGCGCCUGAAUAAUGCUGAAAGGACGGAUUAGACUUGAUUUGGCUCUACCAGACGGACGUGAGAAGCUCUUUGUCUUGCUGCUGCUGAGGUCAUACCUGUUCACGUUGUAACAUAGAGUGUAUACCAAUGGAGCAUCGACGUAGUAUAUGCAGUUUCCGUCCACGGAUGGCAGCUUAUCUGAAUCAACAGAUCGACACCUGGCACCCAGGAAGAGCGCCCGGCUGCCAAUGUUCGUCACAGGUUCUAGCAGUUUCCGCUCAAUGCUGACCCUGAAAAUUUCCACGACGUCAUCUAUCUCGUACCCAUGAUUAACAAGGAUCAGUUCCCCAGCAGACUCUGUCAGAAAGUAGUCACGGUCGCCGCAGUCAAAUGGCUUGGCUAACAGCUCACCACGAUAGUCCGGUGCCGUGCCCACGACCUUGAAUAUCCUUCCAUAGUAGUCCACCGUGUAAGAGUGGCCGGCGUGGGACAGUAUGCUUGUAAGGAAGACCUUGUUGUCCUUGAAGCCUUCGAACUGCACCUUGCAGAGUUGGCUGGUCGUGUUGGCACAGUAAACCAGGUGGUUGUCGAAGUAGUCUGUAAAUGAGAAGACAAGCGUUGGGCUGGAGCCGACCACGGCAGUGAGCACAUUGCUUUCCUGAGGAAUGGGCGCCGCGAAGGGGAUCAUGUCACCAGUGAAGGGGUUGAGGAGACGGGCAGGGUGUCGGCCCUUGAUGUCGCCGAGGAUGAGGAGAUCAUCCGAGGCACUGACCAGGAUGUAGCCCUGGUCGUCGAGCAGAGGAAGGCAAAGCCGGAGGCGGCGCCCCAUGGAGAGGUUGAGGAAGAAGCGAUUGUCGACGCCAUGCACUGGCUUCGUUUGGUCGAGCAUGACGCAGUCGCGUGGGAGAAAGCGUGGGUCAGCACAGCGGAUUCUGGAGAUGGCUUGGGGAUGGAAAAGCGCAAGUCGUGGCAGAUGGCCCUCGUUUCCAGUUAGGAAACGACAGCGUCGGUGGUGGACAACAGCAUGUCAGCGACGACGAGCAGGGGAUCCAUGGGGAGGCACGACCACCCUGCCAUGAUGUACUCGUGCAUAGCUUGAAUGUGCGAGGGGAGAGGAGAGGACAGACGAGAGGAGGGGAAUGGAGGCACUGGUGGUAGGAUGAAGUGGUGUGCCGGUUGCAAGGAAAACCAAAUGUCCAUGCGGGACAACAGUGACCGGGAGGAGUGGGGCAGCCGAAUGUCCUUCUCUCCGCCUCCCACCAAUAGGAGAUGGUGAGCGCCAAUGCCAGUCGGAGCAACUCGAGUUGCGCUGCUCAGAGAGGCGGCCGCGCUAUCUCAACAACCCAUGGGUGCAUCGCAUGUGAUGGGUGGCCUCUGGCCCGUCACUGGAGCAAGUCACCCGCAAGAAGCAGCGGCAGAGUAUGCACUCGCAGCGAGUAGCACCGGCGACAAUCCAUGACGGCGGGUGCAUGCGGGAAGGAGAGGUCUGGCAGUGAGGAAAGAAGGUGGAUGGGACCCACAUGUGGGCCCUCCUUUUAAUUUAAUAGUCAAUGUCGUUUGAAUUGACCAUAUGACCUGACCUGCUUAGCUGGCAUGCAAAUUAGGAUCUCUUUUUUUUGUUUUGCGGGCAGACGUACAACUUGAUCACAUAUGUCAGGAAGGCUACUGCAGUAAUCGAGGAGCAUCUGAAUAAUGUUGAAAGGACAGAUUAGACUUGAUUUGGCUCUACCAUACGCACAUGAGAAGCUCUCUGUCUUGCUACUGCUGAGGUCAUACCUGUUCACGUUGUAACAUAGAGUGUAUCGUUGUGGAGCAUCGACGUAGUAUAUGCAGUUUCCGUCCACGGAUGGCAACUUAUGUGAAUCAACAGAUAGGCACCUGACACCCAGGAAGAGCGCUCGGCUGCCAAUGUUCCUCACAGGUUCUAGCAGUUUCCGCUCAAUGCUGACCCUGGAUACUUCCACGACGUCAUCUAUCUCGUACCUACGACUAACAAGGAUCAGUUCCCCAGCAGACUCUGUCACAAAGUAGUCAAGGUCGCCGCUGUCAAAUGGCUUGGCUAACAGCUCACCGCGAUAGUCCCGUGUCGUGCCCCCGACCUUGAAUAUCCUUCCAUAGUAUUCCAUAAUGUAAGAGUGGCCGGCGUGGGACAGUAUGCUUGUAAGGAAUACCUUGUUGCCCUCGAAGCCUUCGAACUGCACCUUGCAGAGUUGGCUGGUCGUGUUGGCACAGUAAACCAGGUGGUUGUCAAAGUAGUGUGUAAACGAGAAGACAAGCGUUGGGCAGGAGCCGACCACGGCAGUGAGCACAUUGCUUUCCUGAGGAAUGGGCGCGGUGAAGGGGAUCAUGUCACCAAUGAAGGGGUUGAGAAGACGGGCAGGGUGCCGGCCCUUGAUGUCGCCGAGGACGAGGAGACCAUCUGAGGCACUGACCAAGAUGUAGCCCUGGUCGUCGAGCAGAGGAAGGCGAAUCCGGAGGCGGCGACCCGUGGAGAGGUUGAGGAAGAAGCGACUAUCGACGCCAUCUGCUGGCUUCUUCUAGUCGAGCAUGAUCCAGUCGCGUGGGUGAAAACAUGGGUCGGCCACAGCAAAUUCUAGAGAUGGCUUGGGGAUGGAAAAGCGCCAGUCAUGGCAGACGGCCCUCAUUUCGAGGUAGGAAACAACGCCGUCGGUGGUGGACAACAGCAUGUCGGCGACAACGAGCAGGGGAUCCAUGGGGUGGGACGACCACCCUGCCAUGAUGUACUCGUGCAUAACUUGAAUGUGUGAGGCGAGAGGAGAGGACAGAUGAGAUGAGAGAAAUGGAAGCACUGGUGGUGGGAGGAAGUGGUGUGGCGGUUGCAAGGAAAACCGAAUGUCCAUGCGGGGCAGCGGUGACCAGGAGGAGUGGGGCAGCCGAAUGUCCUUCUCUCCGCCUCCCACCGGCAGGAGAUGCUGAGUGCCAGUGCCAGUCGGAGCAACUUGAGCUGCGCUGCUCAGAGAGCCGGCCGCGCUGUCUUGGCAACCCACAGGCGCAUCGCAUGUGAUGGGUGGCCUCUGGCCCAUCACUGGAGCAAGUCACCCGCAAGAAGCAGCGGCAGAUUAUGCACUGGCAGCAAGCAGCACUGGCGGCAAUCCAUGACAGUGGGUGCAUGCGGGAAGGAGAGAUGUGGUAGUGAGGAAAGAAGGUGGAUGGGACCCAAAUAUGGGCCCUCCUUUUAAGUUAAUAGUCAAUGUCGUUUGUGUUGACCAUAUGACCUGACCUGCUUAGCUGGCAUGCAAAUUAAGAUCUCUUUUUUGUUUUGCGGGCAGACGUACAACUUGAUCACAUAUGUCAGGAAGGCUACUGCAGUAAUCGAGGAGCAUCUGAAUAAUGCUGAAAGGAUGGAUUAGACUUGAUUUGCCUCUACCAGAUGCACAUGAGAAGUUUUCUGUCUUGCUGCUGCUGAGAUCAUACCUGUCCACGUUGUAACAUAGAGUGUAUCGCUGUGGAGCAUCGACGUAGUAUAUGCAGUUUCCGUCCACGGAUGGCAGCUUAUAUUAAUCAAUAGGUAGGCACCUGGCACCCAGGAAGAGCGCCCGACUGCCAAUGUCCGUCACAGGUUCUAGCAGUUUCCGCUCAAUGCUGACCCUGAAAACUUCCACGACGUCAUCUAUCUCGUUCCCACAACUAACAAGGAUCAGUUCCCCAGCAGACUUUGUUAGAAAGUAGUCACGAUCACAGCUGUCAAAUGGCUUGGCUAACAGCUCACCACGAUAGUCCGAUGUCGUGCCCACGACCUUGAAUAUCCUUUCAUAAUAGUCCACCGUGUAAGAGUGGCUGGCGUAGGACAGUAUGCUUGUAAGGAAGACCUUGUUAUCCUUGAAGCCUUCAAACUGCACCUUGCAGAGUUGGCUGGUCGUGUUGGCACAGUAAACCAGGUGGUUGUCGAAGUAGUUUGUAAACAAGAAGACAAGCGUUGCGCUGGAGCCGACCACGGCAGUGAGCAGAUUUCUUUCCUGAGGAAUGGGUGCGGCGAAGGGGAUCAUGUCACCAGUGAAGGGGUUGAGGAGACGGGCAGGGUGCCGGCCCUUGAUGUCGCUGAGGACGAGAAGACCAUCCGAGGCACCGACCAGGAUGUAGCCCUGGUCGUCGAACAGAGGAAGGCGAAUUCGGAGGCGGCGCCCGGUAGAGAGGUUGAGGAAGAAGCGACUGUCAACGACAUCCGCUGGCUUCUUCUGGUCGAGCAUGACCCAGUCACGUGGGCGAAAGUGUGGGUCGGCCACAACGGAUUCUGGAGAUGGCUUGGGGAUGGAAAAGCGCCAGUCGUGGCAGACGGCCCUCAUUUCCAGGUAGGAAACGACGCUGUUGGUGGUGGACAACAGCAUGUCGGUGACAACAAGCAGGGGAUCAAUGGGGAGGGACGACCAUCCUGCCAUAAUGUACUUGUGCGUAGCUUGAAUGUGCAAGGGGAGAGGAGAGGACAGACGAGAGGAGGGAAAUGGAGGCGCUGGUGGUGGGAGGAAGUGGUGUGCCGGUUGCAAAGAAAAUCGAAUGUCCAUGCGGGGCAGCGGUGACCGGGAGGAGUGGGGCAGCCGAAUGUCCUUCUCUCCGCCUCCCACCAACAGGAGAUGGUGAGCGCCAGUGCCAGUCGGAGCAACUCGAGCUUCCCUACUUGGAGAGGCGGAUGCGCUGUCUCGGCAAUCCAUGGGCGCAUCGCAUGUGAUGGGUGGCCUCUGGCCCGUCAUUGGAGCAAGUCACCUGCAAGAAGCAGCGGCAGAGUAUGCACUGGCAGCGAGCAGCACCGGUGGCAAUCCAUGACGGCGGGUGCAUGCGGGAAAGAGAGUUGUGGCAGUGAGUAAAGAAGGUGUAUGGGACCCACAUGUGGGCCCUCCUUUUAAUUUAUUAGUCAAUGUCAUUUGAGUUUACCAUAUGACCUGACCUUGGUCCCUGUUUCCAACUUGCUUGACAAACCUUACCUGUGUGACUGUAGGUUUUCAACUUGUCCCAAUGUCCAACUUUGUUCUUUUAUCCAGUAGGAACGGAAGUUGUCGAAGUUUGAGGUUUCGUGUUAUCUAGUCUCUAUGUUUUUCAUUGUUUAAAACUGUCUGUUUGCUUUACCAAGAGAGUACUAUAAUCUUCACCCUUUGUGUCUGUGCUAGUAUUAGUAGUACAUCUUCAAUCAGGUUGGACCUUGGAGGCAGACUUGAGAUGAGGCAGUUGAGUCAAACCUUGCUAAGCUUAGAAGUGUCCUUCUCUCUGUCCCUUUUCCCAAUUUUCCUUGAAUGCGGGUUCUGACUUGUGAUGUCUCAUAUAUCAUGUUGUUCUUUUUUCUAGUAGGAAUAUAAGUUAAAAAAGUUAAGGUGUUGUGUUGUUCUAAAGAAAUAUGCUUUUCUAGUACUAGUAUUUGUUUUCUGCUUGUGUUAGGAACUUAGGAUGAUUCACGGGCUGUUGUCUCAUGUUUUGUGUGCCCACCCCUGUCGAGCUGUGGUGAAUCUCAUGCUGGCCAUCUAGCAAUGCCAUUUCCAGCGUUUCGGGUUUGUUGGUCACCGGCCUGUGGUGAUCCGUUAUAAUAAUUAGUGUCAUCGAUUAGUGGAUUACAAUAUGUCUUAGAUAGAGUAAGUGGUAGCAACAGCAUGAGUCUGCACUAAAUGAUGCAUGCGAGAACCUUUAAACGAGACACUUAUGUGGAGGAGUAACAUCAGGUAAUUUGUAACAUUUGUUUGUGGAUUCGUGAAAUGACUGGUCGUUGUUCGUGUACAUAUAGCAGUGUUUAAAGCUGACUAUUUGCUUUGCCGAGAGAGUACUGCAAUCUCCACCCUAUGUGUUUGUGCUAGUAGUAGUAGUACAACUCAGUUAGGUCGGACCUUGGAGGAAAACUUGAUAUGAGGCAUUUGAGUCAAAGUUGAUGAGGGAGUCCUGGACUAGGGGGUGUCUGGAUAGCCGAACUAUCAUCUUUGGCCGGACUCCUAGACUAUGAAGAUACAAGAUUGAAGACUUCGUCAUGUGUCCGGAUGGGACUUUCCUAGGCGUGGAAGGCAAGCUUGGUGAUACGGAUAUGUAGAUCUCCUACCAUUGUAACCGACUCUAUGUAACCCUAACCCUCUUUGGUGUCUAUAUAAACCGGAGGGUUUUAGUCCGUAGGACGAACAACAAUCAUACCAUAGGCUAGCUUCUAGGGUUUAGCCUCUUUGAUCUCGUGGUAGAUCUACUCUUGUACUACCCAUAUCAUCAAUAUUAAUCAAGUAGGAGUAGGGUUUUACCUCCACCGAGAGGGCCCAAACCUGGGUAAAAACAUCGUGUCCCUUGUCUCCUGUUACCAUCCGCCUAGACGCAUAGUUCGGGACCCCCUACCCGAGAUCCGCCGGUUUUGACACCGACAGCUGACUUCUUCUGGAUUAAAAUGGUAGAACAGGUCUCUGGAAAGAAUAAAGAAGUAAGCUAUCCAAGGGUUCAGUUCACUGUGCUGCAAACAUGUAAAAUUCUUAUUUUUGUGUAUUCAGAAAUAAUAGUUGGUUGUUGCUACAUCUUGAGCUUGUGUUGGUUUUCCUCCAAGAGGAGAGGGUGAUGCAGCAAAGUGUAGCGUAUGUAUUUCCCUCAGUUUUGAGAAUCAAGGUAUCAAUCCAGUAGGAGGCUCCUCAAAAGUCCCACGCACCUACACAAACAAACUGAGAACUCGCAACCAAUGCAAUAAAGGGGUUGUCAAUCCCUUCACGGCCACUUGCGAAAGUGAGAUCUAAUAAAGAUAGUAUGAUAAGAUAAAUAUAUUUUUGGUAUUUUUGAUAUAGAUGCAAAAAGUAAAGAAGCAAAUAAAAGUAGAUGAAAGCAAAUAUGAUAAGAGAUAGACCCGGGGGCCAUAGGUUUCACUAGAGGCUUCUCUCAAGAUAGCAUAAGUAUUACGGUGGGUGAACAAAUUACUCUCGAGCAAUUGAUAAAAAAGCGCAUAGUUAUGAGAUUAUCUAGGCAUGAUCAUGUAUAUAGGCACCACGUCCAUAACAAGUAGACCGACUCCUGCCUGCAUCUACUACUAUUACUCCACACAUCGACUGCUAUCCAGCAUGCAUCUAGAGUAUUAAGUUCAUAAGAACAGAGCAACGCAUUAAGCAAGAUGACAUGAUGUAGAGGGAUAAACACAUGCAAUAUGAUAUAAACCCCAUCUUGUUAUUGAAAGUGCGUUAUAUCGACUAGAGGGGGGGUGAAUAGGCGAUUUUUAUGAAUUCUUCACUGAGGAAUUUGCUGGUGAGGAAAUUCCUUAGCGAAGAACUACUUGCAGCGGAAUAAGUACUCAGAAGUAUGCAUAACAGAAUACAAGCAUAGUCAUCAUGAUGAAAUGAAGACAAGCACAGAGUACAGAAAGUGUAAUCACAAGAUAACACAAGAUGAAGACAAACAGACUGAAGAAAUUGAACUGAGGAAAUUGAGAAAGUAUUCAGUCAAAGUCUUCAAACACAGAUAUGAACAAACAUUCAACACAGUAAUGAGGAAAUGAAAGAGUUGAGGAAAUAGAACCAGUUAGGUUGGUGAAGACAAUGAUUUGGUAAACCAGUUCCAACUGCUGUCUCAGUUGUCCGUCUGGUUGGAGCGGCUGAGUAUUUAAACUCAAGGACACGCAGUCCCGGACACCCAGUCUCUGAGCCGCAACUCAGGACACCCAGUCCUCACCGUAUUCUCCUUGAACUAAGACCACGCAGGUCUCGUCCAAUCACUUGUGGUAAGUCUUCAGGUGACUUCCAAACCUUCACAGACUUGGUCACUCGGCGAUUCACAAUUCCUCUUGGAUGCUCUAGACCUUGACGCCUAACUGUCUGGAAGAAGCACAAUCUUCAAAGGUAACAAGCGUCAGAUCCACACAGGAUCAAUUUCUUCAGUGAUGCUCAAUCACUUUGGGUUUGUGGGGGUUUGGUUUUGGGUUUUCCUCACUUGAUGAUUUUCGCUCAAAGUCCUCGGAGGAUGGGUUGCUCUCAGAUGACAAGUGUCUAGUUCUCUCGGAGCAGCCAACCAACUAGUGGUUGUAGGGGGCGGCUAUUUAUAGCCUAGGGAGCAACCCGACAUGAUAAGACAUAAAUGCCCUUCAAUGAUAUGACCGUUAGGUGGAUAAGAUAUUUUGGACAGCCGACGCGCAGCACAACAACGGUCGGAAAUUUGACUCUCAAAUUCCUCAGGGCUAUCAUGUUCCUCACUGUGUAGGCAAUUCGCACUGGCGAAUUCCUAACUCCUCAGUCAGAGCAAAGUCCUCAGUGACCAGAAGAACUGUGUCUCUGUCACUGAAGAAAUUGACUGAACUGUAUGAGAUUUCCAAUGGCUUCACUCGAAGGGAUUGGUAGGUGUAGGAUUUUGAGUUGAGCAUCACAUGGAAAUUUUUCAUUAGUAUUUCCUCGACCCCCUUUAACAGUACGGUGUUUCCUAUGACUCAAGAAAGAGAAAAUGAAACUUCGAAAACAAAAGUCUUCACGCUUCAUGUUCCUCAAGUGGAUACCAAGUCUUCAAGGUCACACCAAUUUCUUCACUUUCAAAGUCUUCAGAAAGUCUUCAGAAUAUCAAAGUCUUCAGUCGAAGAACUUCAUUUUUAGGGGUCGACUUUCUCUGUAAAUCUCAAACUCCUCAUAGACUUAUAGACCUGUGUACACUCACAAACACAUCAGUCCCUUAUCUUCAAUACACCAAAAUCACUAAGGGGCACUAGAUGCACUUACAAUCUCCCCCUUUUUGGUGAUUGAUGACAACAUAGGUUAAGUUUUCAACGGGGAUAAACAUAUGAAGUGUAAAUACUGAUAUUGAGGAAUUUGAUUGCAAGAUAUAGAAGAACUCCCCCUGAAUAUGUGCAUAGUGAGGAAUUUGCUUUUGGGGCAAUGCACAUUUGAAGAGUUGAAUCAUGGAGAUCUCCCCCUAUAUCUUGUAAUUCAUACACGCAUUUGAUAUAUAAUAUGAAGAAUUUGAAAUGCAUGAUGAAAUAUGGUGCCUAAUGAGAUUCAGCAUGCGUGCAAUAAUAUUAACGAGGAAUAAGCAUGCAGAAUAGCACAUCAAAAGUAUCAGAGCUCGGUGCAUCAAAAGCAUCAGAGCACCAUUCAAAAGUAUCAAGGCACCAUCGGGUUUAAGAUUACAACUCGAUCCAAUAAAAGUUUCGAAAGAACGAGAGUUGUAACUUAAAAAACGCCCUUAGUAUAGACCCGCUUGAAGACUAACUCAGAUUUCUCCCCCUUUGUCAUCAAGUGACCAAAAGGAGUGAAACUAAGGACUAACGCCCCUGAAGAAUUUCAAGUCGAUGGAGGAGCGCCAGCUUUGUCGGGGUUGCUUGUUGUAGUAGGGCCUGCCGCAGUGUCGUCCAAAUCUUCAUACUCAUCAGUAGCACGCGAUGAAAAAUAAGAGCUGGCCACCAGUGGAGGAACUUUGACCAUCUUGAAUUUCUUCGGAGGAGGUGCAGACCAGUCAAAUUCUUCCUUAAGACCCAUAGUCUUCAGUUCUUCAGCGCUAUAAACAUGAGUGAGAACAGACCAGGUGCGGUUGAGGGUUUCAUGAAGGUAGUAGUGGUUCUUAUUCACUGCAUUAUGUGUUGAGGUCAUGUUGUGAAGAAUUGCACCAAACUGACGCUUUACCCAUUUGUGAUUGCGAUCAACCUUCUGAUGAAGACUGAGGAGUAACUCAUGAUCAGUCAUCACCCUGGGUGCUGUGGCUUGAGGAUUUUGCUUGGCUGAGGUAUUUGCGGCAGUGUCAUGUGUGGCAGAGUCAUCAUUGGUAGAGUAAGAUGUAGCCAGACGAAAUUGACCAUCCAAUGGACGAGUGCCUUCAUCGAUCACAGCAGCUGCCUUGCCUUUAUCAUCAGAUGAUGAAACUGGUCGCUUGAGGACUUCAAUGGGAGGCAAGUAGCUACCAUGGUUUAGAGUGUCAGCCUUGUAAUUCAGUGAAGAACGUGCCCUUGUGAAUCUCAUAAUCCCAGGUGCAUAGGGCUUCAGCUCGAAUGGUGACAUAGCAACAUUAGCAAGAGUCCUCAUGAAGAAAUCAUGGAAGUUGAUAGGAACGCCAUGAAUGAUGUUGAAAAGCAUGUUCUUCAUGAUGCCAACAACUUCUUGAUCAUUUGAAUCGUGGCCUUUGAUAGGACUUAUUGUCUUCGUCAGAAUGCGAUAGACAGUCCGAGGCACAUAGAGCAAUUCCUUGACGAGGAAUUUGGUUCGUGUGGCCUGCCCUGGCUUCAAAGGCUUCAUGAGCACUUGCAUAUAAUGAUUUGUCAGUUCAGGGUCAUUGUAGAUGCAAUGUGCACUGUCAUGGGGAGGAUCAAGUGGAAGGACACGAAGCAAUUCAGUUGCUGGUGCCUUAUAGUGAGUGUUUUCAGUCAUCCAAUCCAGCACCCAUGAAUUGACAUCUUCAGCAUCUUCGGUGAUAUGCAGUGUGGCGUAGAAUUGAAGAAUGAGUUCUUCAUUCCAAUCACAGAUGUCAGUGCUGAAAUUGAGUAGUCCUGCAUCGUGAAUAACACUGAGGACUGGCUCGAAGCAUGGAAGAGAUUCCAUAUCCACAUGAGGAAUAUGUUCAUGAUCGAAGAUUUUGUCCUUGUCAAACAGCACUGAGGAAUAGAAGUUGGCUUGACUAGCAGUCCAGAAACGCCUCUUCCUUAUACGAGCAGAGUCAUAUGGAUUAUAAUCAGUGAACAACACAUGCUCAGAGAAGAAGUCUUCAGCCUUGAAUUUUUGCUUGCUUGAGAACGGAUUCUUCAGUUUGGGCAGAGGAGUGUCAGUGAUUUGCAGCACAACCUCAGGAAUCGCGAGCUCAGGUUCUUCAGGCUGAGGAAUUUCUGGUUCCUCUUCUUGUGCAACUUGAGGAUCAGCAGCAGCAGGUUCUUCAGCACUAGCGGCUGGAAUUUCUUCAUGAACAGAAGGAGUGGGAUGAGUUUCUUCAGAGCCCAUCUGAACUGUGGUUUCCAGGGACUGAGGAAUUUGUUGGAUAGGUGUGAAUGGAGGAGUAUUGGGAUGCUGACUUUCCCAAAAGUCAUCAUUCAUCACUGGUGUAGUGCAUCCAAUAUCCACAUAUUCAUCUUCAUUUUCAAUUUCCUCAACACCAGCCUCUUCAGCUGUGAACUGAGGCAUAGGUGAGGAAAUGAUUGGUGUUGAAGGGAUUGCUUCCACUUCAAUUUCUUCAUCAAGCUGCUUUGACGUAGCAGCAGAAUGAUUUUCUUCAUCUGAUCCGCUUGGGAUCUUGUAGUCUUCUCCAUAAGGAACAAUUUCCUUUGAUGACAUGGAGGAAAUUGGAACAGCAUCAAUAGGAUUUUCAAUAGAGCUGGUCAUUGGCUUCAUUUUCUUCGCAGCCGAAGAAUUUGACGCAGCUGAUGCCUUCCUUUUCUUCACUGCAGCUCGCUCUGCAGCCUUGGUCUUCUUCACUUCAUAGGCAGAAGGAAGAAUUGGAGUUGGUGUAGGCGCAGGAGGAGCUGAGGAAUCUGGUUCAUUUUCUUCAGGCGCAACUGAUGCAGUUGCCCUGAUCUCUUCAGUUUCUUCAGGCGCACCACUAGUGGAUGCCCUGCUAAUUUCUUCAGCGGCUGGGAUGGAGUCAUCAGCCCUAGAACUUGUAUUGUCAUCAGCAGGCUGAAAGUCAUCAGCGGUGCUGGCAUGUUCUUUAGCAGGCUGAGCAGAGUCUGCAGCCUGAGGAUUUUCUUGUUGCGAUGGGGCUGCAACAGUUGUCAUUUUCUUCGUCAGGUUGACGAAUCUCACUUUGGCUCCUUGCCAAUCAGCAUUGUAUGCAUCGAAGUCUUUGCUGAGGGGUUGGAUUUCAGAUUGAGCCUGGAGAAGUUCCUCAGGUGUCAUUCUGACAACAUUUUUCUUCAGGAGCUUCUCCUUCCUGUAUUGAGCCUUCUUGAUCUCACAUGCCUUCUCAAAUUUCCAUUUCUCUUGAGUGAUGAAAUGGGUCAGCAUGUGACUUUGACCGGGAGUCAGAGGCAGAUCAGGCAUUGGAGUGUUUGGAUCCUUGUGCCAGAGAUCAAUGUAAUCAAGGAUCUUCUUCGGAUCCAAAAGCAGUGGCGCAGAUGUGCCUUUGGCUCUAGCGGCCUUCACUUGUCUAUCUCUGAUGAUUUCUGCAAGUUCUUCAUCAAAAGCUUCAUCAUCAGAGGGCACUUGGAAUGCAACCUGUUUCUUCCUUGGACUUGGCCGAGGACCGCGUCCAGCUGUUGCUUUAGUCUUCAACAGAGUGGGGCCUGAUGAGGACAUUGGUGCAGCUGAGGAACUUGCUGAGACACCAGAAGCAAUUGAAAAACCAGUAGUCCUUUGGCAUGUAGCCAAAUGCACAGGAGUUGAGGACUUUGGUGGAGCAGUAGUGGUCUGAGGAAUUUGCCGUGAGGGCAUAGCUGAGGAACUUGGCUGUGAGGGCACUGUUGGUGAAGCACUUGGCUUGCGAGCAGGCUUCUUUGGCAUUGAUUUCCUUGGUCUGACCAAGGUCUCAGCAGCAGCGGCGGCGGCAGAAUCCUCAUUGAAUUUUUUCACAGCCUCCUUGGCUUGUCUUGCCAAUUUGGCUUGGCGUUUAGCCCAUUCUCCAGGAAAGUCCUCACCACUUUUGAUGCUAGUGGGAUCAGCUACAUGGCCACGUGCCAAUGGAGCUCUAGGGCAUGGAGGAUUGAGGGCGAAUUUCUUCACGUACUUUGGAGUAACAUAUCGAUAUUCCCUCCAUUCCCUUGCCCAUCUCCGUUCAAUUCUCUGAAUGCGCACUUUGCGCUGAUUUUUGUUCUCUUUGCCAAACUUGGCUUCAUCGGGUGCGCAAUAGUCCUUAUAGAGUUCAUCAGGAAUUUCGAAAGCAGUCAUGACCUCAGGCCUCUUUCCUCCUUUCUGCGGUCUCUUUCCUUCAGCCAUAUUCUUCAGAUGAGGAAUUUGAACAAUUGAACACUCUGAAGAAGUAUGCAAUUUUUCUUCGAGGAACGCUGCAAAUGAGUUAAGUUGAUGAGAACCUAGUGAUUCAGCAGCGGACAUGAGUACCUGUGAACAGAGUGUAGGUGCGAGGAAUUUGGAGAGGUCAUAUGCGUUCUCAGAAGAUUUUUCGAAAAGACAAGUUUUGAGGAAUUUGACCAGAUGAGCCUUGAGGAAUUUCACCAAGCGUUUUGUCUCAGGUUCCAGAGUUGUAUAGAUCGAAGAUCCACACAAUUGAGGAAUCUUGAAGAAAAUGAUUGCUUAGAGAAAUAGUUCAAGAUCAUAUGAUCCAUGAGGUGUUCAUAUGUGUGAGGAUUUGGAGAAAAACACCUUUGAAGAUUUUCAGGAAAGCUUGAGAAUCAAAGUGAGUAAUAAAAGUAACUUUUAAUUACCCGAAAUGAAGAACACGACGAACUGAGAUGAACGGAUGCGAAGUUCGUCAGGUUAGAUCUCGCACGCCCUAACUUGGCAGAGGGAGACAGCUACGGCGGCGGCGGAGUGAAGAUUUCUGCAGCCGGCGCGAGUACGACGGUGACGAGGUCGAGGCAGCGAAGCUCUUCCUCACCUGCGAUGAUGGAGUAGCGGCGGCGCUAGGGUUUGAGGAGCUCGAGCGAGAGACAGCGACCGAGCGGAGUAAAUGAAGUGAGGAAGGGGAGAGGGGUAUUUAUAGCCACGGUGAAAAAACUGUUCGUCCGAAGAUUUGGGACGAACAUGCCCCUGCCCUUUCUCCUUCAUGCGACAUGUGUCACCCACGUACUGUGCAGAUGAGAUCGUGUAAGAUCGUGGGUGAAUAAAAUAAUGCAUCAUGGGAUGCGGAACGGUUUGAGCGGUAAAACCGAAAAUCUGGAUAAGAUUUGUUUUAAUGUUUCGUUCGCAAUUUCUUCAGCUGACAAGGACACACUGAAGACUUUGAACGAGUUUCAAAUAGAACGCACAUGAAGAAUUUGUGAAUAGAUUGGGUUGAGUAUAGCAUAGAGGAGGAAGGGUCCGAUCACAUUCACUUAGCAGAAAAAAAAACUUGAAGAAAUAGCCAUAAGUGAAUGCUGUAGAGGACAUAAACUCGUAUAUAUAUAUAGCCAAUGAAGACAUACGAUGGAAAUAGUGAAGAUUUUGCAAAGUUGAAGAAUUUGAAAAACUGAAGAAUUUCAAAACAAAAAAAACUCAAAUUGAAGAUUUUCAACUUUUGUGGUGGCGUGACCCACCGUAUAAGAAUGAUGAUUUCAGACACCGCGUACAAUUGUCGUAGGGUUCUGAGAAUCAAAUUCUUCAUUAAUUUCUUCACACUUAGAGUGUUAUUCUUCAUUGAUUGAAGAAAAACGUUUCUUCAUGUGUUGCACAUCUAAGUCAUCAAUUUUGCAUAAGUGUUAGGAUGUGUGUCCUUUUCAAAGAACAUUCGAAGAUUCUAAGAUAUUUAGCUCACACCGCAACUUGCUAAAUCUCUUCUCAUCCAAGGGCUUAGUGAAGAUAUCAGCCAGCUGUUCUUCAGUCUUCACGUGCUCGAUGGAGAUGUCGCCCUUCAACACAUGAUCACGAAGAAAAUGAUGACGAAUCUGGAUGUGCUUUGUCUUCGAGUGCUGAACUGGGUUGUGAGCAAUCUUGAUGGCACUCUCAUUGUCGCAGAGGAUAGGCACAUUCUUCACGUUGACGCCAUAGUCCUUGAGGGUUUGCUUCAUCCAAAGCAGUUGAGCACAGCAAGAACCAGCAGCAAUGUAUUCAGCUUCAGCAGUAGACAGUGAUACGCAGUUCUGUUUCUUCGAGGACCAACAGACCAAAGAUCGUCCGAGGAAAUGACAAGUGCCAGAUGUUGACUUGCGGUCCACACGAUCACCAGCAUAGUCCGAGUCAGAAUAUCCAAUGAGAUCAAAAGCAGAGCCCUUGGGGUACCAUAAUCCUAGUGUUGGUGUGUGAGCUAGAUAUCGAAGAAUAUGCUUCACAGCCUUAUGGUGUGAUUCCUUCGGUGCAGCUUGAAAUCGGGCACACAUGCAAACACUAAGCAUUAUAUCUGGCCUAGAUGCACAUAGGUACAAUAAAGAACCAAUCAUGGAGCGGUAUACCUUGUGAUCAAAGUCAAUACCAUUUUCAUCAGUGCAUAGAUGGCCAUUUGUGGGCAUAGGAAUUUUGACGCCUUUGCAAUCUUGCAUGCCGAAUUUCCUCAGUACAUCUUUGAGGUAUUUCUCCUGAGAUAUGAAUAUGCCAUUGCGCUGCUGACGAAUUUGAAGACCUAAGAAGAAUUUCAACUCUCCCAUCAUAGACAUUUGAUAUUCUUCACUCAUCAUAUAGGCAAAUUCAUCACUAUAACGUUAGUCAGUACAGCCAAAGAUAAUAUCAUCAACAUAUAUUUGGCACACAAACAGUUCACCAUCAUAAGAUUUAGUAAAGAGAGUAGGGUCGAGUGAACCGGGUGUGAAGCCAUUCUUCACGACGAAUUCCUUCAAUGUAUCAUACCACGCCCGAGGGGCUUGCUUGAGGCCAUAGAGGACCUUAUUAAGUGUGAAGACUUUGUCAGGAUUUUUUGGAUCUUCAAAACCUGGGGGUUGAGCAACAUAUACUUCUUCCUCAAGCUUACCACUGAGGAAUGCACUUUUCACAUCCAUUUGAUAUAAUAUGAUAUCAUGAUGGUUAGCGUAAGCAAGUAAUAUGUGAAUAGCCUCAAGUCUAGCAACAUGUGCAAAAGUUUCAUCGAAAUCAAUUCCUUCAACCUGUGUGUAGCCUUGAGCUACAAGUCGUGCCUUAUUCCUCACCACAAGGCCAUUUUCAUCUUGCUUGUUGCGGUAGAUCCACUUUGUGCCGAUGAUAUUAUGCUUGCAAGGAUCUGGACGGUUGACCAGUUCCCAGACAUUGUUAAGCUCGAACUGAUGUAAUUCUUCUUGCAUAGCCUGAAUCCACUCCGGCUCCAGAAAUGCAUCAUCUACCUUAGUGGGCUCUGUGAUAGAGACAAAAGCAUAGUGCCCACAAAAGUUAGAUAAAUGUGAAGCUUUUGAGCGUGUGAGAGGACCUGGUGCACUAAUGUCAUCGAUGAUCUUCUCCACUUGCACUUCUUUUGCAACGCGAGGAUGAGCUGGUUGUCGCUGAGGAUUUUGAUCAGCAUUUUCUUCAGCACCAUUUUCCUCAGGAUUUUCUUCAGGUGCAUCAGCUCGAUGUUCUUCAUGAACAGGAAUGAGUUCUUCAGCAGAUUCUUCAGUAGGAAUGACAUCCUAAGUUGCCUUGAACUUGAUGGAAUCCUCAGGUGCUGGUUCAUCUAACACAGAAGGUAGGUGCUCUCUUUGCGAGUCAUUAGUUUCAUCGAACCGCACAUCUACAGUGUCAACAAUCUUGUGAAGAACAAUGUUGAAGACUCUGUAGGUGUGCGAGUCCUUUCCGUAACCAAGCAUAAAACCUUCAUGUGCUUUCGGUGCAAAUUUAGAGUUGUGGUUAGGAUCUCUAAUCCAACAUUUAGCACCGAAGACUUUGAAAUAACUCACAUUGGGUUUCUUGUCAGUGAGGAGUUCAUAGGCCGUCUUUUUGAAGAAUUUGUGAAGAUAUACUCUAUUGAUGAUGUGGCAAGCAGUAUCAAUUGCAUCAAUCCAAAAACGCUGAGGCGUUUUGUAUUAAUCAAGCAUAGUGCGAGCCAUCUCAACAAGAGUUCUGUUCUUGCGCUCCACGAUGCCAUUUUGCUGAGGAGUAUAGGGAGCAGAUAACUCAUGAGUAAUACCAAGUUCAUCAAGAUAGGCAUCAAGACCGGAAUUCUUGAACUCAGUUCCAUUGUCACUUCUGAUGUGCUUGAUCUUCACACCAAAGUUGGUUGAAGCCCUCGAGGAAAAUCGUUUGAAGACUUCCUGCACUUCAUGUUUGUAAGUAACAAUGUGUACCCAUGUGUCGUGGGAAACGAACACCUAUGGGGCAGGGGCCCCUUCUCGGUCCGGCAGGGAGCGGAGGGCGCACGAAGAGUAGAUCGAGGCGAUGCACGCGAGGGAUUUUUACCCAGCUUCGGAGCUCUCCGGAGAGAUAAAACUCCUACUGUUGCUUUUGUGUUUGUAUUUUGCUCAAGAGCGUGAGCAUUCUGUGGUUUCGAAAGUGUCCAACCCCCCCUACGUUGCGCAUGGGCCUCCUUUUAUAGGCUAAAGGGGUCACCGACAGGUGGCGAUGCAGGCAAGGGUACAAAUGUAAAAAGGGUGGUUGGUACAACUGCUGCUACAGCGUACCCUACCUAACUCUGACGGCAGGGGACAAGGGCAUUUAAUGCCCAUCCGGUCGCCCAAACAGUGCAGAAAACGACCGUUUGGGGCGCCACCGCUUGCCACGAUGGCCUUCUCGUCAUCUCCACUUGCCACCUCGCACCGCUUGGCUGCACAGCUUCCCGCCACGUGCGCCUAGAACGGUCCUGCGGCGACACAUCGACGGAUGCGCUGGAGCGUAGGCACAGAGUGGUGGCCUCGCCGCGGCAAGCGCCUUGCCGCGGUCGUUGUCUUGUCGCGCCCGGAAGCUUGUUGCUCGCCGGGUCUUGCCGGGACGCGUGGCGCGUCACAGCAAGUUUCUUAAAAUGCCUUGGUUGGCCUUCCCGGCAAGCUCCUCUUGCCGGGGCCUUGUCCCUCCCGGCAAGCUCCUCUUGCCGGAGUCUUGUCUUCUCAGUUAAUACACUUUGUUCUUGAAUGGCACCAAUGGGAGCUACGGAGGAUCUUAGCGGACGUCCGGCAAGCCUUGCCGCGGGGCGCCGCGGCUGCCCGUGCACAAGUUUGGGAUACUAAGGUACCCUACUUUAGUACACCGACAGGAGCCCCCGGGCCUGGGCCACACACGGUGCCGAGCGCUGUUGGGCCAGGCCCAAAACAGGGCACGGGCACACGCGGCCUGGGUCCACACCAAAUCUAACUCCGUAUCCACCACGCCCUCCCGUAAUGGCACGCGUCGAAUGCGGCAUCGUGGGAGAGAUCGUGUGUGAUUCUUUAAUCGAAAAAGGCGUAACGUUCGCCUCUCCUCUUUAUAAGCAGGGGAAAUAGGGGCCGUUCCCCCACCUUUGCCACUUGCGGUUCCUUCCUCAGAAAGCUCCGCCGCUCCCCUCCGCUUCUCAAGCCGAAAGAGAGCAGCGCUCCGCCGCCCGUCGCCGCUGCCCGUCACCGUCGCUCUCCUCCGCUGCUUCCGUCAUGGCUCCGAAUACCGGAAAGGGUGCGAAGUCGGCCGAGGCGCUGCGGCUCGAGGGGCUGCGCAAGGAGCGAGCACUUUUCCCCCCCGAGCUCACCGCGAAGGCGCUGCGGGAGGAGUUCUAUCUCUUCUGGUCAACGGAGACGCGGGCGCAUCCGCGCACGCCGGUACUCUCCGCCGAAGCUUCUACUGCGGAGCGGUGCCCAAAAGGGUACUACUUCUUCCCAUUGUUCUUCUAUUGCGGGCUAUGUCCGCCCUUUUCCGAUUUCUUCUGCGACGUCAUGAACACAUACGGGCUCCAUCUCCUUGAUUUCACCCCCAACGCCGUUCUGACAAUGGCGGUUUUCGCGCAUCUUUGCGAGAACUUCGUCGGAAUCCACCCCAACGUUGCCCUUUUCCGCCACUAUUUCAUCCCCGGGUCGAGAAAGGAGAGCCCUUGUCUGGUGGGAUCGCCUGGAUCUCGAGGGUCGGCAAGAAGGAAGUCUAUCUGGAGGGGGAGCUCCGCAGCAAGUGGGACGAGUGGAGGGCUGAAUGGUGUUGGAUUGUUGACGCAGAUCCGCAUCCAUUCACCAAUUUGCGCCAAACCCGAGUAGUGCGCGGCGGCGACUGGAGCGCCCUGGCGGCGGACGAUGCUAAGCUGAAGAUCGCCACCACCCGGAUUCUGCGGCUCAGGCUUGCCGGGCUCACUAUAGGGGCCGUUGGCGCGGACUUUCUUCGCUGCCGCAUCGCCCCCCUGCAGGAGAGGGGGAGGCCCGCCUGGCUGUUUGGUGGCCCGUCGGAUAUCAUGAGGCUGCGCCCAGGCCUCAAUUUCAACUUCACUGUCUUGGAGUUGGAUGGGAUGCUUAAGGAACUGUUCAAGCACGACGCCAACCAUCCAGAGUGGUUCAGGCUGCCGCGGGGUGUCAUCCCGCUAUGCAACAACUCCCAGCUUGAUCGCAUCCGUGCAAUGAUGCCGGAGUGCGACUCGCACGGGGUUAUCCCAACUUGGCGGGAGCCCUCCGACGACAUCGUGCGGCAAUUCUUCGACGGCUUGGUGGAGGUAGCAGUCCGUGCCGAUGAGCAGAGGCUCCUCACCCGCGACACCACAGAUGACGAGAUGCGGUACAUCGCCACCAGGGCUGAAGAGGCGGCGGCCGCCGCCGCCGCGGGCGAGUUCAGUUUCACGUUGGAGGAGGUAGAGGCGGCCGAGGCGGAAAGCCUUGCCGACCGAGAGGACCUUCGCGGGGAGGUCGUUGGCGAAGGAGAGCCCGAAGCCGAAGCAAGCGAGCCCGCCGAGGAUGCGAGCGGCCAGCCGUCUUCGAGCAGCUUGCCGCGGGCGGAGCCCCCAGCGCAGCCCCCAGCUCAACCAAGAAGGCGCCUCCGUAGGACUGGAGAUACAGCAGGGCGGCAGGCAGGCCAACAGCCGCAGCGCCGUGGGACACGCUCCACCGCGGCAAGCACCGUUGUCGCGGCAGCAUCUCAAGCCGUGCCGGCAACUGGGGAGGGGUCUUCCCGAGCCACCACACCUGAUCCUGCCGCAGCUCCCACCAAGCGUCCAAGGGAGCCCACUCCUCCGCCUCGUCACGCUGAAAGAGUUCCGGACUUCGACCUCUCCGCGCUGAGCUCUGACGAGGAGGAAGAAGAGGAGGAGGAGUAAGACUUUCUCCUUGUUGUACUUGUAUUUCUUCGAUUUUUGCCGUUUCUUGUCUUGUAUUUGAUCUGCUUCCCUCUGAACCUCGUUCCAUUUCAGGACACUGGCCGAGAGAGCGGCGAAGAGGGCCAAGGUCCCCGUGGUUAUCGUCGAGGACGAUCCUGCUGUGAUGGUAGAGGACGCGUCCGAGACCACCUUGACGCACCCGGCAAUCUCUCCUCGAAGCAGCCCCCAGCGCAGCCCCCAGCGUAAGUAUUUGUUCACUUCCCGUUGUGGGGCGCACAUGGGUGCUCUUUCUUUGCUGAUAUCUUGAUUGUUGUCUUGCUUGUGUAGGAGCAGAACAGGCCCAUCAGGAGCAACCAGAAGCCGCUCCGGAGGUGCAAUCUGCUUCAACUACGCUGCCAAGGGGCGAUUCUCCGGCAAGGGAGCGCUGUCCGGCAAGGGAGCGGUCCCCGGCAAGGGGCGGGACUAGCGAUCCUUCGGUGGUGGAGCCCAUGAUCACAGAGCCCAGCACAGGUAACCCUCCUUGUCGGAAAUUUCCCUUGGGCUUUUCUUCUUCUGAUCUUCUUUAUUUUUUGGAUAUUUGCUUGAAUUUUCCUCCCUCUCCUUGUCUUCAGAUCCUCCCUCCACGGAGCCGAUAGAAACUGAGGCCACCGGCGAGGAGGAUGCACGCGGCAACACUGAUGAUGCCGCCGCCACCGAGGAAGAGGCCGGCGCUGACGAUCCCGCCGGCGAAGAGGCCGCCAAGGCUGCUGGCGCAGGAGCUGGCGAGGGGUUCGGCGAUCGCACUGACCGCCGACCCCUCCGCCGCUGAUGCCGCACCGGGCUCCGAAGAGCCCCAGCCCGGCGCCUACCUGAAGGCCGGCGAGGGUGUCUUCAUCAGGCUUCCCUGGGCGUCGAGCUCCAGGGCGCCGGUCGAAGGAGAGGAAUUUGACGGAGAAGUACUCGCCUCUGCUGGGCUGACAGUGGUUGACGCGCCAAGCAGCAGCGGCGGCGAGUCCGAAGAGGAGCAGCUGCUCCGGAAGUUGGUGUCGCUCUACCGCGCCCGACAAGCGAAACUGCAGUCCCGGGAAGCGCUUGUCGCGCAGGCGGGAGUUGACAUAGAGAAGCACGCGGAGGAGCUCCAGAGCCGCAACCAAGAGGCCCUCCGGUCCAUUGCGGAGGAGAGGGCGCAGCUUGUCGAGGCGCAGAAGGCCUUCCUCCUCGAGAAGGCAGAAGCUGAGGAGCAACAGAGGCUUGCCGCUGAAGAGAUGUCCACCCGGGAAGGUGAAAUGACACAGCAGAAAGUCAAUCUGGACAGCAACGAGGAGGAGCUCGCCGCACGCGAGCAAUCACUUGGCAGGGCGCUCAAGGAAGCGAAGGAUGCUGCCGCAGCUGCUGAGGCCGCCAAGAAGGAAUUGGAGGUGAAGAUGACGCAGCUGGAGGCUGAUUUGAAAGGAAAGGAUGAGGAGCUUGCCGCACUCCAGCGCGAACGCGAGAAGGAUGCCCUUGCUCAUGGCGAUCUGCAAGUUCAACUCGCCGAUAAGGUCAAGGAACUGAACGCCGUCAAGGACUCAAAUGCUGAUCUGGAGCUGAAGCUGGUCACGUUGACUGAGACGCUGGACGGCGCCAAGAAGUGAGAGGAUGACUUGAAGAAAGAGAUCAAGGACAACGAGGAGCUGCUGACGAGGGCCGCCGAGACUCAAAACACCUUCUGGGCUACGAUGGAGCUUUGGACGGAGGGCCUCGUCAAUAUUGCUGCAACCAUCGACGAGGAGCUGGCGCAACUGGACUUGGCGGGCUUCGGGUACUCCUCCGACGAGAACCUCCAGCCUAGCGCCAAGCUUACUCUGUUCUUCAAGGGCGUGGUGACGGCUCUCCAGCAGCUCCGGGAAAGGAUCCCAAAGCAGCUGGCUGACGAGUCGCGCGCAAUCUGCGCCAGAGUCUUGGAGAAGGUGUUGGUGAAGGUGCUCUUCCGCAAUCCGAACCUCAACCUCACCAACGUUCUCAAGAAGCUGCCGGCGGGUGAUGAUCUUGCAGAGCUCAAAGCCCUUGUCGCACCCAUUGUGGAUAAGGUGAAUGAAGUCAAGAGGGUUGACGGCGACCGCGUAGAUUAGGCCGCAUGUUCUCUCCUUUUUCUUGCCGCUGCUAGACAUGUUACGGGAACAAUCCAUUAGAGCGCGGCAAGUUAUUAUUGUAAUAUAACUUUAUUCUGGGUAGUACUUGCUAUGUUAUUUCCUUUACUUGAUUCCCUCCCUUGUAUGUUUUUACCCUACGCUUUUAGGGAACUUGCCGGCGCAGGCACCCUUGCCGCGAGCGCUGAGUGCAGAACAUCAGCAGCCUGCUGGCGGUGUUGCCUCCGGCAAGAAACCUGGUCGGAACUAGUCGCAGCCCACUUACGUUGUUGAGCGGACUCGAAAACAAGGUAAGGGCGCAAAUAGCUACGAGUUGGUUCCUCCGCGCACAGGUUUUCUAUACAAAGCACGGUCGUUCAAGGAAGAUAACUUAAAAAAUUAGAAUUGAUUGUGCUCAAACUUUGGCAACUUAGCUUUUCCGUCGUCUGCGUCCCGGCAAGGCUAUACUUCUUUGAACGGCGCCUGGUCCACACCAUUAUCUUCUCCUUCCCCCCCGGUGAACUUGUGGUCGAAGGAACCUUCUUUUUGAGAAAAAGAAAGAAGAGAAAAUAAAGAUAUGGAGCCUUAAGGCUCGUUAUUGCUUACCGUGGGCAAGAGCUGUACAAAGUGUCAGAUAAUACAUGCAAAAGAAAGAAAGCAUGAAAUUUGACAACGUUUGCAGAGCAUGUGAUCUUUAUUUAUGCACGGGAUCUGCGCCCGGCUUUGUACAAAGGGUUACAUGCAACAGCGGCAAGGCUUGUACAAAAGGUGGUUGCCGGAACAGCAGAUUCCGGCAACCGCACCUUAUGGGUAAAACUUUCGAAGAUGCUCUAUGUUCCAAGAGUUGCUCACCGGAAAGCCAUCUUCGGUCUCAAGGCGGACAGCGCUAGGCCUAGUGACUCGCUUCACCCGGUAAUGGCCUUCCCACUUCGGCAUCAACUUGUUGGAAUUCUUGGCGGAUUGAACGCGCCGAAGAACAAGGUCGCCUUCCUCGAGACUUCUGGCCUUGACUUUGCGGCUAUGGUAGCGGCGCAAAGCUUGCUGGUAUCGAGCAGCUCGUACAGCAGCCUGAAGACGAUCUUCCUCAAGGAGCAGCGCAUCAUCUUGCCGCAGCUGCUCUUGCUCAAGCUCAUCAUAAGCGAGCACUCGAGGCAAUUCGUAUACGAGUUUCGUGGGGAGAACUGCCUCUGCUCCGUAGACGAGAGCAAAAGGUGUCUGGCCAGUGGCUCGAUUUGGCGUCGUCCUGAUCAACCAAAGAACCACUGGCAGCUCCUCGAUCCAGUUCCUUCCGCACUUGUGCAGCCUGUCGAAAGUUCUGGUCUUGAGCCCGCGCAGCACUUCAGCGUUUGCCCUUUCCGCUUGACCAUUGCUUCUCGGGUGAGCAACAGAAGCGAAACAGACCUUGGCACCAAGAUCUUGGACAUACUGCAUGAAGGUGCGGCUCGUAAAUUGUGUGCCGUUGUCGGUGAUGAUCUUGUUAGGGACCCCAAAACGGCAAACAAUCGACCUGAAGAACUUGACUGCUGACUGUGCUGUCACCUUCCUCACUGCUUCCACUUUCGGCCACUUCGUGAACUUGUCGAUUGCGACGUACAAGUAUUCAAAGCCCCCAACAUCUCGGGGAAAGGGGCCGAGGAUAUCGAGCCCCCAGACCGAAAAUGGCCAUGAUAAAGGGAUCGUCUGGAGAGCUUGAGCUGGUUGGUGUAUCUGCUUGGAGUGGAACUGGCACGCUUCACACUUGGUUGCUUGUGCAGUUGCAUCCUGGAGGGUUGUCGGCCAGAAGAAACCUUGCCGUAAUGCCUUGCCGGCAAGUGCUCUUGCGCCAAUGUGGUGGCCACAUAUGCCUCCAUGUAUCUCCGCCAACAGUUCCUGUCCAUCUUCCCGGGGAAUGCACUUCAAUUUCACUCCGUUGAAUCUUCUUCUGUAUAGUAUGUCAUCGACAAACUGGUACAUACUUGAUUGCCGGGCUACUCUCUCCGCUUCUUCUUGCUCUUCGGGAAGUUCUCCUGUUUGAAGGAAACGGACAAUCUGCUGUGCCCAUGCCGGAGCUUGUGGCUCGACAACAAGGACUAAAGGCACGUAUGCUGCUGCGGGAGCAUCUGCUUCUACGGCAAGAAUCUGCGGUUCAGCCGGAGCGUGAUGUUCCCCGACAAGCUUGCCGGAGGAAAACUCAUCGGGGGCGUCUGCUUCAACGGAACAAACCCUAGGGUUUGUCGGAGCAGACUGCCCCUCAGCACUCUUUGUGUUGAUUUUGGGGACCUUCUUGGCGGCGGCUUCGGGGAGCUCUGCCGGAAAAUAGUCACCAGAAACCGACUUCCUCUUCUUGUUCUGUCCAGUCGACGGUGUUACAGAUGGUUGAGUAAGCUUGAGCACAAAAAUUCCUGGUUCCACAGGUAACUUGAGUGCGGCGCUCUUUGACAGGCCGUCUGCAAUGUCAUUCUGGGCUCUCGGAACGUGUUCCAUCUGCAGGCCGUCAAAAUGCUCUUCCAACUUUCUCACUUCUUCAAUGUAAGCUUCCAUCAACGGACUCUGAUAAUCUUUGUUUACUUGGCGGACGACAAGUUGUGAGUCACCCCCGACAAUGAGCUUCUUGAUCCCAAGGUCUGCAGCGAUCCUGAGUCCGGCAAGCAAGCCUUCAUACUCUGCAGUAUUGUUUGUUGCUUGCUCCUUGGGAAAGUGCAUCUGGACCACGUACUUGAGGUGCUCCCUGGUGGGUGCGACAAGCAACACGCCCGCACCGGCGCCUUGCAGCAAGAAGGCACCAUCAAAGUACAUGACCCAUUCUUUGCUUGCUUCCUUGACGGGAAUGCUCGUCUCCGGCAUUUCUUCAUCAGGUGUUGGCGUCCAUUCCGCUAUAAAUUCUGCCAAUGCUCGGCUCUGGAUAGUUGAGGUACUCUCAAACUUGAGGCCAAAGCUUGACAGUUCCAGUGCCCACUCGACAAUUCUGCCUGUUGCUUCUGGAUUUUGCAAUAUCCUCUUCAACGGAAAGCGAGUGACAACUGUGAUCUCAUGUGCUUGAAAGUAAUGAUGCAGCUUCCUCGAGGCCAUGAGAAGGCCGAAAAGCAAUUUCUGCACACCAGAGUACCUUGAUCUAGCCCCCUACAAAAGGGAACUGACAAAAUAAACUGGGCGCUGCACCAUUUUCUUUUGUUUUUCCUCUUGUGGCUGCACUGAUUCAUCCUUGUCGGGACAAGAGCUUGUCGGAGAAGCCCCCUGCUUGUCGCUGGAUGCGCUUGCCGCGGCCACUGGCUCAUCAUCCGCCUCCCUCUCCGCCACUAACGCAGCACUAACCACUUGAUUGGUCGCUGCUAGAUACAGCAGCAACUUCUCUUGUGGCUUAGGUGCGACAAGUAUUGGAGUGGAGGACAGGUAUCUCUUCAAAUCCUGGAGCGCGGCCUCCGCUUCCGGAGUCCAUUUCAUUGGACCUGCCUUUUUCAAAAUUUUGAAAAAUGGCAGGGCACGCUCCGCGGACUUAGAGAUGAACCUGCUGAGAGCAGCUACAUAGCCGGCAAGCCUUUGCACAUCCUUGACGCGCUUUGGUGCUUCGAUCUGCUCAAUGGCCUUGAUCUUGUCGGGAUUGGCUUCAAUCCCCCGCUGAGAUACAAAGAACCCGAGAAGCUUUUCGGAAGGGACCCCAAACACACACUUCUCGGGGUUCAACUUGAGAUUGAUCUUGCGCAGAUUUGCAAAGGUCUCGUCCAAAUCCUGGAUCAGAGUUGCUCUGUCUUUGCUCUUGACCACUAUAGCAUCCAUGUAAGCUUCUACAUUUCUGUGCAACUGUGGCUCAAAAGCUUCGUGGACUACCCUUGGAAAUGUUGAACCAGCAUUCUUUAGUCCAAAAGGCAUUCGUACAAAGCAGUAUGUGCCACAUGGAGUAAUGAAUGCGGUUUUCUCCUCAUCUUCUUCUGCCAUGAAGAUCUGAUGAUAUCCUGAAUAUGCAUCAAGAAAUGACAGCAGAUCACAUCCGGCCGUGGAGUCAACAAUCUGGUCAAUGCGCGGCAAGGGAAAUGGGUCUUUGGGACAAGCUUUAUUAACAUCAGUGAAGUCAAUGCAAAGCCUCCAUUUCCCGUUCGCCUUGCGCACGACUACAGGAUUGGCCAGCCACGUAGGAUGGAGCACCCCUCUGACAAGGCCUGCUGCUUCCAACUUCUUGAUCUCUUCUGCGAUGAAUUCUUGACGCUCCACUGCUUGUUUCCUAACUCUCUGCUUGACGGGCCGCACGUGAGGACAGACGGCAAGGUGGUGCUCAAUCACUUUCCUGGGAACACCGGGGAUAUCAGACGGUUGCCAUGCAAACACGUCGACAUUUGCCCGCAGGAAAGCAACGAGCGCGCUUUCCUAUUUAGGGUCAAGCGUGGCACUGAUGGUGAAGGUACCACCAGUGCCGUCCUCCUUGGCGGCCACUUUCUUGGUCUCUGGUGAAGCUGUCUUUGCCUUCUUGCACUUGCCGGUGGAGCUCGAUGGUGCGUCCUCGACGGUAGCGCAGUACUCCGAAGAGGUGCGCUUGCCGGAGUGGGCACCAGAGCUGCUCUUGCCGGACUUGGUCUUCUUCUUCCCCCCGGGAGCUUCAGCGGCAAGUGGUUUGCGUUCUACUGCGGCUGCUGCUUCCCGGUAGAUCUUGUCGGUACAGAUAAGGGCAUCCUUCUUGUCGCCAUGGACAGAAAUGACACUUAUCGGACCGGGCAUCUUGAGUACGUUGUAAGCAUAGUGAGAGGCUGCCAUGAACUUGGCGAGUGCUGGACGACCGAGUAUCCCAUUGUAGGGCAAUGGGAAAUCAGCAACGUCAAACGUGACCCUCUCAGUCCUGAAGUUUAGCUCGCUGCCGAAUGUUACCGGCAACGUGAUCUUCCCCUUCGGCUUGCUCCUUCCCGGGUUGAUUCCUUGGAAAGUACCGGUCUCUUCGAGCUCGCUGUCGGGGAUCUGGAGCUUCUGGAGUACCGUGGAGGAGAUCAGAUUCAAGCCGGCCCCGCCGUCAACCAGCAUCUUUGUGACCUUGAGGUUGCGGAUAGUUGGUGAAACCAACAUCGGCAAGCACCCGACCGCAGUUAUGCGAUCAGGGUGAUCCUCAACAUCAAAGAUGAUGGGCGUGCUGGACCACUUCAGAGGCUUGCACGACUCAACUGACGGUUCUGCUGCAUUAACCUCCCGCACCCACUGUUUGAGCUGGCGGUGCGAGGUAUGCAGAGAAGCACCGCCGUCGACGCAGAAAACCUCUGUUGCCUUCUGAAACUCCUGCUCGUCGGCCUCAUCCUCAUCCAUCUCUUCAUCUUCGUCUUCAUCUUCAUCCUUGUCGCGGCCGCGGGGAGGCCUGUCUCCUUGCCGCUGUUUGGCCUUGCCGCGGCGCCCUCCCCGGCCGGGACGCUUCUUGCCGGAUCCUCCACCACCUUCUUGGGCCUUCUCCUUGUCGCGCCGCUCGUACUCAGCCUUCUGCAGUUCUACAAGCUGCUCAACUUUCUUGCAGGUCUGGAGAUCAUGGCCCUUGGUGCGGUGGAUCUUGCAGUACUGCUUGCCGGAGCCGUCCUGCUUGUCGGCGGCCACCACGGCCUCGCCGGAGUCACCAGCUUUGGCCUUCUUGGCGCCACCUCCGUUGCCGGACUGCUCAACGACUAGCACAUCUUUUGCUUUCCUCUUUCUAUUGUUCCGCCGCCGGUUUUUCUUUGCCGGGGCGGCAUCCUCACUGUCAGAUCCUUCUGCUCCUGCAUUCUCUCCGGGGAGUUUCCUCCACUCUUCAGCAUGUGCACACUUGUCGGCCAUGGCAUAUAGCUCACUGACGUCUCUAAUCUUGCACAUCGCCAUCUCCUCCCUCAUCCUGCGGUUUCGCACGUUCUGAUGAAACGCGUUGAUGACUGCGGUAGGUUGGACGUCUGGGAUGUUGCGCUGCACUUGGCUAAAUCUCUGAAUGUACUUGCGCAGGGGUUCUCCUUCCUUCUGGGCAAGCAGAUGAAGAUCGCUUUCCUGGCCAUGGGGUUUGUGGCCGCCUGUGAAGGCGCCGACAAACUGAUGGCACAGGUCCGCCCAUGAGGAGAUGGAGUCGUCCGGCAAGUGCAUGAGCCACGAUCUGACGUUGGGCUUGAGCACCAGCAGAAAGUAGUUGGCGAGGAUCUUCUCGUCGCGCCCCCCGGCCGCCUGCACCGCGAUGGUGUAGAUGCUGAGGAACUCUGACGGAUGUAUCCUGCCGUCGUACUUCUCAGGUACGUCUGGCUUGAAGUUCUUGGUACUGGGCCACUGGACUUGCCGCAGUUCACGGGUAAACGCAGGGCAACCUACCGCGUACGGCAAGUCACCUGGUUCCCCUGGCGCAUGCAUGUCGACAACGGGCCCAGUGCGCUGGUCGGACUGACGCCGCGCUUCUCUUCGGUGCUUGAUGCGGGUACGAGCGUCUUCUUGAUGCCGUUCUUGAAGAACUUGGCGCUGAUCACGACGAGCUCGCGGAUCUGACGACGCGGUGGAGUCGCUGUCGAGGUUGACCCGACGAGUCGGCGAUCUUCGCCUUCGGGGCGGAGAGUGCACGGAAGUUGCACCUCCUCUGGUCUUGUCGUCAUCGGCCCGCGCUUGGGCGUCUCGCCACGGCUUCGACGUGCUUGGUUGCCAGGGAGUGUCGCCGUUGGCGAAGCCGAUGAGGCUCUGAAUGGUGACCCUCCAGUCGUCGAUCCUGUCUGGCGUUGGAGGGUAAUCCAGGAGCAGUUGGGCUCGAGCCAAUGCUUCUUCUGGAGUCUUGGGCGGUGGUGGUGAACGGUGCGAGGAGCGGGAUACGCUCGAACUUCUAACUGGGUUAGAAGGAGAAGGAUCCCGUCCAGGCGACCGCGCCACGCUCGUGCCGGCAUGCUGUCGUGCAUGCUGGCCUUGAGCGUCCUGAAAUCCACUAGCUCGGCCUUGCUCCAACGCAAGCACGGUACUAGGAGCACCAUGGCGUUGUCGGUCCCGCGCCUCCUGAGAGGGGCGCGGUGCAUGUACGGACGCCGAAGUUUGCGGGGCCUUGUCCUUGGAUCUGGUAGCAUAAUGAGCUCCCUCGUCGGCGCCCGUUCCUCCGCCGGCGUCUACCCCACCACCCGUUUGCUCCGGUGGUGGUGGGAGCGACGCGGACGGAGCAGCCACCUCCGAAGUCUUCUUCUUCGGUGGCAUGUCGAUGAAGAUGUUGAUGUAGCGCGCGCGAACGCCGGAUCAGGUUCGCACAACCUCGACGCCCCAUACCUGGCGCGCCAAAGAUGUCGUGGGAAACGAACACCUAUGGGGCAGGGGCCCCUUCUCGGUCCGGCAGGGAGCGGAGGGCGCACGAAGAGCAGAUCGAGGCGAUGCACGCGAGGGAUUUUUACCCAGCUUCGGAGCUCUCCGGAGAGAUAAAACUCCUACUGCUGCUUUUGUGUUUGUAUUUUGCUCAAGAGUGUGAGCGUUCUGUGGUUUCGAAAGUGUCCAACCCCCCCUACGUUGCGCAUCGGCCUCCUUUUAUAGGCUAAAGGGGUCACCGACAGGUGGCGACGCAGGCAAGGGUACAAAUGUAAAAAGGGUGGUUGGUACAACUGCUGCUAUAGCGUACCCUACCUAACUCUGACGGCAGGGGACAAGGGCAUUUAAUGCCCGUCCGGUCGCCCAAACAGUGCAGAAAACGACCGUUUGGGGCGCCACCACUUGCCACGAUGGCCUUCUCGUCAUCUCCGCUUGCCACCUCGCACCGCUUGGCUGCACAGCUUCCCGCCACGUGCACCUGGAAUGGUCCUGUGGCGACACGUCGACGGAUGCGCUGGAGCGUAGGCACAGAGUGGUGGCCUCGCCGCGGCAAGCGCCUUGCCGCGGUCGUUGUCUUGUCGCGCCCGGAAGCUUGUCGCUCGCCGGGUCUUGCCGGGACGCGCGGCGCGUCGUGGCAAGUUUCUUAAAAUGCCUUGGUUGGCCUUCCCGGCAAGCUCCUCUUGCCGGGGCCUUGUCCCUCCCGGCAAGCUCCUCUUGCCGGAGUCUUGUCUUCUCAGUUAAUACACUUUGUUCUUGAAUGGCACCAAUGGGAGCUACGGAGGAUCUUGGCGGACGUCCAGCAAGCCUUGCCGCGGGGCGCCGCGGCUGCCCAUGCACAAGUUCGGGAUACUAAGGUACCCCUACUUUAGUACACCGACACCAUGUAUAUCGAGAAUAGUCAUCAACAAUGACAAAACCAUAUAGAGAUGCAUCAUUAGUGACUGUGGAGUAAUGAUUAGGUCCGAAGAGAUCCAUGGGAAGCAAUUCGAAUGGACGGGUAGUGGUCAUGAUAGUCUUCGCUGGAUGCUUGGCCUUGGUCAUUUUUCCCGCUUCACAGGCUCCACAUAAGUGGUCCUUGAGGAAUUUGACAUUCUCAAUGCCAAUGACAUGCUUCUUCUUCGCAAGCAUGUUCAAAUUCCUCAUGCCUGCGUGACCAAGUCGUCGAUGCCAUAGCCAGCCUUCUGAAGCUUUUGCAAGUAGGCACAUGGCUGGUUGUGGUCCUGUAGAGAAAUCAACAAUAUACAAAUCUCCUCUCCUAAAGCCUUCGAAGACUUUGGAAUUGUCAGCUUCCAUAAUCACAACACAGCGAUACUUGCCAAAGACAACAACCAUAUCAAGAUCACAAAGCAUUGAGACUGACAUGAGAUUGUAUCCUAAGGACUCAACAAGCAUGACUUUGUCCAUGUGUUUAUCCUUAGAGAUUGCAACCUUACCAAGACCCAAUACCUGACUUUUGCCUUUGUCAGCAAAGAUGAUAUGCUUCAGAGGUGAUGGUGAUAAAGGAGCAUCCAUCAAUAUAUUCUUGUCACCAGUCAUGUGAUUUGUACAUCCACUAUCGAGGACCCAUUCAGUGGUUUUGGGUUGAUCAUCCUGCAGAUGAAUUAGUGUAGCUUACAAUCUCAUAUGCUUCAUCAGUGAAGAAUAUGAUAUCAAAUUCAUCAGAUGAAUUUCAUCAAGCAGUAAACAGAUAUAGCAGUAUGAGGACGUGUGAAAUGAAAGUUCAUUUCAUCAUGAUUCGCCUGCGUCCUUUCAGGCAUCUUGUCAGGUCCCUAGCAAAUUCUUCAGACGUUUAAAGCACGUCUGGAGACCUGACCCUGCAGGAGAGAUUAGUUCUUUUUCUUUACCACCCACAUCUGGAGGGGUGGCAAAGAAUUCAUCACUCUGUGAGCACCAUAUGAGAAAGGUGGCAAAGAUGCCAAACCAUUUCGAUUCACAUAAGAGGGGUUAGGGUAAGCAUAUGAAUAAGCAAAGAAAUUCUUCGAGGACUGAUGAACAUAAUGAUUUGAAGAAUAAUGCACAUAUUCAUAGCCCUUAGCUCUACCCUGCGAAACAGAGUUGUUAGCACGAUGAUAAUCAUAUGAGGACUUUGAUCCUUUUGAGGAAUUUGAUCCUCGUGAGGAAUUUGGUCCGUAUGAGGACUUGGAUCCAUAUGAAGAAUUUGGUCCAUAUGAAGAAUUUGAUCUGGGGUUCCUGUUCUUCACAGGUGGUGUCAUGAGGACAUUCACCUGAAGACUUUCGAGGCACUUCUUUGGAACCCAGAUUUUCUUCAUAGGAGAACUAUUCCUGCAGUUAGUGCCAACAUAUCUAGCAAAUACUUCACCAUUCUGAUUUUUGAAUAGUUUAUAGUUGGAGUCAAAUGACUCAUUAGAGGAAUGAGGAGAUUCACAUGUAAAGCCAGAUAAAUUAGAUGGAUCAACUGGAGGUCCCUUUGCAGCAACCCAUGAAGUUUUGGGGUACUGCUCAGGCUUCCAAUAUGUUCCAUCAGCAUUGAGUUUCCUCUCAAAGGCAAUACCCUCUUUCCUAGGGUUUCUAUUGAGGAUCUGCUUUUUAAGCACAUCACAAAGAGUCUGAUGCCCUUUGAGGCUUUUGUACAUGCCUGUCAUGUACAAUUCCUUCAGCCCUGCAUUGUCAGUGAUACUAGCAAUGUCCUCAGAUGAGGAAUUAGUGAUAGCAGAGGCAGAUGAAGAAUUUGUAACAGUUGAAGCAUUUGAACAUUCAGGUGAAGAAUUAGCAUAUUCACGUUCAAUGCACUUUAAGCAUGGAGGAACAAAUUCUUCCUGAGAGGCGCUAAUUUGUUGAGCUAGUAAUGAAUCGCGCUCCUUCUGAAGAUCUUCAUAACACACUCUUAGCUUUUCAAGAUCUUCCUUUCUUUGAAGAGCUUCAAGAUAAAGCUUCUCGUGAUCUUGCUUUUCUUGAAGAAAUUCAUAAGAAAGUUUCUCAUGAUCAGAUAAGAGAGUGUUAUGAUGUCUUUGAAGGUUAUCAAACCUAGACUGAAGUCUCUGAAGAUUCUCAGUCAGGGCUUUAGUGCGAUCCAUUUCUUCACCCAACAUAUCAUCACUUUUGUCUAGCAUGUUUUGAACCUUUUCAAAAGCCCGUUAUUGUUUUACAGCAAUCUUAGCAAGUUUAGAGUAGCUGGGCUUGAGAUUUUCAUCAGAUUCAUUUUCACUAGAUUCAGAGGAGUUGUAUUUGAGUACCUUUGCACCUUUCGCCAUGAAGCAAUAGGUGGGAGCGUAGUCAUCAUUAUCUUCAUCAGGCUUGUCGGUGGAGUCAGUUUCUUCAGUGUUGAAGAUGGACUUGCUAACGAAAGCAGUAGCGAAGGCCAGACUCGCCAUACCAGAUUCAGAUUCUUCAGACGCCUCUUCUUCAUCAUUUUCCUCAGAUUCAGCUUCAGAGUCCAUUUCCUUGCCAAUGAAUGCCCGAGCCUUCUUGGAGCUGCUCUUCUUGUGAGAUGAAGACUUCGAGGAUUUUGAUGACGAAGAUUUUGAUGAUUUCUUCUUCUUCUUCGCAUCAUCAGAACUGUAAUCCUUGUAUUUCUUCUUCUUCAUUUCCUUUUCCCACUGAGGACAAUCUUGAAUGUAGUGACCAGGUUUCUUGCAUUUGUGGCACAGCCUUCUCUUAUAGUCACUGGAUGAGGAAUCACUGCCUCUUGAGGAUUUUCCAAAGCGACCACGCCUUGAGAACUUCUGGAAUUUCUUCACGAGCAGUGCAAGCUCCUGGCUCAAUUCUUCAGGAUCACCAAGGCUACUACCAGAAUCCUCACAUUCAGAGUCAGACACAGCCUUGGCCUUCAGGGCACGUGGUUUGCCAUAGUUUGAACCAUAGAGAUCUCUCUUUUCAGCAAGCUGGAACUCAUGAGUAUUUAGCCUUUCGAGGAUAUCGGCAGGAUCAAGAGACUUGUAGUCAGCACGUUCUUGUAUCAUCAGUCCCAGAGUAUCAAAUGAGGAAUCAAGCGAUCUCAACAGUUUCUUCACCACCUCAUGAUCAGUGAUGUCAGUGGCACCGAGGGCUUGAAGCUCAUUUGAGAUGUCAGUGAGGUGAUCAAAGGUUUGUUGGACAUUUUCAUUGUCGAGCCUUUUGAAGCGGUUGAAGAGAUUCCGAAGAACAUCAACUCGAGAGUCACGCUGAGUUGAGACUCCUUCAUUUACUUUGGACAGCCUAUCCCAGAUAAGCUUAGCAGUUUCCAAAGUACUCACUCUUCCAUACUAUCCUUUACUUAGAUGGCCACAUAUGAUAUUCUUCGCUUGAGAAUCGAGUUGCUUGAAUCUCUUCACAUUAGUACCGUUCAGUGAGGGUGUGACAGAGGGGACACCAUUUUCCACAACAUACCAAAGAUCGUUGUCAAUUGCCUCAAGAUGCAUUCGCAUCUUGUUCUUCCAGUAGGGGUAGUCCGUCCCAUCAAAGGUAGGACACCCAGCCGAGACCUUGAUCAUACCUGUGGUCGACAUAACUAAAACUCCAGGCGGUUAAACCAAAAUCACACAGAACAAGGGAGUACCUUGCUCUGAUACCAAUUGAAAGUGCGUUAUAUCGACUAGAGGGGGGGUGAAUAGGCGAUUUUUAUGAAUUCUUCACUGAGGAAUUUGUUGAUGAGGAAAUUCCUUAGCGAAGAACUACUUGCAGCGGAAUAAGUACUCAGAAGUAUGCAUAACAGAAUACAAGCAUAGUCAUCAUGAUGAAAUGAAGACAAGCAUAGAGUACAGAAAGCGUAAUCACAGGAUAACACAAGAUGAAGACAAACAGACUGAAGAAAUUGAACUGAGGAAAUUGAAAAAGUAUUCAGUCAAAGUCUUCAAACACAGAUAUGAACAAACAUUCAACAUAGCAAUGAGGAAAUGAAAGAGUUGAGGAAAUAGAACCAGUUAGGUUGGUGAAGACAAUGAUUUGGUAAACCAGUUCCAACUGCUGUCUCAGUUGUACGUCUGGUUGGAGCGGCUGAGUAUUUAAACUUGAGGACACGCAGUCCCGGACACCUAGUCUCUGAGCCGCAACUCAGGACACCCAAUCCUCACCGUAUUCUCCUUGAACUAAGACCACGCAGGUCUCGUCCAAUCACUCGUGGUAAGUCUUCAGGUGACUUCCAAACCUUCACAGACUUGUUCACUCGGCGAUCCACAAUUCCUCUUGGAUGCUCUAGACCUUGACGCCUAACCAUCUGGAAGAAGCACAGUCUUCAAAGGUAACAAGCGUCGGAUCCACACAGGAUCAAUUUCUUCAGUGAUGCUCAAUCACUUUGGGUUUGUGGGGGUUUGGUUUUGGGUUUUCCUCACUUGAUGAUUUUCGCUCAAAGUCCUCGGAGGAUGGGUUGCUCUCAGAUGACAAGUGUCAAGUUCUCUCAGAGCAGCCAACCAACUAGUGGUUGUAGGGGGCGGCUAUUUAUAGCCUAGGGAGCAGCCCGACAUGAUAAGACAUAAAUGCCCUUCAAUGAUAUGACCGUUAGGUGGAUAAGAUAUUUUGGACAGCCGACGCGCAGCACAGCAACGGUCGGAAAUUUGACUCUCAAAUUCCUCAGGGCUAUCAUGUUCCUCACUGUGUAGGCAAUUCGCACUGGUGAAUUCCUAACUCCUCAGUCAGAGCAAAGUCCUCAGUGACCAGAAGAACUGCGUCUCUGUCACUGAAGAAAUUGACUGAACUAUAUCAGAUUUCCAAUGGCUUCACUCGAAGGGAUUGGUAGGUGUAGGAUUUUGAGUUGAGCAUCACAUGGAAAUUUUUCCCUAGUAUUUCCUCGACCCCCUUUAACAGUACGGUGUUUCCUAUGACUCAAGAAAGAGAAAAUGAAACUUCGAAAACAAAAGUCUUCACGCUUCAUGUUCCUCAAGUGGAUACCAAGUCUUCAAGGUCACACCAAUUUCUUCACUUUCAAAGUCUUCAGAAAGUCUUCAGAAUAUCAAAGUCUUCAGUCGAAGAACUUCAUUUUUAGGGGUCGACUUUCUCUGAAAAUGUCAAACUCCUCAUAGACUUAUAGACCUGUGUACACUCACAAACGCAUCAGUCCCUUAACCUAUAAGUCUUCAAUACACCAAAAUCACUAAGGGGAACUAGAUGCACUUACAGUUAUCCUCGAUGGCAACAAUACAAUACGUGUCUUGCAACCCUUUCUGUCACUGGGUAAGAACACCGCAAGAUUGAACACAAAGCUAAGCACUUCUCCCAUGGCAAGAAAGAUCAAUCUAGUAGGUCAAACCAAACUGAUAAUUCGAAGAGACUUGCGAAGAUAACUCAAUCAUACAUAAAAGAAUUCAGAGAAGAUUCAAAUAUUAUUCAUAGAUAAACUUGAUCAUAAACCCACAAUUCAUCGGAUCUCGACAAACACACCGCAAAAGGAGAUUACAUCGAAUAGUUCUCCACAAGAGAGGGGGAGAACAUUGUAUUGAGAUCCAAAAAGAGAGAAGAAGCCAUCUAGCUAAUAACUAUGGACCCGUAGGUCUGUGGUAAACUACUCACAACUCAUCGGAGGGGCAAGGAUGUUGAUGUAGAGGCCCUCCAUGGUUGCUUCCCCCUCCGGCAGAGUGCCGGCAAGGGCUCCAAGAUGGGAUCUCGCGGAUACAGAAGGUUACGGUGGUGGAAAUUGUGUUUCGUGGUGCUCCUGGAUGUUUUCGGGGUACGUAGGUAUAUAUAGGAGGAAGAAGUACGUCGUUGGACGCCCGAGGGGCCCACGAGACAGGGGGCGCGCCCUAUAGGGGGGGCGCCCUCCUAUCUCGUGGGGCGCUUGGAGCUUUCUUGACUUGCACUCCAGGCUCUCCGGAUCAGAUUUGUUCCAAAAAUAACGCUCCCGAAGGCUUCAUUCCGUUUGGACUCUGUUUGAUAUUCCUUUUCUUCAAAAUAUUGAAAUAGGCAAAAAAACAGUAAUAUGGGCUGGGCCUCCGGUUAGUAGGUUAGUCCCAAAAAUGAUAUAAAUGUGUAAAAUAAAGCCCAUAAACAUCCAAAAGGGGUAAUAUAAUAGCAUGGAACAAUCAAAAAUUAUAGAUACGUUGGAGACGUAUCAAGCAUCCCCAAGCUUAAUUCCUGCUCGUCCUCGAGUAGGUAAAUGAUAAAAAAGAAAUUUUUGAUCUGGAAUGCUACCUAGCAUAAUUCAAAAUGUAAUUUUCUUCAUUGUGGCAUGAAUGUUCAGAUCCAAAUGAAUACAAAAUAAAAGUUCAUAUUGACAUAAGAAAUAGUAAUACUUCAAGCAUAAUCAAAGUAAUCAUGUCUUCUCAAAAUAACAUGGCUGAAGAAAGUUAUCCCUACAAAAUCAUAUAGUCUGGCUAUGCUCUAUCUUCAUCACACAAAGUAUUUAAUCAUGCACAACCCCGAUGACAAGCCAAGCAAUUGUUUCAUACUUUAAUAAUCUCAAACUUUUUCAACUUUCACGCAAUACAUGAGCGUGAGCCAUGGACAUAGCACUAUAUGUGGAAUAGAAGGGUGGUUGUGGAGAAGAUAAAAAGGAGAAGAUAGUCUCACAUCAACUAGGCGUAUCAACGGGCUAUGGAGAUGCCCAUCAAUAGAUGUCAAUGUGAGUGAGUAGGGAUUGCCAUGCAACGGAUGUACUAGUGCUAUAAAUAUAUGAAAGCUCAAUAAAAGAAACUAAGUGGGGUGCAUCCAACUUGCUUGCUCAUGAAGACCUAGGGCACUUUGAGGAAGCCCAUCAUUGCAAUAUACAAGCCAAGUUCUAUAAUGAAAAAUUCCCACUAGUAUAUGAAAGUGACAACAUAUGAGACUCUCUAUCAUGAAGAUCAUAGUGCUAUUUUGAAGCACAAGUGUGGAAAAAGAGAUAGUAGCAUUGUCCCUUCUCUCUUUUUCUCUCAUUUUAUUUCUUUUCUUUUCUUUUUUUCUUUUCUCUUUUUUUCUUUCUUUGGCCUUCUUUUUUUUCUUUUUGGCCUCUCUCUUUUUUUCCUUUUUUUUCUUUCUUUUCUUUCUUUUUUAAAGUCUGAAGUCUCAUCCCAACUUGUGGGGGAAUCAUAGUCUUCAUCAUCCUUACCUCACUAGGACAAUGCUCUAAUAAUGAAGAUCAUCACACUUUUAUGGAUUUACAACUCAAAGCUAGAACAAGAUAUGACUCUAUAUGAAUGCCUUCGGCGGUGUACCGGGAUAUGCAAUGAAUCAAGAGCGACAUGUAUGAAAAUUAUGAAGGUGGCCUUGCCACAAAUACAAUGUCAACUACAUGAUCAUGCAAAAAGCAAUAUGACAAAAGUAAUGUGUGUCAUAUAAACGGAACGGUGGAAAGUCGCAUGGCAAUAUAUCUCGGAAUGGCUAUGGAAAUGCCAUAAUAGGUAGGUAUGGUGGCUGUUUUGAGGAAGGAGUAUGGUGGGUGUAUGGUACCGGCGAAAGUUGCGCGGUACAAGAGAGGCUAGCAAUGGUGGAAGGGUGAAAGAGUGCGUAUAAUCCAUGGACUCAACAUUAAUCAAAAGAACUCAUAUACUUGUUGCAAAAAUUUAGAAGUCAUCAAAAACCAAAUACUACGCGCAUGCUCCUAGGGGGAUAGAUUGGUAGGAAAAGACCAUCGCUCGUCCCCGACCGCCACUCAUAAGGAAGACAAUCAAUAAAUAAAAUUGUGGUCCAACUUCAUCACAAAGUGGUUCACCAUACGUGCAUGCUACGGGAAUCACAAGCUUCAACACAAGCAUUCUUUAAGUUCAUAAUCACCCAGCUAGCAUGACUUUAAUAUCACUACCUCCAUAUCUCAAAACAAUUAUCAAGCAUCAAAUUGAUCAUAACAUCCAAUUCACUUUCUAUGAUAGUUUUUAUUAUACCCAACUUGGAUGCUCAUCAUUCUAGGACCAACUUUAUGAUCAUAGCAAAUACCAUGCUGUUCUAAAAGACUCUCAAAAUGAUAUAAGUGAAGCAUGAGAGACUAUCAAUUUCUUCAAAAUUAAGACACCACCGUGCUCUAAAAGAUAUAAGUGAAGCACUAGAGCAAAAACUAUCAAGCUCAAAAGAUAUAAGUGAAGCACAUAGAGUAUCUUAGCAAAUUCUAAUCAAAUAGGCUUCUCCCAAAAAGUUGUGUACAGCAAGGAUAAUUGUGGUAAACUAAAAAGAAAAGACUAAUAUAAUACACGACGCUCCAAGCAAAACACAUAUCAUGUGGCAAAUAAAAAUAUAGUUCCAAGUAAAGUUACCAAUGAACGAAGACGAAAGAGGGGAUGCCUUCCCGGGGCAUCCCCAAGCUUAGGCUUUUGGCUAUUCUUGAAUAUCUUUGGGUGCCAUAAGUAUCCCCAAGCUUAGGCUCUUGCCACUCCUUAUUCCAUAGUCCAUAAAAGCUUUACCCAAAACUUGAAAACUUCACAACACAAAACUCAACAGGAAAUCUUAUAAGCUCCGUUAGUGAAAGAAAACAAAACCACCACAUAAGGUACUGCCAUGAACUCAUUCUUUAUUUAUAUUGGUGUUACACCUACUAUAUUCCAACUUCUUCAUAGUUUAUAAACUAAUUUACUAGCCAUAGAUGCAUUGGAAUAAGCAAACAACACAAGAAAAACAGAAUCUGUCAAAAACAGAACAGUUUGUAGCAAUCUGUAACUAACGCAAACUUCUGGAACUCUUAAAAUCCUACCAAAAUAGGAAGUCCUGGACAAUUUGUCUAUUGAACAGACGCAAAAAGAGUCAACGCAAAUCACGUUCCUGUGAUUUAACAAAACUAUAUUCGUGCGCGCAAAGUUUCUGAUUUUCAGCAGAAUCAAAUCAACUAUCAUCGUAGGUUAUCCUAUAGGUUCUACUUGGCACAAACACUAAUUAAAAGAUACAAACACAUCUAUCCAGAAGGUAGAUGCAAGAUUUAUUACUAAACAGGAGCAAAAACUAAAAACAUAAAGAAAAAUUGGGUUGCCUCCCGACUAGCACUAUCGUUUAACGCCCCUAGCUAGGCAUAAAAACAAAGAUAGAUCUAACGAGUGCCAUCUUUGGCACUAGGUUCAUAAGUAGCAUGCUUGUGAUCUCUAGGGAUUUCUUCCCUUUUAGCAAUGGAUAAACCUUUAGGCAAAAAUUCAAGAAAUUCAUUAUUAGCAAAAGUUUCCUUAACGAUAGAGAGGCAAUUGGGAAGAACACUUAUGGAUUUGAGAUCCGCAUCUUCCUUACUAGAAGAUUCACCCUUAUUUUUAGGAACAUAAAUAAACUUGGAAAUUUUAGUAGGGGGUUUUGGAGUGUUUUUCAUGGGGGAAAACGUGGAACCCAAGUUUGUAAUGAUAUCCUCAAGUUUACUGAUUCUAGAAGAGUCUAGAUCUAUUUUGUCAUUAACUAAAGGUUCUUUUUCCUUAAGAUUUUUCAAAGUAAGUCCAACCCUAGAUCCAAAUUGGGUAAUGUGAUUAUGAAUCUUUUUAUCCAAAUUUUCAAUCAACUCAACAGUGGCAAUUUUACUUUCAAUAAUAUCAAGCCGUUGCAUCACAUGUUCUAGGGUUAAAAGCGUUCCAUUAACCAAAAGAGGUGGUGGGCCAAACAAAUCUAACAUAGCAUUAUAAGCAUCAAAAGUAUGGCUACUCAUAAAAUCACCUCCUGUAGCAAUAUCAAGAACACAUCUAUUCCAAGGAGUAAUGCCUACAUAAAAAUUGCGGAGAAGAACGGAAGUAGCGAGCUUCCUAGUAGCUCUAUAUUGGGCAUUGCAAAUUCUAUGCCAAGCAUCUUUUAAACUUUCCCUUUCACUUUGCUUAAAAUUUUGAAUUUCUUGUUCGGGAGUAAGAAUAAAGAUAGGAGGACUAGCCAUAACAACAAGGUAAACGGACUAACACACGAGCAAACAGAAAAACGGCAAGCAAAGAGAGAGGAGGAGAUUGGGAAAGAGAGGGCGAAUAGAACAGCAAGGGUGAAGUGGGGGAGAGGAAAACGAGAGGUAAAUGGCAAAUAAUGUAAAUGCGAGGGAGAUGGGUUUAUGAUGGGUACUUGGUAUGUCUUGACUUGAGCGAAGACCUCCCCGGCAACGGCGCUAGAAAUCCUUGCUACGUCUUGAGCUUGCGUUAGUUUUCCUCGAAGAGGACAGGGUGAUGCAGCAAAGUGUAGCGUAAGUAUUUCCCUCAGUUUUGAGAACCAAGGUAUCAAUCCAGUAGGAGGCUCCUCAAAAGUCCCACGCACCUACACAAACAAACUGAGAACUCGCAACCAACGCAAUAAAGGGGUUGUCAAUCCCUUCACGGUCACUUGUGAAAGUGAGAUCUAAUAAAGAUAGUAUCAUAAGAUAAAUAUAUUUUUGGUAUUUUUGAUAUAGAUGCAAAAAUUAAAGAAGCAAAUAAAAGUAGAUGAAAGCAAUAUGAUAAGAGAUAGACCCGGGGGGCAUAGGUUUCACUAGAGACUUCUCUCAAGAUAGCAUAAGUAUUACGGUGGGUGAACAAAUUACUGUCGAGCAAUUGAUAGAAAAGCGCAUAGUUAUGAGAUUAUCUAGGCAUGAUCAUGCAUAUAGGCAUCACGUCCAUAACAAGUAGACCAACUCCUGCCUGCAUCUACUACUAUUACUCCACACAUCGACCGCUAUCCAGCAUGCAUCUAGAGUAUUAAGUUCAUAAGAACAGAGCAACGCAUUAAGCAAGAUGACAUGAUGUAGAGGGCUAAACACAUGAAAUAUGAUAUAAACCCCAUCUUGUUAUCCUCGAUGGCAACAAUACAAUACGUGUCUUGCAACCAUUUCUGUCACUGGGUAAGAACACCGCAAGAUUGAACCCAAAGCUAAGCACUUCUCCCAUGGCACGAAAGAUCAAUCUAGUAGGCCAAACCAAACUGAUAAUUCAAAGAGACUUGCAAAGAUAACUCAAUCAUACAUAAAAGAAUUCAGAGAAGAUUCAAAUAUUAUUCAUAGAUAAACUUGAUCAUAAACCCACAAUUCAUCGGAUCUCGACAAACACACCGCAAAAAGAGAUUACAUCGAAUAGUUCUCCACAAGAGAGGGGGAGAACAUUGUAUUGAGAUCCAAAAAGAGAGAAGAAGCUAUCUAGCUAAUAACUAUGGACCUGUGGUCUGUGGUAAACUACUCACAACUCAUCGGAGGGGCAAGGAUGUUUAUGUAGAGGCCCUCCGUGGUUGCUUCCCCCUCCGGCAGAGUGCCGACAAGGGCUCCAAGAUGGGAUCUCGUGGAUACAGAAGGUUACGGCGGUGGAAAUUGUGUUUCGUGGUGCUCCUGGAUGAUUUCGGGGUACAUAGGUAUAUAUAGGAGGAAGAAGUACAUCGGUGGACGCCCGAGGGGCCCACGAGACAGGGGGCGCGCCCUACAGGGGGGCGCCCUCCUAUCUCGUGGGGCCGUCGGAGCUUUCUUGACUUGCACUCCAGGCUCUCUGGAUCAGAUUUGUUCCAAAAAUAACGCUCCCGAAGGUUUCAUUCCGUUUGGACUCCAUUUGAUAUUCCUUUUCUUCGAAAUACUAAAAUAGGAAAAAAAAACAGCAAUAUGGGCUGGGCCCCCGGUUAGUAGGUUAGUCCCAAAAAUGAUAUAAAUGUAUAAAAUAAAGCCCAUAAACAUCCAAAAGGGGUAAUAUAAUAGGAUGGAACAAUCAAAAAUUAUAGAUACGUUGGAGACGUAUCAGUUGUAUCUUUUGUUUUACCCUGAAGCAUCCCAAUUUUGUGAGAUUAGGGUCUCUCUAAUUCUUGCGGAUAUGUGUUUCUGCCAUCUUUUGUUCGUCUAGAAUUCCAUUUUGUACCAACAAUCAUAUCAAGUUGUUCAUGUAGAACGUCAUUUUGUUCCCCUGGCUUCCCUGUCUUCUUCUUGGAAAAUUUCUUCUGCCGUUGGUGUGAAUCCUUACAGAACGUCCUUGAUGGAGUAAGUGCUCCUAGAUAGGUUCAGCAGGCAAAAGUGACAUGAGCGACCUGAGCAUUCUCAUCUAUUAGCAUUAUUGAAUGCAAACAAGAUAUGAUCUUUCUUAUACACAUGUAAUACGAGUUUUCAUUUACCACUACUGGCACAAUCCUCAGUACCUUUGAAUGGAGCUCUCGGCUCCAUCCUCCCAUUCAAAGAAAUAAUAGUAAUGUCUAUUAUGCAUGCUAUCACCACUAUGAGCAACAAACUAUUGCAGUUUGUGUGCUUUGUGCACGCCUUACUUAAGAAAUCAUUCACACUUUAAUUGUUUCUGGCUAGUGCAGGCUGUAUGUAGUUCAGAAGUGAGGUUCAUUAGAAGCAUGGAGAUUGAGCAGUUGCAAAGUUAAUGUGUUCCCUACCUCAUUGUCUUGCUGGAUGCUUUAAUGAGAAAGAACUGAUCUUUUUUGCUGUAUGUAAUUGGACAGGUGACAACACCAAUGCUUGCACCUUCUUCUGUUGCCGAUAUGGACUUGGGGGUGCAUGACUUGACAAUGAGCACCUAACAUCAGUUCUCUCCAUGGCAGUGAGCUCACUGCGCAACAACCGCCAUGAUGUGGUUCAGGUAACUGCCCAGUCUCCUCCUUAGACACCAUGUUGUGUGGUGCCCGGCCAUCGCGCCGAAGACGUGUUGUGAUCUUCGGCUUCGAGCCUUGGUACUUUCUUGGUAGAGGUUUGCUUGUGGGGUGCUCAUCUGGUCACAUGGUUGUAGCAAAUAAACUAAGCCCCCCAACUAAUCAAAUGUUUCCUUUCUUGUCCAUCUUUUGGAUGAAAAAGUUGUAUUAAGAGCUUUUGGAACUACGUGUGCACUACUUUGGUCUUUUUGUUUUAUUUUGAUCCCCCUCUCUUUAGUACUUUGUUUGUCUAUCAAGAAAAUGGUGUUAUGGUGCAGGUGUAGUUGAGACUUGGUUUCUGUGUUUGUGCCUUCUUAUUUUCACUAGCUUAUGGUACAAUUGAUGGGUAUCUUUUUUUUGUCUCCUUUUUUAGCUAAGUUGUAUCAUCUUAGGUAUAGUUGGUUGCUUUGGAAUUCUCUUAGAAGAUAGAAUUGUUCAGAUUUGAGUUACAGAUCAAAAUAUAUGGUUCUUGCUCCUGGUUAUGCUACUGUUUGAGUUAUAGAUCAAAAUGUAUUGUUCUUGGUCCUGGUUAUGUUACUGUUUGAGUUACAGAUCAAAAUGUAUGGUUCGUGGUCAUGUAUAUUUGAGACUAGGAAUGUCAUUCUGAAAUUUGCUUUACAUAUAUUGUGAUAUUCUCAAACUUGUUAUCUGCAUCAACCAGGUACGUCAAUUCAUGUAAGCGACUCUGUUGAGAAGGAGAUCGCUAUGUGGUUCUGGUGCUACCUGGUGGUUGUCGUCGCGGUUGCCUUGCUUUUGGUGUUGAUGAGAUGGCGGGGUUGUUGCCCAGUAUCCUUGCCGCCAGCUCCCACAACUUCCUCCUUGGUUAUCACCACUUAGGUGAGUCCCUGGUCUCGCCUUCCUCUGUCUUUUCUGGGAUUGCAAGCAAGGCAUGCACAUCUGCUGGAUGCAUCCUGUUUGUGAUGACAUUAGAAUCUGAAACCCGGGGAUGCCAUGUAUAUUUAUGUACUCACUAGGAGACGCAAUGGUACUCCGUUUGUAAUGUGUAACAAACAACGUCUUAUAUUUUGAUACAGAGGGAGUAGUUUAUUAAAGCAUGGAGAUUAAGCUAUUGCAAAGUUAAUGAUUUGGUUGUGUGUUCCCUAGCUCAUUAGCUUGCUCGAUGAUUUAAUGAGAAAGAACUGAUCUAUUUUGCUGUACAUGAUUGGAUUGGUGACAACGCUAAUGAUUGCACCUUCUUCUAUCACCGAUAUCGACUUGCGAGCGCAUCACUUGACGAUGAGCUCCUGACAACAGUUCUCUCCAUGGCAGUUAGUUCACUACGCGGCAACCGCCAUGUUGUGGUUCAGGUAAAUACCUAGUGUUCUCCUUAGACACCAUGUUGUGUGGUGCCGGCCAUCGCGCCAAAGACAUGUUGUGAUGUUGGGCUUCGAGCCUUGGGGUAGGGGUUUGCUUGUUGGGCGGUCACGUGGCCAUACAUGGUUGCAGCAAAUAAACUAAGCCACCCAACUAAUCAAAUGUUUCCUUCUCGUCUAAUCUUUUGGAUGAAAAGUGAUGUUAAGAGCCUUUGGAACUACUUGUGCACUACUCUGGUCUUUUUGUUUUAUUUUGAUCCCCCUCUCUUUAAUACUUUGGUAGUUUGUCAAGAAACUAGUGUUACGCCGUAGACGCAGCCGACACUUGGUUUCUGUGUAUGUGCCUUCUUAUUUUCACCAACUUAUGUUACAAGGAUGGGUAUCUUUAUUUUGUCUCCUUUUUUAGUUAAUUUAUGUCAUCGUAGGUAAAGCUGGUAGCUUUGGCCUUUUCUCGAAAGAUAGAAUUGUUCAGAUUUGAGCUACACAUUAAAAUAUAUGGUUCUUGCUCCUUGUUAUGCAACUGUUUGAGUUAUAGAUCAAAAUGUAUGGCUCUUGGUCAUGGUUAUGUUAAUGCUUGAGUUAUAGACCAAAAUGUAUGGUUCUUGGUCCUGUAUAUUUGAGACCAGGAAUGUCAUUCUGAAACUUGUUAUCUGCAUAAUCCAGGAACAUCAUUCAUGUAAGCGACUCAAUUUAGAAGGAGAUUACCAUGUGGUUCUGGCGCUACCUGGUGGUUGUCGUCACGGUUGCCUUGCUUCUGGCACUGAUGAGACGACGGGGUUGUCGCCCAGUAUCCAUGUUGCCAGCUCGGACAACUGCCUCCUUGGUUAUCACCACUUAGGCGAGUCACUGGUCUCGCCUUCCUCUGUCUUCUUUGGGAUCUAGCCUGUGCUUUUCUCCAUCCAUCGAGGCGAUGAUCAGUGCUUAUGGUCUGUGGUGGUGGUUGGUCAUGUGCAAUUUGAUUUAUUCUAUUGUGCUACAGGUUUCAUAUUAGCCUUUCUGAAGUAUUGAUAUGCUCCAUUUUAUGUUUUCUUUUUCUUGUGCAAGUGUUACGGUAGUGACUGGCCUUUUAUUGAAUUUCUUUUGGGAAUUGUAGCUAAAGUUCUAGGGUUCAUUUGAGUGUGGUUGAUGUCAUCCAGCUAAAAGCUUGAAAAUUUGAGCUUAUAGGGUCCGUUUGAGUGAUGUUCACAUGCAUAUCUGGUUGUAUUAGAGCUUUAAUUUAAGUGAUUUUAGUGAUUUGAAUAAAGUGAUGAUUGUAAUAUCAUCCAUAUAUCUUCACCUAGAAUGCAUAUAAGUUAAUAUUUGUAUCAGUAACUACUACAUCAGCAGUGUACUUGUUUUCUUGUUUUAUUCAUAAUCUCAUGGGCGAAGCAGUCAUACACCUUGGUUGUAGAGUGCAGAUGGCAAUGGGCUAUUUGUUUGUCAAAAUGAUGGUGUUUCGACGCAGGCGCAGCCAAUGCUUGGUUUCUGUGUUUGUGCCUUCUUAUUUUCACCAACUUAUGGUGGUACAAUGGAUGGCUAUCUUUGUUUUGUCUCUGCUUUUUUCUUUUCUUUUUGAGCUCAGGUGUGCUGUCGUAGGUAUAGUUUGUCGCUUUGGCCGUUUCUCAAAAAUACAAUUGUUCGGAUUUGAGUUACAGGUCAAAGUAUAUUGUUCUUGUUCCUGGUUAUGGUACAUUUAGAGUUACAGAUCAAAAUAUAUGGUUCUUGGUCCUAUUUAUUACCAUGAAAAGCCUGUUGAAAGGCACCUUUUCACAUUGUUUAGUGGAUACCGAAGAUUAGAGAUCCUGAUUCACUUCCCCAGUUUUCAUUAUUUUGAAAAUUUUGCUUGUUCUUCAGGUGAUAGUGAGAUUACAAUAAUUGCCAUCGGUGAAAGCACCGCUGCAGGGGAUCAAGCUAAAAAGUUUCUGGAAUAUGUUCGUGUUGGUUAGUCCAAGGAGAAGCUGCUCUAAUCUGAUCUGGUCAAGGCACCAAGCUGCUCAAUAUCACCACCAUUUGUUCAUUUCGAAGGUGAAGUGUGUCUCCCCCUCUGUUUGUUUUGAUUUGGCUGCCGUCAAGGUUCCGUUCCCUGAUGUGGUUGUUUCCUCAUGACACAGCCAUGGCCCUCCGGUGGCCUUAAUUCUUCUUCCUCCUCGGCAUAGGUGCUAACUCUCGCUCUCUCAAUCAUGGAUGUAAGAGAUGCUUAGAAUAACACAAUGGUGAUUAAUUGAUACUGUGAAUCUUUCUUCCCAUGUAAAUCUUAUUUUCUAUUUUUAACCAUGCAUCAAACAACACAAUAGCAGUCUCUCAAAAAUUACUUUGAGUAAGAAUCGGCGUUUUACUUGAUUGGUGGUGAUUUGGGGGCGUAUAUUAAUAGGCUUGUGGGGGUGGAUUUUUGGUCCCCUAAGGUGUGAGAAAUAAUUCCUCAUCGCUGGAGUUAGUGUGAUUUCAGGGAAGGCAUGCACAUCUGCUAGAUGCAUCCUAUUUGUGAUGACAUUAGAAUCUGAAAUCCGGGGGUGCCAUAUAUAUUUAUGUACUCACUAGGAGAGGAAAUGAUAUGGAAGAUGCUUAAAUUAGCACAAUGGUUUGAAACUGUGGAUCUUUCUCCCCGUUUGAAUAAUAUUUUAUGUGCUGAACCAGCAUAAAAAACACAAUAGCUUCAAACAAAUUGGUGGUUUUCUUCGAGUAUACUAGUGCUUGUCAUAGUUUUAGUCUUAAGAGUGCAUUGUUAAGCUGAAUGAAACCUGUCUAUCAGUGUUGGUCCUGUUAUGAUGCGAUGAUGUACAAAUAGUAUAUUUGAAUUGUAGACAAGUCCCACCACAAAGCAGACAGGGCUUGUUUGACAUAGGUGAUUGUUCUAUGAUGUUUGACAUUCUCGUGCUUACUUUAGUGAGUAUUUUUUUUUGAUGGCAGAAGGGUGAUGUCUCGGUAGUUCAUGUUAUGAUGUAUUAGCAAACAAUAUUCGGUUCGCUUUCUUACAGUAACACAUGUCUACUGCAAAAUUAGUGAGUGCCAAAUUGUAUAACCAUCAAGAGGAACCCUACUGCAAAAUUGUUUUCUAGUUGCAUGCCCCCAUCCAUCAUGCCCAGUUCAAAACUCUGUAUGCAUGGUUUGCAUCUUGAAUUGAUAUCAACAUACAUGUGUAACAUGUUCCAUCCAUGUGUCAGUGCAGUAGGAGCAGCCCCAGCACCGGGUCGUCGAUGGUGGGUUUUAGCGCGAAGAUGAAGAAGAGCCUGGUGGUCGCCAGGCCGGCGCACCCUCCCAUGGGUUGAUCCCUAAUAUUGGAUGAACACUUUGACUCGCUUGUUUUAAUCUCAGAAAUCAAUUGCCCGUCGACGGAAAGAAUUUGUAGUGCUGGUGCUUUAGUUUUCAUGAUCAAAGUUGUGAUUUAAAUCUGCUCAAGGCCCAAGCUGCUCAAGAUCACAACCAUUUGUUCAUUUCGAAGGUGAUAUGUCUCUCCCCCUCUGUUCGUUUUGAUUCAGCUACCAUCAAGGUUCCCUUCAUGAUGUGUUUGUUUCCUCAUGCACGCAGGUGCACUCCAACGCCUCCCACCCUGCCCCUACGGGGCCUUGAUUCUUCGUUGACUGAUCGCCCCGGUGAGGAUGGUGGCUCCUCCCCUGCUAUCACGGAGAUAGGAUCCUCCCUCCCUCCAUGUGCUUCUUCUCUUCUCUGGGCAGGUGAGGAGACUUCCAGCUGGCUGCUCUUGACAAGCUUCUCAAGGUACCUACCCUCUCCUCUUUGAGAGAGAUCACGUUUCAAUUUGUUCUUCUCCCCUUUCUAGUGCACUACACAUUAUGCUAGGAGAAUUGUAGAUUCAAGCCCUGAAUUAUUACACACCCACCCAAUUCUAUCUUGGAUUUUUUUUCCUGUGAAAGGGAAGGUUUCCUGCGUUUUUAAGGGAAACAAAAUAACAUCCAUUAAGACAAAAGGAAGCGUGUGGGUUUCUAGUUUGUGUUCCAUCCGAUUCCUAUGCCUUUUUUGUUCCUUUGUUUUGUACUCCCAUGUACCAAACGGGGCCUUAUCGUUCCAACUUUGUUUAAAGUGAUUUCCUUAUGAGUAUUUCAUCAUUUGGUAAAUAUGAUGGAUCUUGAUCUUAUGUGUUGAAAUGCUCACUGGAGGCAUUUUACUACUAUAUCACAUAGUUUUCACCUGCUUUUACCACCAUCGGUGCCUAUAUGCUAUAGAAGGCAUUUUUACUACUAUAUCACAUAGUUGUCACCCGCUCUUACCACCAUUGGUGCCUCUGUAGUUGUUUGGUUGUGUUUCUGUUGAUAGUGUUUGAUUCUAUAAGAUAUGCUUGCUUGUCAUUAUGGUGUGGAGAGCUUGUAACUUGGCCACUGAUUAAUUAACUAAUCUUGUUCUCUCUUUAUUUCUCUGCCUAUGUAGGGGAUGAUAGACUAUAUGAUUUUCAUUAAUAUGGACAAGUUCCAACAUCCCAUCCAUAAGGGAAGGGGCAGAGAGGUUGCUUGCAGUGAACAACCCAGGAUCUCGGAAGCAUAGGCCAGACACAAUGCUUGCAAGUUGCAACUACUCAGCCACCCCAAGGGCAUCAAGACGGUGGCAUCAAGUUGGUCAAUACCCUCCCGUGCAGAUGCAUGGAUUGGCUACAUGGCCUGGUCCUCCACAAAAUAUUCAAGUACCACAUCUGACGCAACAACAACUUCAAUACAGGCUUCCAAGGAUGACCCUACCGCAAACAGUGAGUCAAACAGAAGAAGAAUACAAGCUAAGGAAGGAAGGGCCAGCAGUGAGUAGUGGGAGCUAGUGUUAGAUUCAUACAUGAGCUCAUUGAGUUUGUAGUAGUGUUGUUGGGGAAAUGGUGUGGUAGAAUGACGAUAUGGAAGUGUAUUGACUGACUUGCACUUCGAGUGCAUGAAUGAAUCUUGGAAUGAACAACAAGAUAAUACCAUUCUUUUGAUUCGGAUUCUUAUGCGACGCGUUAUGCUACCAAAAUUUCUAGCAAAAAUCCACACGACUUCUCCAAAUUUUGGCCUUCUUUGUAAUGAAACCAAAAAAAUUUGGUCUUGACACUACUAGGGAAAAGCCUAUACACAUGAUCUUAACAGCAGCGAGUUUUAAAAUAAGGCGCUGCUGCAAUUUAUCAGUAGCGCGCUCCUCCAGAACUUGCUGCUGAAGGAAAAGUAGUAGUAGCGCGCCACCUCUAAGCCACGCUACUGCUAUAAUUCCCAUGACCCCGCCACAGAGCUAGUUAUAGCAGCAGCGCGUUAAAUAGAAGGGCGCUACUGCUAGGUAGUUUAGCAGUAGCGCCUUUACGUACACCGCGCAACUGCUAAAAAUAGAAGGGAAUCUCUGAUGGAACAUUUCACCCUACCAGAUUAUUUACUGAUGUAGAUGUGCAGAAAGUCAAGGACGCUGCUCUUAAGAAGAUGGCAAUUGCAUUCAACACCCACAAGAAAACUGUAUGGGCCAACUACCUCGCUUCAGAAAGGAAGACUCCAGAAUUCAAAGGAACACUGGAGAAGCAAAGAGAACGCUGGCCCGCUUUCAUGAAAUUCAAGGAAUCAGAAUUAUCUAAGGAACGGUCGAGAAUAAACAAGGCCAAUGCCGCAAAGAAGACGCAGUUCCAUAGGCUGGGUCCAGGUGGCUACGCGGUGGGAAUGCCUAAGUGGGAUAAGUCCGAGCAAGAGAUGGAGGAUGCAGGGGUCACUCAGGUUACUAGGAGCUGGCCCCCCGGGUGCAGAACUUGGUUCUAUGCGCAUGGGGGCGUUGGACCCGAAGACAGGCCUGGUUUCAAAGAAGGCAAGUCUAAAAGGAGCCAAACAAAAGAUACUUGACACAAUAGAAGAUGCUCGAAAGGGGGGUGUUCACGCCCAACAGAGAGAACGACGAGCUUACGCGCGCCCUGAGAAAUCUUGAACACCCAGGAAGAACACGAGGCAAGGACGUUAUUCCCUAGUAUGAGGGCUUUUCGGAAUGGAACGACGACUACAGGACCCUGCUACGUCUUGAGCUUGCGUUGGUUUUCCUUGAAGAGGAAAGGGUGAUGCAGCAAUAGUAGUGUAAGUAUUUCCCUCAGUUUUUGAGAACCAAGGUAUCAAUCCAGUAGGAGGCUCCUCAAAAGUCCCAUGCACCUACACAAACAAACAAAGAACUCGCAACCAACGCAAUAAAGGGGUUGUCAAUCCCUUCAUGGCCACUUGCGAAAGUGAGAUCUAAUAGAGAUAGUAUGAUAAGAUAGAUAUAUUUUUGGUCUUUUAUAAGAUAGAUGCAAAAAGUAAAGAUGCAAAUAAAAGUAGAUUGGAAGCAAAUAUGAUAAAAUAUAGACCCGGGGGCCAUAGGUUUCAAUAGAGGCUUCUCUCAAGAUAGCAUAAGUAUUACGGUGGGUGAACAAAUUACUGUCGAGCAAUUGAUAGAAAAGCGAAUAAUUAUGAGAUUAUCUAGGCAUGAUCAUGUAUAUAGGCAUCACGUCUGCAACAAGUAGACCGACUCCUGCCUGCAUCUACUACUAUUACUCCACACAUCGACCGACUCCUGCCUGCAUCUAGAGUAUUAAGUUCAUAAGAACAGAGUAACGCCUUAAGCAAGAUGACAUGAUGUAGAGGGAUAAACUCAUGCAAUAUGAUAUAAACCCCAUCUUUUUAUCCUCGAUGGCGAUAAUACAAUACAUGCCUUGCAACCCUUUCUGUCACUGGGUAAGGACACCGCAAGAUUGAACCCAAAGCUAAGCACUUCUCCCAUGGCAAGAAAGAUCAAUCUAGUAGGCCAAACCAAACUGAUAAUUCGAAGAGACUUGCAAAGGUAACUCAAUCAUACAUAAAAGAAUUCAGAGAAGAUUCAAAUAUUUCUCAUAGAUAAACUUGAUCAUAAAUCCACAAUUCAUCGGAUCUCGACAAACACACCACAAAAAGUGUUUACAUCGAAUAGAUCUCCACAAGAGAGGGGGAGAACAUUGUAUUGAUAUCCAAAAAGAGAGAAGAAGCCAUCUAGCUAAUAACUAUGGACCCGAAGGUCUGUGGUAAACUACUCAUAACUCAUCGGAAGGGCUAUGGUGUUGAUGUAGAAGCCCUCCAUGGUCGAUUCCCCCUCCGGCGGAGCGCCGACAAAGGCUCCAAGAUGAGAUCUCGCGGAUACAGAAGGUUACGGUGGUGGAAACUAUGUUUCGUUGGCUCCCUGGAUGUUUUCGGGGUACGUAGGCUUAUAUAGGAGGAAGAAGUACGUCGGUGGCCGCCUGAGGGGCCCACGGGACAGGGGGCGCGCCCUACCCUCUCGUGGCCGCCUCGGCUGCUUCUUGACUAGCACUCCAAGUCCUCUGGAUCACGUUCGUUCCAAAAAUCACACUCCCGAAGGUUUCAUUCCGUUUGGACUCCGUUUGAUAUUUCUUUUCGUCGAAAUACUGAAAUAGGCAAAAAAAACAACAAUACGGGUUGGGCCUCCGGUUAGUAGGUUAGUCCCAAAAAUGAUAUAAAUGUGUAAAAUAAAGCCCAUAAACAUCCAAAAGGGGUAAUAUAAUAGCAUGGAACAAUCAAAAAUUAUAGAUACGUUGGAGACGUAUAUAUCAGACCCGUGCAAGAAAGAAGAUGGAGGAGGAGAAGAAGAGGAAGCUGGAGGAGGAGCAGAGGAAGCAGGACGCAGAAAGCCUUCAAGGCCUAGAAGCAAGGCACGCGGACUUGGCACUCAAAUUCCAGCAGCAGCAGCAGCAGCAGAUCGACUCACUUAGCCAGGAAAGGGGGUCGCAGUAGCAGCAGCAGCAAGCGGAUGAUCAUCCAGUAUUGGAUAGCACUGUCCCAUCCAUGCCGAGAAGCAGCAUUGGUUCCGCCCUUGGCGCCACACAGCUGGAUACAUACCCUGUGGAUGACACCAUAGAGAACACUAACUGUGAGCUACACUCCAAAAUGAAGAACAUAUCCAUGAAGGUGGCGGACGCCAUUGCUUUUACAAUUACCCCCGAAGCAACCUUCCAUUGCACCCCAAUUACAGUGGGCUAUGCUCGUGUCUUGGUUGAUGAAGUGGUGGACCCAUAUUCGGGGCUACAGCUUGACAUUCCUGGAGGUGACGACGAGCGCACGCUGGGAGAGGCUAUACAUCGUAACAUCCUAUGGAGAAAGGAUUGCAUCACCUUUCGAAGUCCACCGACACCACGUCUGCCGACUCCUCCUCGAAGUCCGCCACCGAGUCAGCAGACUCCCGCUCCUCCAGGUCCACGAAUGCGUGAGCCGACUCCUCCUUGAAGUCCGCCACCUCCUCCAAGUCCACGAACGCAUGAGCAGACUCCUGCUUCAAGUCUGGCACAGCGUCAGGCCACUCCUCCCGUUUCAAGUCCGACACCAUGUCAGGCCACACCUCCUGCUUCAAGUCCGGCACAGCGUCAGGCCACUCCUCCUGCUCCAACUCAGCCACGUCAGCCAUCUCCACCAUCUCAGCAAUCGCAUAAGAGACACGCCACAACUAUGGUGUGUAGCGGUACGAGUCAAGGUAGUACAGGAAGUGCAGGCGGAGACAAGCGAUAUAAUUAUGGUCCAAGCCUCGCUCCUCUUCCUCAGAGGCCUUAUGACAUGACCGAGGAGCAAAACGCAGCCAUAGUGCGGGCCCAAGUGGAUGCCCAUUUUGGACCGAAACCGGCACAGCCGCCAAGGGAGAAAGUGCCUGAGGAAAAGAUUAACCACUUCAUUCGUAUGGCUAGACUACCAGCUCCCAAGCAUGUUGACUCAGACUAUGAGCGCCAAAUCAGGAAGGCACAUCGAGCAUGACUACAGAAGGAAGCGAGCUCGAGCUCGAGCCAACAAGCAGGUAGCAAAAAAUGCGGGAAAACCAUUCCCCAGCUGGGAGAACAGGCGGCGCAAUCGAUUCCCCCGCUUGUUGUGCCAACAACACAUGAGAGUACGCGCGCCCAAUAUUAUUGUGGGCAAACCGUUAACGUUCCCCAGCUGGGCGAUGUGGUAAUAACCGAGGAGCAUAUAAUGCAGGCUGAAAUGCUCAAGAUCACUGUUGGACAACUCCUCGUAAUCGAGCCCAUGUCUCCGCUUAGAGAGGAGGAAAUAAAAUGGAAAUAUGUCCGGGGCCAACCUUUGGUCGAGCCAGACAAGGUCAAGAACGUCCCAACGAGAAUGUAUGAAUUGCAUCAAUGGUACAUGAACGUUACCAAAAUUUCCAAUCGAGAGUCCCUCAUGGUGAAUGUCAAGGAGGAGCAUUACUUCCAUGAGAAAGCUUUGUCUGUUGAGUAUUCAGAACUGUUUCAGUUAUACAAUCAAGACGCACUCGACAAAUCUAUCGUCAGUUGCUAUUUUCUGUAAGUGAUUUCUUUUUGUAAUUUAAGUCUCAAGCUAGCUGUAGUGAUCAUUUUGAUCAAUCAUUACAUGUAAUAUCCUCACUAUAUUCUUUUCUGUGGUAUUAUAUGCAUGAUGAAGAUGUAUGAAAUGAAAAAAUCUGGAUGUUAUGGCAUUAGGUUCAUUGACCCAAAUACCAUUAAUGAGUACACAUGGAAUCUUCCAAGUUGUCGAGUAAGUUUAGAGGAAAGCAUGCUACAGUUCUUCAAGCGCCUCAAUAUCAAUGAAGAUAUUCUACUUCCUUACAACUUCCUGUGAGUCACACUGUCUUCAACUUUUUGAUUAGUGUUAUGCACAUGCCCGCUUAAUUAAGACAUGCAAACAUGUGCGCAUGCAGUUUCCACUGGAUCUUGUUAGACAUUGAAGUUGACGAAGGAAAAGUUGAAGUACUGGACUCACUACUUAAAAAAGAAAGUGACUACACCAUCUUGAAGGGGAUAGUCAAGAGGUAAUUUCAAUCAUUAUUAACUAUAUAUCGGCCUAUUUAGUUCGUCAUUUUCUGAUAUGAACUAUUUAAUAACCCCUUUAUUGAUUUUCUUUGCCGGCGGGCAGGGCUUGGGCAAAGUUCAUCAAGGUGACUCCAGACAAAUGGGCAAAAAAAGCUGUUUUGGUAUCGACCAAAGGUAAGUAAUUAAGUAGUACUAGCUAGCUAGCUAGCUACCAUCUCUUUAAUUCUUGUUUCAAUACCAUUAAUUAAUUAUCAUGCUUGAUUAAUCAUUAUCUGAUUCAAUUCCAUUCUCGUAAAGACCCAGAAGCAGGCGCCGGGAAAUGAUCUGUGUGCAUACUACGUUUGCGAGAACAUUCGCAUGAUGGCGUCCGAAAGGAGCAGAUCUCAAAGACAGGACUGGGUACGUUUGUCAGAACACUAUUCACACCAUUAUCGAUAUCUAGUCACACAACUAAUACACAUGCAUAUUGAUCUCCUUCUGAACAGUUCAGAGAGGUGCGGGAGAAGCUCCUACCAACGGACCACAUACUAGCACUUCAAGAGAAAAUAGCGGGAUUUUUGCUCGACCAGGUCAUAGAUCCCAUAGGAGAAUACUUUUACCCGCUACAGCCCCCAUGAACCACUUGUCAUCAUGCUCCGAAGGCACCAAGACAACAUGUAGGAGAAAUUGUAUAUAUAUACAUGUGUAUGUGUGAAUAAUUAAUGGUGUUGGUUGUGAGACAUUUGAUGAUAUAUAUUUAUAUAUAUAUAUGCGGUUCUACGAGAAAAUCUAUUUAUAUAUAUGCAUAACGUGUACAAUAUGUAGUAUCAUAAAAUACUAGCAAACAAAAAAGAAUUAAAUGGAAAACAUAAAAUUAAUGGAAAAUAAAAAAUAAAACCAAAACCCCCCCAAACAUUUAGUACCGGUUGGGGUUACCGACCGGUACUAAUGGUCUACCAGCACCCGGGCCUGGCUCGUGCCACGUGGUGGCACUUUAGCGCCGUUUCGUGCCGAACCGGUAGUAAAGGGGGGGCUUUAGUCUCCACUCUUUAGUGCCAGUUGUAGAACCGGCACUAAAGGCCCUUACGAACCGGCGCUAAAGCCCGGUUCUGCACUAAUGGGAACUUCUUCGGCAACAAACGUGGGAUGCACUUCACCGUUGCUUUUUAACUUUGUGGCUGAUGAUAACCCACAAGUAUAGGGGAUCGCAACAGCUUUUGAGGGUAGAGUAUUCAACCCAAAUUUAUUGAUUCGACACAAGGGGAGACAAAGAAUAUUCUUGAGUAUUAGCAGCUGAGUUGUCAAUUCAACCACACCUGCAUAACUUAGUAUCUGCAGCAAAGUGUUUAGUAGCAAAAGUGGCAUGAUAAUAAAGGUAACGGUAGCAAAAGUAAAGAUAAAUGUUUUUGGGUUUUUGUAGUAGUUGUAACAGUAGCAACGGAAAAGCAAAUAAGCGAAGAACAAUAUGUGAAAAGCUGGUAUGCAAUGGAUCAGUGAUGGAUAAUUAUGUCGGAUGCGAUUCCUCAUGAAAUAGUUAUAACAUAGGGUGAUAUAGAACUAGCUCCAAUUCAUCGAUAUAAUGUAGGCAUGUAUUCCGUAAAUAGUCAUACGUGCUUAUGGAAAAGAACUUGCAUGACAUCUUUUGUCCUACCCUCCCGUGGAAGCGGGGUCCUUGCGGAAACUAAGGGAUAUUAAGGCCUCCUUUUAAUAGAGAACUGGAACAAAGCAUUAGCACAUAGUGAAUACAUGAACUCCUCAAACUACGGUCAUCACCGAGAAGUAUCCCGAUUAUUGUCACUUCGGGGUUGUCGGAUCAUAACACACAAUAGGUGACUAUAGACUUGCAAGGUAGGAUUAAGAACACACAUAUAUUCAUGAAAACAUAAUAGGUUCAGAUCUGAAAUCAUGGCACUCGGGCCCUAGUGACAAGCAUUAAGCAUAGCAAAGUCAUAGCAACAUCAAUCUCAGAACAUAGUGGAUACUAGGGAUCAAACCUUAACAAAACUAACUUGAUUACAUGGUAAAUCUCAUCCAACCCAUCACCGUCCGGCAAGCCUACGAUGGAACUACUCACACACGGCGGUGAGCAUCAUGAAAUUGGUGAUGGAGGAUGCUUGAUGAUGACGACGGCGACAAAUCCCCCUCUCCGGAGCCCCGAACGGACUCCAGAUCAGCCCUCCCGAGAGAGAUUAGGGCUUGGCGGCGGCUCCGUGUCGUAAAACGCGAUGAAACUUUCUCGCUGAUUUUUUCUCCCCGAACAUGAAUAUAUGGAGUUGGACUUGGCGUCGGUGGAGGUCCAGUGGGCCCACGAGAUAGGACGCCGCACCCUAGGGGGGCAUGCCCCCCCCCCCCGUCUCGUGGACAGGUUGUGGGCCCCCUGGCAUUAAUUCUUUCGCCAAAAAUUCUUAUUAAAUCCAAAACGUGCCUCCGUGGAUUUCCAGGACAUUCCGAGAACUUUUCUUUUCUACACAUAAAACAACAUCAUGGCAGUUCUGCUGAAAACAGCGUCAGUCCCGGUUAGUUUCAUUCAAAUCAUGCAAGUUAGAGUCCAAAACAAGGGCAAAAGUGUUUGGAAAAGUAGAUACGUUGGAGACAUAUCAACUCCCCCAAGCUUAAACCUUUGCUUGUCCUCAAGCAAUUCAGUUGACAAACUGAAAGUGAUAAAGAAAAACUUUUACAAACUCUGUUUGCUGUUGUUGUUGUAACAUGAAAAGCCAGCAUUCAAGUUUCAGCAAAUAUUAUGAACUAACCAUACUCACAAUAACACAUAGGUCUCAUAAUUACUCAUAUCAAUAACAUAAUCAGCUAGCGAGCCAUAAUAAUAAAACUCGGAUGACGACACUUUCUCAAAAUAAUCAUAACAUGAUAUAACAAAAUGGUAUCUCGCUAGCCCUUUCUGAGACCACAAAACAUAAGUGCAGAGCACCUUUAAAGAUCAAGGACUGACUAAACAUUGUAAUUCAUGGUAAAAGAGAUCCAGUCAAGUCAUACCCAAUAUAAACCAAUAGUAAUUAAUGCAAAUGACAGUGUGCUCUCCAGCGGGUGCUUUUAAUAAGAAUGGUGAUGGCUCAACAUAAAAAGUAAAUAGAUAGGCCCUUCGCAGAGGGAAGCAGGGAUUUAUAGAGGUGCCAGAGCUCGAUUUUAAAAUAGAGAUUGAAUAACAUUUUGGGCGGCAUACUUUUGCUGUCAACGCAACAACUAUGAGAUGGCUGUAUCUUCCAUACAACAUGCAUUAUAGGCAGUUCCCAAACAGAAUGGUAAAGGUUUAUACUCCCCCAACCACCAACAAGCAUCAAUCCAUGGCUUGCUCGAAACAACGAGUGCCUCCAACACACAACAGUGCUGGGGGAGUUUUGUUUAAUUAUUUUGAUUUGCUUUAAUCUUUUUAGAUCAUGGGACUGGGCAUCCCAGUUACCGGCCCUUUCUCGUGAAUGAGGAGCAGAGUCCACUCCUCUUGAGAAUAACCCACAUAGCAUGGAAGAUAUAGGCAGCCCUAGUUGAAACAUGAGCUGCUCGAGCAUACAAAACAGAAUUUCAUUUGAAGGUUUGGAGUUUGGCACAUACAAAUUUACUUGGAACGGCAGGUAAAUACCGCAUAUAGGAAGGUAUAGUGGACUCAUAUGGAACAACUUUAGGGUUUAUGGAGUUUGGAUGCACAAGCAGUAUUCCCGCUAGUACAGGUGAAGGCUAGCAAAAGACUGGGAAGCGACCAACUGAGAGAGCGACAACAGUCGUAAACAUGCAUUAUAAUUAAUUCACACCGAGUACAAGCAUGAGUAGGAUAUAAUCCACCAUGAACAUAAAUAUCGUGAAGGCUAUGUUGAUUUGUUUCAACUACAUGCGUGAACAUGUGCCAAGUCAAGUCACUCAAUUCAUUCAAAGGAGGAUACCAUCCCAUAAUAUCACAUCAUAAUCAUUGUAAUAGCAUGUUGGCACGCAAGGUAAACCAUUAUAACUCAUAGCUAAUCAAGCAUGGCACAAGUAACUACAAUCUCUAAAUGUCAUUGCAAAUAUGUUUACUUCAUAAUAGCUGACUCAGGAACGAUGAACUCAUCAUAUUUACAAAAACAAGAGAGGUGGAGUUCAUACCAGCUUUUCUCAUCCCAAUAAGUCCAUCAUAUAUCGUCAUUAUUGCCUUUCACUCGCACGACCGAACGAUGUGCAUAAUAAUAAGAGUGCACGUGCAUUGGACUAAGCUGGAAUCUGCAAGCAUUCAACUCAAGAGAGAAGACAAGUAAUAUGGGCUCUAAAUUAAAUAAACAAUCAUGCAUAUAAGAGCCACUAAGCAUUUUCAAUAUGGUCUUCUCGACCCCCAAAGGAAAGAAAAGAAAAUAAAACUAUUUACAUGGGAAAGCUCCCAACAAGUAAAAGAAGAACGAGAAAUCUUUUUGGGUUUUCAUUUUAAUUCCUACUAUAAGCAAGGAAAUUAAACUAACUAAUAUUUUGGUUUUUCUUAAAGUUUAUCAAACACACAAGAAUAAAAACUAGAAAAAAGAAAUUUAAACUAGCACAGAUAAUACAAUGAAAGAGUAUGAGCACCGACGACUAGUGUGUGAACAUGAAUGUAAAGUCGGUGAGAAAUACGUACUCCCCCAAGCUUAGGCUUUUGGCCUAAGUUGGUUUAAUACCAAUGACCGCCUGGCUGAUAUCCAUAAGUGAAACUGGGGUAGUACUGAGAUGCAGAGGCGACCGCCUCCUGAGCAGCAGCUUGUUGGCGAGUUGCCUCCAUUCCCCUCUCAUAUUCAGUUGCUUCUUCCCUGGUGACAACAUAUCUUCCUUUUGCCUGAUAAUCAAAAAGGUAGGUAGCAGGAAGAGUAACAGGGACGACGUUGCGUCUGUCAUAGAUUAGUCGAUAAUGGAGGAAUUGUUCAUUCCUCUCAAGAAAAUGAUGAUCAAACAUAGCUUCUUUAUCCAAGUAAACAGGAGGUACAAUCAUAUCCCCCUCUCAUGGAGCUAUAUUAAGAAAAUUAGCCACCCGGGUUGCAUAAAUUCCUCCAAAGAAAUCACCCCUUCUACUAUUAUUCUGCAACCUACGUGCAACUAUUGCCCCCAAGUUAUAACCUUUAAAACCUGACACGGCACUCUUGAGGACACAAAGAUCAGGGGCACACAUCUGACAUACCUCGUCCUUACCGUUAAUGCAUCUACCAAUAAAGAGAGCAAAGUAAUGUAUAGCAGGAAAAUGAAUGCUCCCUAUGGUAGCUUGUGCUACGUCCCUAGAUUCUCCCAUAGUAAUACUAGCAAGAACUAAAUUCAGAUUUGGGAGGAUCAUUAAUAUUACCCCACUGCGGGAGUUUGCAAGCAGUUGUGAAAUCCUCUAAAUCCAUGGUAUAAGAUGUAUCAUAAAUAUCAAACAUGACACUAGGAGAAUUACGCGCAGAAAUAUAUUCGAACCUCCGCACAAAGAAAUCAGUCGAUUGAUAAUAUUGAGGACACUUAUCUUGUAAGAAGUCCUCCAGCUCGGCAUUACGCACAUAUGCGCCAAAUUCCUCCUUGAAGCCUGCUUCAACCAUAAAAUCAUCGGAUGGCUUCCUCAAAAAAAAUCAUCAGAUGGCCACUCACAAGCCCGUACAUUUGCGUCCCUUGGCAAAUUAACAUCUUGUUCACGUAUAGCAAUCCUUGGCCCUUUCUUUGCCGAGGAACCUCCUUGGUACAAUCUUCUAAGCAUAUUUCUAUUUCUGAAAAUUUCUGAAAUUUUAGUAACUUCAAAAUAAAAGUGAAUAAAACUAAAAAAGAUUGAUAGCAACUACUCCUACAAGUGCCUAGAGCCUAUAUCAUGCAUUGGAAUUGCUUGGGACGUCAAAAAUUUAACAUGCAAGCUCAAGAACAUGGUCACCUAUGCAGCAAAAAUUUGCAAUGAAUAAAGCACUAGAACAAAAACUAAUUGGACCAAUGGAGGAGUCACAUACCAAGCAACAAUAUCCCAAAGCAGUUUUGCGAAUGGAGCUUUGAGAUAAGAGAUCAAAAAUCGCAGCAAAACGACCUAGAACUCGUGCUUGAGCUGGAUGGGGAUUUUUUGGGUAGAAGAUGAAGUGUGUGGGUGCUGGCAUAAGUGGAGGGGAGCCACCAGGGGCCCACGAGACAGGGGCGCGCCCCUCGUGGCCUGGUGCUUGACCCUCCUGCAGUGUUUUCAGUGCCUAAAAUCCUCAAAUAUUCCAGAAAAAAUCAUACUAAAUUUGCAGGGCAUUUGGAGCACUUUUAUUUUCGGACUAUUUUUUUAACGCACGGAUAAUUCAGAAAACAGACGGAUAAUACUAUUUUUGCUUUAUUUAAUCUAAAUAACAGAAAGUAAAAAGAGGGUACAGAAGGUUGUGCCUUCUAGUUUCAUCCAUCUCGUGAUCAUCAAAAUGAACCCACUAACAAGGUUGAUCAAGUCUUGUUAACAAACUCAUUCCGAAUAACACGGAACCGGAGAAAUUUUGAAUAACACUAAGUUACCCCAACGAGGAUAUGAAAAUCCCCAAUAAUAAGAAUAUCAUACUUUUUCUUGACAGUAGGAAGAGGAAAUUCAAAACCUCCAAAAAUGAUAGUUGGAACUUUUUCAAUAGAAUUGAUGCUAUGAACUUGAGAUUGUUUCCUCGGAAAGUGUACCGUAUGCUCAUUCCGAUUAACAUGAAAAGUGACAUUGCCUUUGUUGUAAUCAAUAACAGCCCCUGCAGUAUUAAGAAAAGGUCUACCAAGGAUAAUAGACAUACUAUCGUCCUCGGGAAUAUCAAGAAUAACAAAGUCUGUUCAGAUAGUGACAUUUGCAACCACAACAGGCACAUCCUCACAAAUGCCGACAGGUAUAGCAGUUGAUUUAUCAGCCAUUUGCAAAGAUAUUUCAGUAGGUGUCAACUUAUUGAAUUCAAGUCUACGAUAUAAAGAGAGAGGCAUAACACUAACACCGGCUCCAAGAUCACAUAAAGCAGUUGUAACAUAAUUUCUUUUAAUGGAGCAUGCACUAGUAGAAAAAGGACCUAAUAUGAGACACAUUAGCGCCGGUUUGAUUUUGAGCCGGCACUAAUGUGUCCAUUAGUGCCGGUUCCAAUGGCUAGCCGGCCGUUCUCAUUAGUACCGGUUCAUGGCGAACCUUUAGUACCGGUUCGUGCCACGAACCGGUACUAAAGAGGGUGGUUGCAGGGUGUUGUCAGUCUGGGGCCCGUCCAGCACCUUUAGUACCGGUUCGUGGCACGAACCGGUACUAAAGGUCGAUGUACAUAAACCCUUCGUCCACCCGAGCCACUCUGUUCUUCCCCUUUCCCCUCACUUCCUCUGUUAUUCCCCUCUCUUCCUCAAGCUCCUCACAAAUUUUGCCCAAAAUUUGUCAAGAUUUGAAGGCCCCCAUCCAUUCAAAUGAUCACAAAGGUUAGCAACUUUGUCCUUUCAACUCUCAUUGCUAGAUUAGCUCUUGCAAUGAUUUGUAUAGUGAUUAAUUUGGGAGGAAUUAUAUUUGCUAGUAUUUGAUUUAUAUGCAAUUUGAGGUCAAAAAUAACACUUAGUUUGCAUAUGUAGGUGUGGUUUACUUAGUGCCUUCUAAAUCUCCGUCGUAACCACCGUCGAUCGCCCGCACCGUCCCGUCACCGGCACCACCUUGUGGUGAGGCUCUUGUUCAUGAAUGUUAUACAUUACCAAAUUGAUGUUUGUGUGAUUUGGAUAUAUAGUUACUCGUAUAAUUAUCUUACCCGUAUGUUGUUUGUUAUACAUAGUGCCAUGGUUUUGAUAUCCGUCCCCGUCGGCCCUCGUCCUUGUUAUGAUUCGGAUGUGGUAUAUUCUCUUUUAAAACUAGUUGUUGCAUUUCGUAUUUAUGACAAAUUAUGCCCAUCAAGUUGACAUAGAUAUUUUUAUCUAGGAGGUAUGUGAACCGGAAAUUCCAACCGACCCUAUUGUCGAGAGGUUAAAUUUAGUUGAAAGAGAAAACGAGUAUUUGAAAGAAAAAUUGAAAAGAAUUGAGGGGGAGAAGAUGGAAUUGGAGUUGCAUGUUGCCGAUGUCGUCGAUGAUCACAAGAUCAAGAUGGAGAAAAUGAGGUUGAAGAUUAGAAAGAUUAGAAAAUAUGCCAUUGAUAGUGUGGCUUGGUAUCAUUACGCUGUUGGAUCAAUUGUUACCUUAGUUGCGAUCUUCAUCGCAUUUGUUGUUGCAUUUAAAUUCUUUAACUAGAGAGUUAUUUGUAUGUUGCAAUUAAUUAAGUGUUGUAUAUGAACUUUAUGUAUGAACUUGUAUUAAUUUGGUCUAUUCGGUGUUGUGUAAUGAAGAUGAGCCGACAAUGGAUGUAUGAUGACCGAUGCUCUCCUGAGUUCAUUAAUGGCGUGCGUACUUUUCUGCGGGCCGCUGAGGCAAACAACCUGGCGGAUGGUUUUAUGCCUUGUCCUGUUGGGGAACGUAGUAAUUUCAAAAAAAUCCUACGCACACGCAAGAUCAUGGUGAUGGCAUAGCAACGAGAGGGGAGAGUGUUGUCCACGUACCCUCGUAGACCGUAAGCGGAAGCGUUAGCACAACGCGGUUGAUGUAGUCGUACGUCUUCAUGAUCCGACCGAUCCAAGUACCGAACGUACGGCACCUCCGAGUUCAGCACACGUUCAGCUCGAUGACGAUCUCCAGGCUCCGAUCCAGCAAAGCUUCGGAGAUGAGUUCCGUCAGCAUGACGGCAUGGUGACGAUGAUGAUGUUCUAACGGCGCAGGGCUUCGCCUAAACUCCGCGACGAUAUGACCGAGGUGGAAUAUGGUGGAGGGGGGCACCGCACACGGCUAAGGAAUGAUCCGUAGAUCAACUUGUGUGUAUAUGGGGUGCCCCCCCCCCCACCCUUGUAUAUAAAGGAGCAAGGGGGGAGGCCGGUCGGCCCUUGGGGCGCGCCAAGGAGGAGGAAUCCUCCUCCUAGUAGGAGUAGGACUCCUCCUUUCCUACUCCUACUAGGAGGGGGAAGGAAGGGGGAGAGGGGGAAGGAAAGAGGGCCCCCCCCUCCUAGUCCAAUUCGAACCAGAGGGAGAGGGGGCGCGCGGCCCACCCUGGCCGCCCCUCUCUCUUCCCCUCUAAGGUCCAUAAGGCCCAUUACUCUCCCGGGGGGGUUCCGGUAACCCUCCGGCACUCCAGUUUUUUCCGAAAUCGCCCGGAACACUUCCGGUGUCCGAAUAUAGUCGUCCAAUAUAUCAAUCUUUAUGUCUCGACCAUUUCGAGACUCCUCGUCAUGUCCGUGAUCACAUCCGGGACUCCUAACAAACUUCGGUACAUCAAAACUUAUAAACUCAUAAUAAAACUGUCAUCGUAACGUUAAGCGUGCGGACCCUGCGGGUUCAAGAACUAUGUAGACAUGACCUAGAACUAUUCUCGGUCAAUAACCAAUAGCGGAACCUGGAUGCCCAUAUUGGUUCCUACAUAUUCUACGAAGAUCUUUAUCGGUCAAACCGCAUAACAACAUACGUUGUUCCCUUUGUCAUCGGUAUGUUACUUGCCCGAGAUUCUAUCGUCGGUAUCCAAUACCUAGUUCAAUCUCGUUACCGGCAAGUCUCUUUACUCGUUACGUAAUGCAUCAUUCCGUAACCAACUCAUUGGUUACAUUGCUUGCAAGGCUUAUAGUGAUGUGCAUUACCGAGAGGGCCCAGAGAUACCUCUCCGACAAUCGGAGUGACAAAACCUAAUCUCGAAAUACGCCAACUCAACAUGUACCUUCGGAGACACCUGUAGUACUCCUUUAUAAUCACCCAGUUACGUUGUGACGUUUGGUAGUACCCAAAGUGUUCCUCCGGUAAACGGGAGUUGCAUAAUCUCAUAGUUACAGGAACAUGUAUAAGUCAUGAAGAAAGCAAUACCAAUAUACUAAACGAUCAAGUGCUAGGCUAACGGAAUGGGUCAUGUCAAUCACAUCAUUCUCCUAAUGAUGUGAUCCCAUUAAUCAAAUGACAACACAUGUAUAUGGUUAGGAAACAAAACCAUCUUUGAUUAAUGAGCUAGUCAAGUAGAGGCAUACUAGUGACGUUAUGUUGGUCUAUGUAUACACACAUGUAUCAUGUUUCCGGUUAAUACAAUUCUAGCAUGAAUAAUAAACAUUUAUCAUGAUAUGAGGAAAUAAAUAAUAACUUUAUUAUUGCCUCUAGGGCAUAUUUCCUUCAGUCUCCCACUUGCACUAGAGUCAAUAAUCUAGAUUACAUAGUGAUGAUUCUAACACCCAUGGAGUCUUGGUGCUGAUCAUGUUUUGCUCGUGAGGGAGGCUUAGUCAACGGGUCUGCAACAUUCAGAUUUGUAUGUAUCUUGCAAAUCUCUAUGUCUCCCACUUGGACUUGGUCCCGAAUGGAAUUGAAGCGUCUCUUGAUGUGCUUGGUCCUCUUGUGAAAUCUGGAUUCCUUUCCCAAGGCAAUUGCACCAGUAUUGUCACAGAAGAUCUUCAUUGGUCCCGAUGCACUAGGUAUGACACCUAGAUCAGAAAUGAACUCCUUCAUCCAAACUCCUUCAUUUGCUGCUUCCGAAGCAGCUAUGUACUCCGCUUCACAUGUAGAUCCCGCCAUGACGCUUUGUUUAGAACUGCACUAACUUACAGCUCCACCGUUUAAUAAAAACACGUAUCCGGUUUGCGAUUUAGAAUCGUCCGGAUCAGUGUCAAAUCUUGCAUCGACGUAACCAUUUACGACUAGCUCUUUGUCACCUUCAUAUACGAGAAACAUAUCCUUAGUCCUUUUCAGGUAUUUCAGGAUGUUCUUGACCGCUGUCCAGUGAUCCACUCCUGGAUUACUUUGGUACCUUCCUGCCAAGCUUAUUGCUAAGCAUACAUCAGGUCUGGUACACAGCAUUGCAUACAUGAUAGAGCCUAUGGCUGAAGCAUAGGGAACAUCUUUCAUUUUCUCUCUAUCUUCUGCUGUGGUCGGGCAUUGAGUUUGACUCAACUUCACACCUUGUAGCACGGGCAAGAACCCUUUCUUUGCCUGAUCCAUUUUGAACUUUUUCAAAAUUUUAUCAAGGUAUGUGCUUUGUGAAAGUCCUAUUAAGCGUCUUGAUCUAUCUCUAUAGAUCUUGAUGCCCAAUAUGUAAGCAGCUUCACCGAGCUCUUUCAUUGAAUAACUUUUAUUCAAGUAUCCCUUUAUGCUAUCCAGAAAUUCUAUAUCAUUUCCAAUUAAUAAUAUGUCAUCUACAUAUAAUAUCAGAAAUGCUACAGAGCUCCCACUCACUUUCUUGUAAAUACAGGCUUCUCCAAAAGUCUGUAUAAAACCAUAUGCUUUGAUCACACUAUCAAAACGUUUACUCCAACUCCGAGAUGCUUGCACCAGUCCAUAAAUGGAUCGCUGGAGCUUGCAUACUUUGUUAGCACCUUUUGGAUCUACAAAACCUUCUGGCUGCAUCAUAUACAACUCUUCUUCUAGAAAUCCAUUCAAGAAUGCAGUUUUGACAUCCAUUUGCCAAAUUUCAUAAUCAUGAAAUGCAGCAAUAGCUAACAUGAUUCGGACAGACUUAAGCAUCCCUACAGGUGAGAAAGUCUCAUCGUAUUCAACCCCUUGAACUUGUCAAAAACCUUUCGCAACAAGUCAAGCUUUAUAGACAGUUACAUUACCAUCAGCGUCAGCCUUCUUCUUAAAGAUCCAUUUAUUCUCAAUGGCUUGCCGAUCAUCGGGCAAGUCCACCAAAGUCCAUACUUUGUUUUCAUACAUGGAUCCCAUCUCAGCUUUCAUGGCCUCUAGCCAUUUUGCGGAAUCUGGUCUCAUCAUCGCUUCCUAAUAGUUCGUAGGUUCAUCAUGGUCAAGUAACAUGACUUCCAGAAUAGGAUUACCGUACCACUCUGGUGCGGAUCUCACUCUGGUAGACCUACGAGGUUCAAUAGAAACUUGAUCUGAAGUUUCAUGAUCAAUAUCAUUAGCUUCCUCACUGAUUGGUGUAGUUGUCACAGGAACCGGUUCUUGUGAUGAACUACUUUCCAAUAAGGGAGUAGAUACAGUUAUCUCAUCAAGUUCUACUUUCCUCCCAUUCACUUCUUUUGAGAGAAACUCCUUCUCUAAAAAGGAUCCGAUUUUAGCAACGAAAAUCUUGCCCUCAGAUCUGUGAUAGAAGGUGUACCCAAUAGUCUCUUGUGGAUAUCCUAUGAAGACACAUUUCUCCGAUUUGGGUUCGAGCUUAUCUGGUUGAAGUUUCUUCACAUAAGCAUCGCAGCCCCAAACUUUAAGAAACGACAACUUUGGUUUCUUGCCAAACCACAGUUCAUAAGGCGUCGUCUCAACGGAUUUUGAUGGUGCCCUAUUUAACAUGAAUGCGGCUGUCUCUAAAGCAUAACCCCAAAACGAUAGCGGUAAAUCAGUAAGAGACAUCAUAGAUCGCACCAUAUCUAGUAAAGUACGAUUACGACGUUCGGACACACCAUUUCGUUGUGGUGUUCCGGGUGGCAUGAGUUGCGAAACUAUUCCGCAUUGUUUCAAGUGUAGACAAAACUCGUAACUCAAAUAUUCUCCUCCACGAUCAGAUCGUAGAAACUUUAUUUUCUUGUUACGAUGAUUUUCCACUUCACUCUGAAAUUCUUUGAACUUUUCAAAUGUUUCAGACUUGUGUUUCAUUAAGUAGAUAUACCCAUAUCUGCUCAAAUCAUCUGUGAAGUUGAGAAAAUAACGAUACCCACCGCGGGCCUCAACAUUCAUUGGACCACAAACAUCAGUAUGUAUGAUUUCCAACAAAUCAGUUGCUCGCUCCAUAGUUCCGGAGAACGGCGUUUUAGUCAUCUUGCCCAUGAGGCACGGUUCGCAAGUACCAAGUGAUUCAUAAUCAAGUGAUUCCAAAAGCCCAUCAGUAUAGAGUUUCUUCAUGCGCUUUACACUGAUAUGACCUAAAUGGCAGUGCCACAAAUAAGUUGCACUAUCGUUAUCAACUCUGCAUCUUUUGGUUUCAACACUAUGAAUAUGUGUAUCACUACUAUCGAGAUUCAAUAAAAAUAGACCACUCUUCAAGGGUGCAUGACCAUAAAAGAUAUUACUCAUAUAAAUAGAACAACCAUUAUCCUCUGAUUUAAAUGAAUAACCGUCUCGCAUCAAACAAGAUCCAGAUAUAAUGUUCAUGCCCAACACUGGCACCAAAUAACAAUUAUUUAGGUCUAAAACUAAUCCCGAUGGUAGAUGUAGAGGUAGCAUGCCGACCGCAAUCACAUCGACUUUGGAACCGUUUCCCACGCGCAUCGUCACCUCGUCCUUAGCCAAUCUUCGCUUAAUCCGUAGUCCCUGUUUCGAGUUGCAAAUAUUAGCAACAGAACCAGUAUCAAAUACCCAGGUGCUACUGCGAGCAUUAGUAAGGUACACAUCAAUAACAUGUAUAUCACAUAUACCUUUGUUCACUUUGCCAUCCUUCUUAUCCGCCAAAUACUUGGGGCAGUUCCGCUUCCAGUGUCCAGUCUGCUUGCAGUAGAAGCACUCAGUUUCAGGCUUAGGUCCAGACUUGGGUUUCUUAUCUUGAGCAGCAACUUGCUUGCCGUUCUUUUUGAAGUUCCCCUUCUUCUUCCCUUUGCCCUUCUUCUUGAAACUGGUGGUCUUGUUAACCAUCAGCACUUGAUGCUCCUUCUUGAUUUCUACCUCCGCGGCUUUUAGCAUUGCGAAGAGCUCGGGAAUAGUCUUGUUCAUCCCUUGCAUAUUAUAGUUCAUCACGAAGCUCUUGUAGCUUGGUGGCAGUGAUUGGAGAAUUCUGUCAAUGACACUAUCAUCAGGAAGAUUAACUCCUAGUUGAAUCAAGUGAUUAUUAUACCCAGACAUUUUGAGUGUAUGUUCACUGACAGAACUAUUCUCCUCCAUCUUGCAGCUAUAGAACUUAUUGGAGACUUCAUAUCUCUCAAUCCGAGCAUUUGUUUGAAAUAUUAACUUCAACUCCUGGAACAUCUCAUAUGCUCCAUGACAUUCAAAACGUCGUUGAAGACCCGGUUCUAAGCCGUAAAGCAUGGCACACUGAACUAUCGAGUAGUCAUCAGCUUUGCUUUGCCAGACGUUCUUAACGUCGUCAGUUGCAUCAGCAGCAGGCCUGGCACCCAGCGGUGCUUCCAGGACGUAACUUUUCUGUGCAGCAAUGAGGAUAAUCCUCAGGUUAUGGACCCAGUCCGUGUAAUUGCUACCAUCAUCUUUCAACUUUGCUUUCUCAAGGAACGCAUUAAAAUUCAACGGAACAACAGCACGAGCCAUCUAUCUACAAACAAACAUAGACAAGCAAAAUACUAUCAGGUACUAAGUUCAUGAUAAAUUUAAGUUCAAUUAAUCAUAUUACUUAAGAACUCCCACUUAGACAGACAUCUCUCUAGUCAUCUAAGUGAUCAUGUGAUCCAAAUCAACUAAACCAUGUCCGAUCAUCACGUGAGAUGGAGUAGUUUCAAUGGUGAACAUCACUAUGUUGAUCAUAUCUACUAUAUGAUUCAUGCUCGACCUUUCGGUCUCCGUGUUCCGAGGCCAUAUCCGUAUAUGCUAGGCUCAUCAAGUAUGACCUGAGUAUUCCGCGUGUGCAACUGUUUUGCACCCAUUGUAUUUGAACGUAGAGCCUAUCACACCUGAUCAUCACGUGGUGUCUCGGCACGAAGAACUUUCGCAAUGGUGCAUACUCAUGGAGAACACUUCUUGAUUAUUAGUGAGAGAUCAUCUUAAAAUGCUACCGUCAAUCAAAGCAAGAUAAGAUGCAUAAAGGAUAAAUAUCACAUGCAAUCAAUAUAAGUGAUAUGAUAUGUCCAUCAUCAUCUUGUGCUUGUGAUCUCCAUCUUCGAAGCACCGUCAUGAUCACCAUCGUCACCGGCGCGACACCUUGAUCUCCAUCGUAGCAUCGUUGUUGUUUACGCCACCUAUUGCUUCUACGAAUAUCGCUACCGCUUAGUGAUAAAGUAAAGCAAUUACAGGGCGUUUGCAUUUCAUACAAUAAAGCGACAACCAUAUGGCUCCUGCCAGUUGCCGAUAACUUUGGUUACAAAACAUGAUCAUCUCAUAUAAUAAAAUAUAGCAUCACGUCUUGACCAUAUCACAUCACAACAUGCCCUGCAAAAACAAGUUAGACGUCCUCUACUUUGUUGUUGCAAAUUUUACAUGGCUGCUACGGGCUUAGCAAGAACCGUUCUUACCUACGCAUCAAAACCACAACGAUAGUUCGUCAAGUUGGUGAUGUUUUAACCUUCGCAAGGACCGGGCGUAGCCACACUCGAUUCAGCUAAACUGAGGGACAGACACCCGCCAGCCACCUUUAAGCACGAGUGCUCGUAACGGUGAAACUAGUCUCGUGUAAGCGUACGCGUAAUGUCGGUCCGGGCCGCUUCAUCUCACAAUACCGCCGAACCAAAGUAUGACAUGCUGGUAAGCAGUAUGACUUGUAUCGCCCACAACUCACUUGUGUUCUACUCGUGCAUAUAACAUCAACACAUAAAACCUGGCUCUGAUACCACUGUUGGGGAACGUAGUAAUUUCAAAAAAAUUCCUACGCACACGCACGAUCAUGGUGAUGGCAUAGCAACGAGAGGGGAGAGUGUUGUCCACGUACCCUCGUAGACCGUAAGCGGAAGCGUUAGCACAACGCGGUUGAUGUAGUCAUACGUCUUCACGAUCCGACCGAUCCAAGCACCGAACGUACGGCACCUUCGAGUUCAGCACACGUUCAGCUCGAUGACGAUCUCCGGGCUCCGAUCCAGCAAAGCUUCGGAGAUGAGUUCCAUCAGCACGACGGCGUGGUGACGAUGAUGAUGUUCUACCAGCGCAGGGCUUCGCCUAAACUCCGCGACGAUAUGACCGAGGUGGAAUACGGUGGAGGGGGGCACCGCACACGGCUAAGGAACGAUCNNNNNNNNNNNNNNNNNNNNNNNNNNNNNNNNNNNNNNNNNNNNNNNNNNNNNNNNNNNNNNNNNNNNNNNNNNNNNNNNNNNNNNNNNNNNNNNNNNNNNNNNNNNNNNNNNNNNNNNNNNNNNNNNNNNNNNNNNNNNNNNNNNNNNNNNNNNNNNNNNNNNNNNNNNNNNNNNNNNNNNNNNNNNNNNNNNNNNNNNNNNNNNNNNNNNNNNNNNNNNNNNNNNNNNNNNNNNNNNNNNNNNNNNNNNNNNNNNNNNNNNNNNNNNNNNNNNNNNNNNNNNNNNNNNNNNNNNNNNNNNNNNNNNNNNNNNNNNNNNNNNNNNNNNNNNNNNNNNNNNNNNNNNNNNNNNNNNNNNNNNCCCCCCCCCCCUCCUAGUCCAAUUCGGACCAGAGGGAGAGGGGGCGCGCGGCCCACCAUGGCCGCCCCUCUCUCUUCCCCUCUAAGGCCCAUAAGGCCCAUUACUCUCCCGGGGGGGUUCCGGUAACCCUCCGGCACUCCGGUUUUCUCCGAAAUCGCCCGGAACACUUCCGAUGUCGAAACAUAGGCUUCCAAUAUAUCAAUCUUUAUGUCUCGACCAUUUCGAGACUCCUCGUCAUGUCCGUGAUCACAUCCGGGACUCCGAACAAACUUCGGUACAUCAAAACUUAUAGACUGAUAAUAAAACUGUCAUCGUAACGUUAAGCGUGCGGACCCUACGGGUUCGAGAACUAUGUAGACAUGACCUAGAACUAUUCUCGGUCAAUAACCAAUAGCGGAACCUGGAUGCCCAUAUUGGUUCCUACAUAUUCUACGAAGAUCUUUAUCGGUCAAACCGCAUAACAACAUACGUUGUUCCCUUUGUCAUCGGUAUGUUACUUGCCCGAGAUUCGAUCGUCGGUAUCCAAUACCUAGUUCAAUCUCGUUACCGGCAAGUCUCUUUACUCGUUACGUAAUGCAUCAUUCCGUAACCAACUCAUUGGUUACAUUGCUUGCAAGGCUUAUAGUGAUGUGCAUUACCGAGAGGGCCCAGAGAUACCUCUCCGACAAUCGGAGUGACAAAACCUAAUCUCGAAAUACGCCAACUCAACAUGUACCUUCGGAGACACCUAUAGUACUCCUUUAUAAUCACCCAGUUAUGUUGUGACGUUUGGUAGUACCCAAAGUGUUCCUCCGGUAAACGGGAGUUGUAUAAUCUCAUAGUUACAGGAACAUGUAUAAGUCAUGAAGAAAGCAAUAGCAAUAUACUAAACGAUCAAGUGCUAGGCUAACGGAGUGGGUCAUGUCAAUCACAUCAUUCUCCUAAUGAUGUGAUCCCGUUAAUCAAAUGACAACACAUGUCUAUGGUUAGGAAACAUGACCAUCUUUGAUUAAUGAGCUAGUCAAGUAGAGGCAUACUAGUGACGUUAUGUUGGUCUAUGUAUUCACACAUGUAUCAUGUUUUCGGUUAAUACAAUUCUAGCAUGAAUAAUAAACAUUUAUCAUGAUAUGAGGAAAUAAUAAUAACUUUAUUAUUGCCUCUAGGGCAUAUUUCCUUCAUGUCCAUGUGCUGGCUAUAAGAAUGGUCACAGUUACUCUACGUCAAAAACCAUUCAUGUUCACCUAUUUAAGUCCAGUUUCAUGCCCCGCUAUAAUAUUUGGACCAAGCACGGAGAAAUAGGGGUUAUGAUGGAAGACAAUGAAGAAGAAGAGGAUGAUGACGGCUAUCCUGGCCAUGGGUUCCCUGAAUACGAUGAUACAACAAUGGGGGAAGAAGCUGAGCUGGCAAUGCGGGAAGAAGCUGAAGAAGAGGCAUCAGAUGAGCCUGCUGAUGAUCUAGGUCGGGCCAUUGCCGAUGCAAAGAGAAACUGCGCAAGUGAUCUGGAGAGGACAAAGUUGCAGCGCAUGUUAGAGGAUCAUAAGAAAUGGUUGUACCCAAAUUGCGAAGCUGACAAAAAAAAGUUGGGCACUACACUUGAAUUGCUGCAAUGGAAGGCAGAGAAUGGUGUAUCUGACAAGGGAUUUGGAAAGUUGCUGGUAAUGAUAAAGAAUAUGCUUCCAAAGGACAACAAAUUGCCCGAUAGUACGUAUGAAGCAAAGAAGGUUGUCUGCCCUCUAGGGUUAGAGGUGCAAAAGAUACAUGCAUGCCCUAAUGACUGCAUCCUCUACCGCGGUGAGUAUGAGGAUUUGAACGCUUGCCCGGUAUGCGGUGCAUUGCGUUAUAAGAUCGGUCGCGAUGACCCUGGUGAUGUCGAGGGCGAGCGCCCCAGGAAGAAGAUUCCUGCCAAGGUGAUGUGGUAUGCUCCUAUAAUACCACGGUUGAAACGUUUGUUCCAAAACAAAGAGCAUGCGAAGGCGAUGCGGUGGCACGCAGAAGACCUUAAGAAAGACGGAAAGUUGAGAGUACCCGCUGACGGUUCGCAGUGGAGAAAAAUCGAGAGAAAGUACUGGGAGGAGUUUGUAGGUGACCCAAGGAACGUAUGGUUUGGUCUAAGCGUAGAUGGCAUUAAUCCUUUUGGGGAGCAGAGCAGCAACCAUAGCACGUGGCCUGUGACUCUAUGUUUGUAUAACCUUCCUCCUUGGUUGUGCAUGAAGCGGAAGUUCAUUAUGAUGCCAGUGCUCAUCCAAGGCCCUAGGCAACUCGGCAACGACAUUGAUGUGUACCUAAGGCCAUUAGUUGAAGAACUAUUACAGCUGUGGAAUGGAACAGAUGUACGUGCGUGGGAUGAGCACGGACAGGAAGAAUUUGACCUAAAGGCGUUGCUGUCCGUCACCAUCAAUGAUUGGCCUGCUCUCAGUAACCUUUCAGGACAGACAAACAAGGGAUACCGCGGAUGCAUGCACUGUUUGGAUGAUAUCGACAGUAUAUAUUUGGAUAGUUGUAGGAAGAAUGUGUACCUGGGACAUCGUCGAUUUCUUCCGACAAGGCAUCCCGUAAGAAAGAAAGGCAAGCAUUUCAAAGAUGAGGCGAAUCACUGGACGAAGCCUCGCCACCGUACUGGUGCUGAUGUACAUGAUAUGGUCAAGGAUUUGGAGGUAAUCUUUGGAAAGGGUCCUGGCGGAAAACCUAUUCCGAAGGACGCUGACGGAUGCGCACCCAUGUGGAAGAAGAAAUCUAUAUUUUGGGACCUGCCAUAUUGGAAAGACCUAGAGGUCCGCUCCAUAAUCGACGUGAUGCACAUGACGAAGAAUCUUUGCGUGACCCUGCUUGGCUUUUUGGGCGUGUAUGGGAAGACAAAAGAUACACCAGAGGCACGGGAGGACCAGCAACGUAUGCACGGAAAAGACGGCAUACAUCAGGGUCAGGCCAGCUACGCUCUUACCAAAGAAGAGAAGGAAAUCUUCUUCGAAUGCCUGCUCAGCAUGAAGGUACCGUCUGGCUUCUCGUCGAAUAUAAAGGGAAUAAUAAAUAUGGCAGAGAAAAAGUUCCAGAACCUAAAGUCUCAUGACUGCCACAUGAUUAUGACGCAACUCCUUCCGGUUGCAUUGAGGGGGCUUCUACCGGAAAACGUUCAAUUAGCCAUUGUGAAGCUAUGUGCAUUCCUCAAUGCAAUCUCUCAGAAGGUAAUCGAUCCAGAAAUCAUACCAAGGUUACAGAAUGAUUUGGUGCAAUGUCUUGUCAGUUUCGAGUUGGUGUUCCCACCAUCCUUCUUCAACAUCAUGACGCACGUCCUAGUUCACCUUUGCGAAGAGAUUAACGUUUUGGGUCCUGUAUUUCUACACAAUAUGUUCCCCUUUGAAAGGUUCAUGGGAGUCUUGAAGAAAUAUGUUCAUAACCAUGCUAGGCCAGAAGGAAGCAUCUCGAAGGGCCAUGAAAAUGAGGAGGUCAUUGAGUUUUGUAUUGACUUCAUUCCUGACCUUAAGCCGAUUGGUGGUCCUGAAUCGCGGCAUAAGGGCAGACUGGAAGGAAAAGGCACGGUAGGAGGGCAUCAAAUAAUAUGUAUGGACGGGCAUUCUCUCAUGAAGCACACUACAGAGUUCUACAGAAUUCCGCCUUGGUGGCUCCGUAUAUGGAGGAACAGAAGAAUUUUCUACAGUCCAAACACCCGGAGAAGUCUGACGACUGGAUUACACGCGAACAAACGAGGACUUUUGCCGGUUGGUUGCAGAAACGUGCCCUGAAUGAUGGCGAUAUUCAAAAUGACCUGUACUCAUUGUCCUAGUUACCAUCUUCGAAUAUAAUGACUUUCAAAGGGUACCAGAUAAAUGGGAAUACAUUUUACAUGAUCUCCCAAGAUAAGAAGAGCACCAACCAAAACAGUGGUGUCCACUUUGAUGCAACAACCAACACGGGAAAGGAAACAUAUUAUGGUUACAUAGAGGACAUAUGGGAACUUAACUAUGGAUCAGGUGAUUUGAAGGUCCCUUUGUUUCGGUGCAAAUGGGUCAAUAUGACAUGAGGCGGGGUAACCGAAGACCCGCAGUACGGAAUGACAAUAGUGGAUCUCAACAAUCUUGCGUAUGCAGACGAACCAUUCGUCCUAGCCAAUGAUGUGGCGCGGGUUUUUUAUGUGAAAGACAUGUCUACCAGGUCGAGAAAAAGAAAAGAUAAGGAAGCGAAUGGAUCAUACAACGAGCCAAAGUGCCACAUAGUUCUUUCAGGAAAAAGAAACAUCGUGGGAGUGGAUGACAAGACAGACAUGUCAGAAGAUUAUGAAAAGUUUAAUGAAAUUGCUCCAUUCACAAUGAAUAUUGACCUGACCAUCCAGUUAAAUGAUGAAGAUUUUCCAUGGCUACGGCGCAAAGGGACACACGCGAAGAAAAAGUUUCACACCCAAAGAUCUGGGAUGUGAUCGGCUUCACUAUCAUCACUUUCUUCUGUGUUUCACACCCAGGAGGGAAUGUCUGUAAUAGUUAGGGUAGUUAUGUGUUUUGGCAUUUGAAACACGAAGAAAUUUUAUGUGCAAACAAGUUCUUUUCAUGCAUUUACUGAUUUUUUCCAGCUAAAUGACCCUGAAAUUGAAAAGCAUUUCAAAUGAACUCAGAAAAGGUUGAAAGUUGGCAUGGUAUCAUAAUUUCAUACAAAUAGCAUGUGCAAAAAAGUAGAGAGGGUUACGGCAAAAACUGGAUGCACUUCGUGUACAAAAUCGACAAUCUCUUUCGAAGUAUCAGGGUUUCUGAUGAAAACUGAACUGUUACAAAGGCAUUUCAUUUUUUAAAUAACCUAAGCAUUACCAAAUUGAAUAUAAUGAUAAAACACACUAAUAUUAAACAUAAAAAAGGAAUCACUGAAAAACUUUUUUCAAAGUUAAGUUAUUCACAAACUAGUGAUUCACACAAAUUUCAAAUAAUUCAAAAUUUAAACUAUUCAAAUUUGAAAACUACCGGCACUAACAGAAAGUUUGUAAUUUUUUGUACCUAAAACAAAAAUAUUCACAAAGAAACUCUAAAUACAGCAAAAAAAACAACUCAAAAAUAAAUAAAACAAAAAUAAAUAAAGUGAAAAGAAUUAAGAAAAUAAAAAAGCCCGCCUACAGGGCCAAAGCGGCCUGCAUACAACUAUGAACACAACCUUUAGUUGGGCCAGGAUGCAGGCCCGCAAAAGCCCAGUAGGCCCACUGGGCGAAGAGGACAGAUAGGCCCAGUAGGCCUGCUUAGGAGAGGAGCUCGAGAGAGCUACCGCACUGGGGCUUAUAAACCAAUGCAGUAGCCCCUCGACUAUCGAGGUGGGACUAAACUUGCGCACCGCCUGGAGCCAGCGCACCCCCUUUAGUACCGGGUCGUGGCUCCAACCGGUACUAAAGACCCCGCCCCCCUUUUAGUACCGGUUGGUGCCACGACCCGGUACUAAAGGGGGUGAGCUUCCCACCGCUUGGCCUGGCCAAAACAGACCUUUAGUACCGGUUGGUGGCUCCAACCGGUACUAAAGGUCCAUCCUAUAUAUACAACACUUGAAAAAAAUUCAGUUUCCCUCUGUUUCCUCCCUCCGUCGCGCCGUCCUGCCCCGAUCGACGUCGUUGCUGUCGACAUCGCCGCCCCCGCCCCUCGUCGCCGACCCCGGCCGUCCCCGCCCCUCGUUGCCGCCCCCGUCAACGUCGCCGCCCCGGCCGUCCCCGUCCCCGUCGUCCCCGUCGCCACGCCCCGCCGGNNNNNNNNNNNNNNNNNNNNNNNNNNNNNNNNNNNNNNNNNNNNNNNNNNNNNNNNNNNNNNNNNNNNNNNNNNNNNNNNNNNNNNNNNNNNNNNNNNNNNNNNNNNNNNNNNNNNNNNNNNNNNNNNNNNNNNNNNNNNNNNNNNNNNNNNNNNNNNNNNNNNNNNNNNNNNNNNNNNNNNNNNNNNNNNNNNNNNNNNNNNNNNNNNNNNNNNNNNNNNNNNNNNNNNNNNNNNNNNNNNNNNNNNNNNNNNNNNNNNNNNNNNNNNNNNNNNNNNNNNNNNNNNNNNNNNNNNNNNNNNNNNNNNNNNNNNNNNNNNNNNNNNNNNNNNNNNNNNNNNNNNNNNNNNNNNNNNNNNNNNACACACACUACACCCCCACACACACACACACACACAUUAGUUUGUUUGUUAUAAAUUUUUCUGUUUUUUAGUUAUAGAAAUGUUAGAAAUUAUUCUGUUUUUUAGUUAUAUAAAUAUUAGAAAUGUUAGUUAUAUAGAAAUGUUAUAAAUGUUUUCUGUUUUUUAGUUAUAGAAAUAUUUAUAGAAAUGUUAGCAAUUUUUCUAUUUUUUAGUUAUAUAAAUAUUAGAAUUGUUGGAAAUGUUAGUUAUAUAAUCAGGAAAUUUUAGAAUUAGUUUUAGUUAGAUGAAUUAGAUUAAUGUCAAAUUGUUAGAAUUUGCAUAUAUAUAUAUAUAUAUAUAUAUAUAUAUAAUUUUAGUUAUCACAAUCCAAUCAUUUAAAAAAUGUUACUUUUUGCGGGCAUAUAGUAUUUGUUCUCAACGAUAUGCCCGGCCCGCAUCCUCGCCGUCGACCCGUUCGCGACGACGUCCUACUUCAGGGAACCCAUGUCCGGGACUGGGCUCCACCAGGCUGGCACUGGGAGGUGCUACCUGGAGGGGCGCGCCGCUUGGUGAGGAACCCGACCUCGGGUCCCGUCGUCGACCCUGAUCUUCUUUGGUGGCGUUCGCGUGGGCCACAUUGGUGCAGAGGCAGCCGGCCCCGCCGGAGGUGGUGCAUCGCCAUGUCAGGGAGGAAGAUGAGCACGUCCAUCGCUACAUGGCUGCUAUGGACGACGUCAGGUUCUCCACUACUUGGCGGGUUCUUUGGGCAGAUGACCGGAGAUAUGAUCCUGUGAUGGUUCCUUCUCUUUGAAUGUGCACCGCCCACGCCCCAGGAACCGCGAGUGGCGCCCUAGAUUCUUCUGUAGUACUCGAUCUUUAUUAGGUACCUAGCCAGUGAUGUAUUCGAUAUAUAAUAUUCGAGACGAUGUAUUCGAGAUCAUAUAUAUUAAGAUGAUGAUGUAUUCGAGAUUAUAUAUUCGAGACGAUGUAUUCGAGAUUCAGUUUUUCCUUAUUGAUUAAUUGCAUCCAUGCAUUGUAAUUUGAAUACUAAAUUGUUUUAUAUUUCUUCUGUAUUAGUAAAGUAAAAGCUAUGGCAGACAAUACCGGCAGAGAGAGAGAAGAGGAAUUGUUCGACAUCAUACACAGCCCUCACAACUAGAUGAUCUGAAUGAAGCAGAUGACGGCUCCCAAUAUCUGAACAAUACCGGAGAGGGUGAUGAAAAGAUAUUCGAUCUCGACGACCGAGCUGAUGAAGUCAUGAACUAUGAUUAUGAUUAUGAUGACACAGACAAUGUUUGUGAUGACACAGACAAUGCUGAUCUUCAAAUAACAAAGACUACCGGCGAGGUAUAUUUAUAUAAGCAUGCAUCAUGGUGAUCAUCAGAUGUUUUUUUAUUGAAGAUAUAUUAACGAAUCGAUCUUUCUUCUUUCAGCCCUCCGGAUCGAGCAAAUUUGCUUCUACAGACAGCAAGACAAAGCGAGGCCCGGGCAGAUUGUUGAAGGAUGGUGUAAAGUACCACAUCGAAUCCAUCAAACUUAGUGGCGAACCCCUCACGCCUAAGAACGUUGCGGACAAGUGGACUCGUCAGUGUGGAGUUCUUGUGAAGGACAAACUCCCGAUCUCCAUUCAAGAAUGGAAAGAGCCAAAGACUAAACGUCCAGAUGUUACUUGGGUCGACGACAGAGCCAAAAAAUACCUUUUGAAAUCUCUGAUGGAACAUUUCACCCUACUAGAUCAUUUCGCUGAAGCAUAUAUGGAGAAAGUCAAGGCCGCUGCUCUUAAGAAGAUGGCAAUUGCAUUCAACACCCACAAGAAAACUACCUCGCUAAUGAAAGGAAGACUCCAGAUUUCAAGGGAACACUAGAGAAGCAAAGAGAGCACUGGGACGAUUUCGUGACCUUCAAGGAUUCAGAAUUAUCUAAGGAACGGUCGAUGGAAAACAAGGCAAAUGCCGCAAGAAAGACGCAGUUCCAUAGGCUGGGUCCAGGUGGCUACGCAGUGGGAUUGCCUAAGUGGGAUAAGUCUAAGCAAGAGAUGGAGGAUGCAGGGGUCACUCCGGUUACUAGGAACUGGCCCCCCAGGUGCAGAACUUGGUUCUAUGCGCAUGGGGGAGCGUUGGACCCGAAGACAGGUGAAGUUUCGCGGAAGGCAAGUCUAAAAGGAGCCGAACAAAAGAUAAUUGACGCAAUAGAAGAAGCUCGAAGGGGGGUGUUCACGCCCAACAGAGAGAACGACGAGCUUACGCGCGCUCUGGGAAAUCCUGAACACCCGGGAAGAACACGAGGCAAGGGCGUUAUUCCCUGGUAUGAGGGCUUUUCAGAAUGGAACGAGGACUACAGGUCCCGUGCAAGAAGGAAGAUGGAGGAGAAGAAGAAAAGGAAGCUACAGGAGGAGUAGAGGAAGCAGGACGCAGAACGCCUUCAAGGCCUAGAAGCAAGGCGCGCAGACCUGGCACUCAAAUUCCAGUAGCAGCAACAGCAGAUCGACUCCCUUAGCCAGGAAAGGGGGUCUCAGCAGCGGCAGCAGCAAGCGGAUGAUCGUCCAGCAUUGGAUAGCACCGUCCCAUCCAUGCCGAGAAGCAGCGUUGGUUCUGCCCCGGGCGACACACUGUUGGAUACAUACCCUGUGGAUGACAUCAUAGAGAACACUAACUGUGAGCUACACUCCAAAAUGAAGAACAUAUCAAUGAAGGUGGCGGACGGCGUUGCUUUUCCAGUUACCCCCGAAGCAACCUACCAUUGCAUCCUGAUUCCAGAGGGCUAUGCUCGUGUCAUGGUUGAUGAAGUGGUGGACCCAUAUUCGGGGCUAAUGCUUGACAUUCCUGGAGGUGAAGACGAGCGCACACUGGGAGAGGCCAUACAUCGUAUCAUCCUAUGGAGAAAGGAUUGCAUCAUCUUUCAAAGUCCACCGACACCGCGUUGUCUGCCGAAUCCUCCUCGAAGUCCGCCACCGAGUCAGCAGACUCCCGCUCCUCUAAGUCCACGAACGUGUGAGCCGACUCCUCCUUGAAGUCCGCCACCUCCUCCAAGUCCCCGAACGCGUGAGCUGACUCCUCUGGUUUCAAGUCUGGCACAGCGUCAUGCCACUUCUCCGGUUUCAAGUCCGGCACCAUGUCAGGCCACACCUCCUGCUUCCAGUCCGGCACAUCGUCAGGCCACUUCUCUUGGUCCAACUCCACAUCAACUGUCUCCGUCGUCUCAGCAAUCGCAGAAGAGACAUGCCGCAGCUUUGGUGCGUAGCAGUACGAGUCGAGGUAGUUCAGGAAGUACAGGCGGAGGCAAGCGAUAUAAAUAUGGUCCAAGCCUCGCUCCUCUUCCUCAGAGGCCUUACGACAUGACUAAGGAGCAAAACACAGCCAUAGUGCAAGCCAAAUUGGACGCCCAUUUUGGACCGAAACCAGCACCGCCGCCAAAGGAGAAAGUGCCUGAGAAAGUAAUUGACCACUUCAUUCGUAUGGCUAGAGAACCAGCUCCCAAGCCUGUUGACUCGGACUAUGAGCGCCAAAUCAGGAAGGCACAUCGAGCACGACUACAGAAGGAAGCAAGCUCAAGCUCGAUCCAACAAGCAGCUGGCAAAAAAUGCGGGAAAACCGUUCCCCAGUUGGGAGAACAGGCGGCGCAAGCGAUCCCCCCGCUUGUUGUGCCAACAACACAUGAGAGGAGUAGUACGCGCACCAAAUAUUAUUGUGGGCAAACCGUUAGUGUUCCCCAGCAUGGCGAUGUGGUAAUAACAAAGGAUCAUAUAAUGCAGGCUCAAAUGCUUAAUAUCUCUGUUGGACAACUCCUCGAAAUCGAGCCCAUGCCUACGCUUAAAGAAUCGGAAAUAGCAUGGCAAUAUGUCUGGGGCAAACCUUUGGUCCAUCCAGACAAGGUCAAGGACCUCCCAACAAGAAUGUAUCAAUUGCAUCAAUGGUACAUGAACAUUACCAAGAUUCCAAUCGAGAGUCCCUCAUGGUGAAUGUCAAGCAUGAGCAUUAUUACCAUGAGAAAGCUCUGACCAUUGAGUAUCUAAAACUAUUUCAGUUAUACAAUCAAGACGCACUCGACAAGUCUAUCGUCAGUUGCUAUUGUCUGUAAGUGAUUUCUUUCUGUAAUUUAAGUCUCAAGCUAGUUAUGUAGUGGUAAUUUUGAUCAAUCAUUACAUGUAAUUAUCCUCACUAUAUUCUUUUUCUGUGGUAUUAUAUGCAGGAUGAAGAUGUAUGAAAUGAAAAAAGCUGGACGCUAUGGCGUUGGGUUCAUUGACCCAAAUACCAUUAAUCGGGACAUAUGGCAGAUUGAACAUUGUCAAGCUGCUGUAGAGGAAAGCAUGCUAGAGUUCUUGAAGCGCCUCAAUACCAAUGAAGAUAUACUACUUCCUUACAACUUCCCGUGAGUCACAUUGUCUUGUACUACAAAUUCUAUUUUUGCUUACUAGCUAGCUAGAUGUUAAUAAUUAAGUGUAUAUGGUUUACGGUAGUUGAUUAAUUUUAUGCACAUGCCCGCUUAAUUAAGACAUGCAAACGUGUGCGUAUGCAAUUGGCACUGGGUCUUGUUAGACAUUAAAGUUGAGGAAGGAAAAGUUGAAUUACUGGACUCACUAACUAAAUAAGAUAAAGACUACACCAUCGUGAAGGGGAUAGUCAACAGGUAAUUUCAAUCAUUAUUAACUAUAUCUCGGCCUAUUAAUUAUUAGUUCGUCAUUUCCUGAUAUGAACUAUUUAGUAACCCCUUUAUUAAUUUUCUUUGCCGGCGGGCAGGGCAUGGGCAAAGUUCAUCAAGGUGACUCCAGGCACGUGGCCAAAAAAGUUGUUUUGGCAUUGAUCCUUGGUAAGUAAUUAAGUAGUACUAGCUAGCCACCAUCUCUUUAAUUCUUGUUUCAAUAUCAUUAAUUAAUUAUCAUGCUUGAUUAAUCAUUAUCUGAUUCAAUUCCAUUCUCGUAAAUGCCCUGAGGCAGGCGCCGGGGAAUAAUCUGUGUGCAUACUAUGUUUGCGAGAACAUUCGCAUGAUGACGUGCGAAAGGAGCAGAUCUGAUAGACAGGACUGGGUACGUUUGUCAGAACACUAUUCACACCAUUAUAGAUAUCUAGUCACACAACUAACACAUAUGCAUAUUGAUCUCCUUCUUAACAGUUCAGAUCGGUGCGGGAUAAGCUCCUACCAUCGGACCGCAUACAAGAACUUCAAGAGGAAAUAGCCGGAUUUUUGCUCGACCAGGUCAUAGAUCCCAAAGGAGAAUACUAUUACCCGCUACCGCCCCCAUGAACCACUUGUCAUCGUGCUCCGGAGGCACCAAAGGCAACAUAUGUAGGAGAAAUUGUAUAUGUAUAUACAUGUGUAUGUGUGAAUAAUUAAUGGUGUUGGUUUGUGAGACAUUCGAUGAUAUAUAUAUAUAUAUAUAUAUAUAUAUAUAUGCGGUUCUACGUACAAGAAAAUCUAUUUAUAUAUAUGCAUAAUGUGUACAAUUUGUAGUAUCGUGAAAUAACAGCAAACAAAAAAAAUUGAAUGGAAAAUAAAUCAAAACCCCCCCAAAUAUUUAGUACCGGUUGGUGUUACCAACCGGUACUAAUGCCCAACGCGCACCCCGGGCCUGGCUCGUGCCACGUGGUGGCACUUUAGCGCCGGUUCGUGACGAACCGGUACUAAAGGGGGGGCCUUUAGUCCCCACUCUUUAGUGCCAGUUGGCAAACCGGCACUAAAGGCCGGUUUUGCACUAGUGAUGGUAUAGUUGGAACACUCGGAUCUCCAAGUUUCUUUGGUAUUCCACCCUUAAAAGUGUAAUUAGCAAGCAUGGUGGAAAUUUCAGCUUCCGGUAUCUUUCUUUUGUUUGUAAUGAUAUCCUUCAUAUACUUAGCAUAAGGAUUUACUUUAAGCAUAUCAGUUAAGCGCAUACGUAAGAAAAUAGGUCUAAUCAUUUUAGCAAUGCGCUCAAAAUCCUCAUCAUCCUUUGACUUGGAUGGUUUAGGAGGAAAGGGCAUGGGUUUCUGAACCCAUGGUUCUCUUUCUUUACCGUGCUUCCUAGCAACAAAAUCUCUAUUAUCAUAACGUUGAUUCUUUGAUUGUGGGUUAUCAAGAUCAACAGCAGGUUCAAUCUCUACAUCAUUGUUUUUGCUAGGUUGAGCAUAAACAUUAACAUUAUCACUAGGUUCAUGUUCAUCACCUGAUUGAGUUUCAGCAUCAGAAAUAGAAAUAUCAUUGGGAUUCUUAGGUGUGUCUAUAGUAGGUUCACAAGAAGCAUGCAAAGUCCUAUCAUUUUUCUUCUUCUUCUUUUUAGAAGAACUAGGUGCCUCUAAAUUAUUUUUCUGAGAAUCUUGCUCGAUUCUCUUAGGGUGGCCUUCAGGAUACAAAGGUUCCUGAGUCAUUCUACUAGUUCUAGUAGCCACUCUAACAGUAAAGUCAUUUUUAUUAUUUAAUUCAUCAAGCAAAUCAUUUUGAGCUUUGAGUACUUGCUCCGCUUGAGUAGCAACCAUAGAAGCAUAUUUGCUAACGCGGUGAAGUUCAUCUUUAACUCUAGCCAGAUUAUCACCUACGCGUCCUAUCUCGAAAGCAUUAUUCUUUAACUCUCUACCAACAUAAGCAUUAAAACUUUCUUGUCUAUCCAUAAAGUCGUCAAAUUCAUCUAAGCAUGGGCUAUGAAAUUUAGUAGAGGGUAUUUCAACUUCAUCAUAUCUAUAGAGAGAAUUUACCUUUACUACCUGUGUCGGGUUAUCAAGACAAUGUGGUUCUUCAGGCGGUAAAUUAAGACCAUGUAUUUCUUCAAUAAGAGGUAAAUUCUUAACAUCUUCAGCUUUAAUACCUUUUUCUUUCAUUGAUUUCUUUGCCUCUUGCAUAUCUUCAGGACUGAGAAAUAAAACACUUCUCUUCUUCGGAGUGGGUUUAGGAAUAGGCUCAGGAGUUGGCUCAAUUGGUUCAGGAAUUGGCUCAGGAAGAGUCCAAUUAUUUUCAUUAGUCAACAUAUUAUUCAAUAGUAUUUCAGCUUCGUCGACUGUUCUUUCCCUGAAAACAAAACCAGCACAACUAUCCAAGUAGUCCUUGGAAGCAUCGGUUAGUCCAUUAUAAAAGAUAUCAAGUAUUUCAUUUUUCUUAAGAGGAUGAUUAGGCAAAGCAUUAAUUAACCAGAGAAGCCUCCCCCAAGCUUGUGGGAGACUCUCUUCUUUGAUUUGCACAAAGUUAUAUAUUUCCCGCAAGGCAGCUUGUUUCUUAUGAGCAGGGAAAUAUUUAGUAGAGAAGUAAUAAAUCAUAUCCUGGGGACUACGCACACAACCAGGAGCAAGAGAAUUAUACCAAGUCUUAGCAUCACCCUUUAAUGAGAACGGAAAUAUCUUAAGGAUAUAUAAAUAGCAAGACUUCUCAUCAUUAGUAAAUAGGGUGGCUAUAUCAUUCAGCUUGGUAAGAUGUGCCACAACAGUUUCAGAUUCAAGGCCAUAAAAAGGAUCAGAUUCAACUAAAGUAAUAAUAUCAGGAUCAACAGAGAAUUCAUAAUCCUUAUCAGUAACACAGAUAGGUGAAGUAGCAAAAGCAGGAUCGGGUUUCAUUCUAGCAUUAAGAGACUGCUGCUUCCAUUUAGCUAAUAAUUUCUUAAGAUCAUUUGUAUCAUUGCAAGCAAGAAUUUCCAUAGCAGCUUUUUCAUUCAUAACAUAAUCCUUAGGAACAACAGGUAAUACAUAAUCAUUGGGGGAACCUUCAUCAUCACUAUCAUCAAUAAUAGGUUCUUCAAUAUUUUCAUUCCCCCUAACUCUAGCAAGUUGUUCAUCAAGAAAUUCACCUAAUGGAAAAGUAGUAUCACGCACAGAAGUAGUUUCAUCAUGCAUAGCAGAAGUGGCAUCAUCAAUAACAUGCGACAUAUCAGAAUUCAUAGCAGUAGCAGGUUUAGGUGUCGCAAGCCUACUAAUAACGGAAGGAGAAUCUAGUGCAAGGCUAGAUGGCAGUUCCUUACCUCCCCUCGUAGUUGAGGGCAAAAUAGUAGUUUGAUCGUCUUUCAAGUUCUUCAUAGUGAUCAACAGAUAUAAAUCCCAAGUGACUCAGAGAACAGAGCUAUGCUCCCCGGCAACGGCGCCAGAAAUUAGUCUUGAUAACCCACAAGUAUAGGGGAUCACAAUAGCUCUCGAGGGUAGAGUAUUCAACCCAAAUUUAUUGAUUCGACACAAGGGGAGCCAAAGAAUAUUCUUGAGUAUUAGCAGUUGAGUUGUCAAUUCAACCACACCUGGAUAACUUAGUAUCUGUAGCAAAGUGUUUAGUAGCAAAGUGGUAUGAUAAUAAAGGUGACGGUAGCAGAAGUAAAGAUAAAUGUUUUGGGUUUUUGUAGUAGUUGUAACAGUAGCAACGGAAAAGUAAAUAAGCGAAGAACAAUAUGUGAAAAUCUCGUAGGCAAUGGAUCAGUGAUGGAUAAUUAUGCCGGAUGUGAUUCCUCAUGCAAUAGUUAUAACAUAGGGUGAUAUAGAACUAGCUCAGUUCAUCGAUGUAAUGUAGGCAUGUAUUCCGUAAAUAGUCAUACAUGCUUAUGGAAAAGAACUUGCAUGACAUCUUUUGUCCUACCCUCCCGUGGAAGCGGGGUCCUUGCGGAAACUAAGGGAUAUUAAGGCCUCCUUGUAAUAGAGAACCGGAACAAAGCAUUAGCACAUAGUGAAUACAUGAACUCCUCAACCUACGAUCAUCACCGAGAAGUAUCCCGAUUAUUGUCACUUUGGGGUUGUCGGAUCAUAACACAUAAUAGGUGACUAUAGACUUGCAAGAUAGGAUCAAGAACACACAUAUAUUCAUGAAAACAUAAUAGGUUCAGAUCUGAAAUCAUGGCACUCGAGCCCUAGUGACAAGCAUUAAGCAUAGCAAAGUCAUAGCAACAUCAAUCUCAGAACAUAGUGGAUACUAGGGAUCAAACCCUAACAAAACUAACUUGAUUACAUGGUAAAUCUCAUCCAACCCAUUACCGUCCAGCAAGCCUACGAUGGAAUUACUCACGCACGGCGGUGAGCAUCAUGAAAUUGGUGAUGGAGGAUGGUUGAUGAUCAUGACGGCGAUGAAACCCCCUCUCUGGAGCCCCGAACGGACUUCAGAUCAGCCCUCCAGAGAGAGAUUAGGGCUUGGCGGCGGCUCUGUGUCGUAAAAUGCGAUGAAUCUUUCUCUCUGAUUUUUUUUCUUCCCGAACGUGAAUAUAUGGAGUUGGAGUUGGCGUCGGUGGAGGUCCAGGGGGCCCACGAGAUAGGAGGCCGCGCCCUAGGGGGGCGCGCCCCCUGUCUCGUGGACAGGCUGUGGGCCCCCUGGCAUUAAUUCUUUCGCCAAAAAUUCUUAUUAAAUCCAAAAAGUGCCUCUGUGGAUUUCCAGGACAUUCCGAGAACUUUUCUUUUCUACACAUAAAACAACAUCAUGGCAGUUCUGCUGAAAACAGCGUUAGUCCGGGUUAGUUUCAUUCAAAUCAUGCAAGUUAGAGUCCAAAACAAGGGCAAAAGUGUUGUGAAAAGUAGAUACGUUGGAGACGUAUUAGCUGACGCCUUGGGCGCCAUGUUGGAUCAAGCCCGUGUUGCUGGCCACAUCAGGGGAGUGGUCGGCAACUUGAUCCCGGGGGGCUGUCGCACCUGCAGUAUUGCUACAUCUUGAUCUUGCGUUGGUUUUCCUUGACGUGGAAAGGGUGAUGCAGCAAUAGUAGCGUAAGUAUUUCCCUCAGUUUUUCAGAACCAAGGUAUCAAUCCAGUAGGAGGCUCCUCAAAAGUCCCACGCACCUACACAAACAAACAAAGAACUCGCAACCAACGCAAUAAAGGGGUUGUCAAUCCCUUCACGGCCACUUACAAAAGUGAGAUCUAACAGAGAUAGUAUGAUAAGAUAAAUAUAUUUUUGGUAUUUUAUAAGGUAGAUGCAAAAAGUAAAGAUGCAAAUAAAAGUAGAUUGGAAGCAAAUAUGAUAAAAGAUAGACCCGGGGGGCAUAGGUUUCACUAGAGGCUUCUCUCAAGAUAGCAUAAGUAUUACGGUGGGUGAACAAAUUACUGUCGAGCAAUUGAUAGAAAAGCGAAUAAUUAUGAGAUUAUCUAGGCAUGAUCAUGAAUAUAGGCAUCACGUCCGCAACAAGUAGACCGACUCCUGCCUACAUCUACUACUAUUACUCCACACAUCGACCGACUCCUGCCUGCAUCUAGAGUAUUAAGUUCAUAAGAAUAGAGUAACGCCUUAAGCAAGAUGACAUGAUGUAGAGGGAUAAACUCAUGCAAUAUGAUAUAAACCCCAUCUUUUUAUCCUCGAUGGCAACAAUACAAUAUGUGCCUUGCAACCCUUUCUGUCACUGGGUAAGGACACCGCAGGAUUGAACCCAAAGCUAAGCACUUCUCCCAUGGCAAGAAAGAUCAAUCUAGUAGGCCAAACCAAACUGAUAAUUCGAAGAGACUUGCAAAGAUAACUCAAUCAUACAUAAAAGAAUUCAGAGAAGAUUCAAAUAUUUCUCAUAGAUAAACUUGAUCAUAAACUCACAAUUCAUCGGAUCUCGACAAACACACCGCAAAAAGAGUUUACAUCGAAUAGAUCUCCACGAGAGAGGGGGAGAACAUUGUAUUGAGAUCCAAAAAGAGAGAAUAAGCCAUCUAGCUAAUAACUAUGGGCCCGGAGGUCUGUGGUAAACUACUCACAACUCAUCGGAGGGGCUAUGGUGUUGAUAUAAAAGCCCUCCAUGGUCGAUUCCCCCUCCGUCGGAGCGCCGGUGAAGGCUCCAAGAUGGGAUCUCGCGGAUACAGAAGGUUACGGUGGUGGAAAUUGUGUUUCGUUGGCUCCCUGGAUGCUUUCGGGGUACGUAGGCUUAUAUAGGAGGAAGAAGUACAUCGGUGGCCGCCCCAGGGGCCCACGAGACAGGGGGCGCGCCCUAUGGGGGGGGCGCCCUACCCUCUCGUGGCCGCCUCGGCUGCUUCUUGACUUGCACUCGAAGUCCUCUGGAUCAUGUUCAUUCCAAAAAUCACGCUCCUGAAGGUUUCAUUCCGUUUGGACUCCGUUUGAUAUUCCUUUUCUUCGAAAUAUUGAAAUAGGCAAAAAAACAAUAUGGGCUGGGCCUCCGGUUAGUAGGUUAGUCCCAAAAAUGAUAUAAAUGUGUAAAAUAAAGCCCAUAAACAUCCAAAAGGGGUAAUAUAAUAGCGUGGAACAAUCAAAAAUUAUAGAUACGUUGGAGACAUAUCAAGUAUGCAGAUGACACGCUCCUUCUCUUCGAGCCAAACUUGCAUAGCAUUGCAUCAGUUAAGGCUAUUCUCUUGUGUUUUGAGAUUAUGUCUGGCCUCAAAAUUAACUUCCACAAGUGUGAAGUAGUGUCCAUAGGGAUGGACGCGGCCGAAAGUACACGUGUAGCUAACUUGCUAAAUUGCAAGCUUGGGAAACUACCGUUUACUUACCUAGGCCUCCCAAUCGCUGAGAAAAAAUGCUUGAUCUCAGAUUGGGAACCUAUCUGCAACAAGGUGACGGGUCAUGUCUUCCCGUGGAGAGGGAGAUUUAUGUCUUCAGGGGCAAGACUUAUCUUAACCAACUCCAGCCUUUCGUCCCUGCCUAUGUUUGUUAUGGGCUAAUUCCUGCUGGCUAACGAGGUGCACACUAAAAUGGACACUCCUAGGGCCCGUUUCUUUUGGGAAAGGGCGGGGACAAAGCGUAAAUACCAUAUGGUCAAGUGGCAGGCCGUCUGCCAGCCCAAAGCCUGGGGGGGCCUUGGGAUCAUCAACUAGAAGUUGAUGAACAUUGCACUCAUGUGCAAAUGAAUUUGGAAGCUAUCUCAGGGCGAGACUGGCCUCUGGAUGGACCUCCUGCGUACCAAAUAUUUUCCUGGUGGGAAUUUCUUUGAGGCCGCAACCCAUGGGUCUCCUUUCUGGAACUCCAUCAAUCCUUAAAACUGUGCUUUGCCAGAGGGGUGAAAUUCACGGUUAACAACGGUCGCUCCACGCGAUUCUGGCUUGACUUUUGGAUCGGCCAAUAGCCCCUUUGGUAGGAGUUCCGCGACCUUUAUUUCAUCAUUGUUGAGCCCAACCAAUUGGUUGCCACGGCCUUCAACUCCUCCCCUCCAUCUAAUUUCUUCAAAAGGGAGCUCUCAGGGCCAAAGGUGGAUAGUUGGGACCGCCUGCGAGCUCUCAUCGCUGAUGUGCACCUGUCGUCCGACGCGGAUACAGUGUCAUGGAGGCUCACGGGCUCUGGCAAGUUCUCGGUCAACUCUCUUUAUCGAGAGCUGGCUCGCGGCCCUGUCUUUUAGGCUGCCACGGGACUAUGGAAGGCAUGAAUUCCGCUUAAAAUAAAAGUUUUCCUCUGGCAAUUGUGCCACGAUCGCCUUCCUACAUCAAUAAAUGUAGCUAAGCGCAAUGGGCCGGCCACAGGGCCCUGUGCGCUUUGUGGUGUCCCCGAAGACGCGGAUCACGCGUUCUUCCGAUGCCACCUGGCUCGCUUCGCCUGGAGCACGGUCCGUGAGGCCGCGAGCGUGGAUUGGGAUCCAAGCUCACGCUCUGAGCUAGUGUCGUAUUUGUCCUCGGUCCAGGGCUCCUCUCGCCGUAUCAUGUGGACAUGUGCGGCUGCUAUGCUAUGGGCCCUCUGGCGAACUCGCAACAAGUUUACGAUUGAGGUCGUUUUCCCAUCGCACCCCGCUGACGUAAUUUAUAAAUGCAUUAUUUUCUUACAGCAGUGGGCCCCAUUGAGAAGACAUCAGGACGCUGAUCUCCAUCGCCACGCGCUCGACCGCCUCCGCCUCAUCUACUCGGCGGCCUGAGCUCCAUCGUCUGCUGCCUCCGCUACCUAGGGAUGUGUGACUCCUUCUCUUUUGUUGGUUGCCUAUGCCAUGUAACGCACUUUGCUUGUUGGGCCGGUCGACUAUGUGUUUGGUUUCUUAUCCUUGAUGUUGGUACUUGCUCAUGUGUACGCUGCCUAAGUUGUGGGCUUUAUUAAUUUAAAGCCGGACGCCCCAGGCUUCUUCGUUCUAAAAAAACUCACAACACACUUGAUGCACGAAAAAUGAUCCACUGGAAAAUUGUUGUACUGAAGUCCAGCAAACGCGAUGAUAGCAGAAGAUGAACCCGAAGCAUCAUGUGGGGCCAGGGGUAGCUAAUACUCCCUCCGUUCCUAAAUAUAAGGUGUAUUAGUUUUUCAAAAAGUCAACUGUUAUCUAUGUUUGACCAACUUUACAACAAAAUAUAUAAAGAUUUAUAAUACUAAAUAUAUAAAAUGUAAAAAUAUAGUGCAUGAUGAAUCUAGUGAUAAUGAUUUGGUAUUCUAGAUAUUGAUAUUUUUGUCUAUAAACUUGGUCAAACUUAGAGAAGUUUGACUUUUUAGAAAAAUAAUACACCUUAUAUUGAGGAAUGGAGGGAGUAUUUUUUAAAUAAUACAUUUUCUUUAUUAAUUUGCACAAAUAUUACGCCGAUAUUUUUAUUUUCAAAAAUAAUAUCCAAUCAGCCAGCAGCAGGCCGAUUGGCCCUAGUCGGCCAACCGCAGGCUGAUUGGCCUCCUGUCGGCCUACAGAUGGCUGAUAGGCCAGUCGGCCAGGUGGUGGUGAAUCUAUCGACCAGCUGUGGGCUGCACCGUGCACAUUCAAACUCCACUAUCGCAAAAACUUUUCAGCUUCCGUGUGACCUUUCGUAUACCCAUAGUGCGUGGCAAAAAUUUAGACAUCGGCUCGGCUCAUUCGCGCAACCCCCUCUAAACUAGCAAUAUGGGACUAAACUUUAGUAGUAUCCCUUGCCUUGCACAAAUGGGCUAAGUGGGCCUCCAGGAUUUAUUAGGAAUUUCUGAAAUAGUUAUUGGGCUGCCCAAAAAGACUAAAUUCCAGCAAUCCCCCACCAGAUCCGAGAGGCACACAAAAUUUGCCUUUGGUUCCAAAACACUAUUUUAUAUACUGGUACUGCAGUGGAGACUGUUAGGUUGAACUUCCACCUAGAACUCUAUGCUACACUAGUAAGCAACUUGAACAGUGGACUGGGCCUUGAACUGCAAGUUUUCUGCGAAUCUAGCUUCACAUAAAGCCUUAACCAAUACGUGGCUACCGUGGGUCUUCCCCGUGGGUGGAGCUUAUGCGUCAUACUCCGAGACCUUUCAUGAGUUUACUAGAGAGAACCCUACUCUCAUAGAUUGCAACGUUUAACAAUCAGACUCAUAUAGGUGCGUUCUUCAAAAGAUGUUCUGCAGGACAACAUCUCUGCUUCAAAGAGCCACUUAGAACACAUUAAGAUAUACAUCAACCUGCCAUGCAGAUUAGGAGAGUAUUGCAUCUUCAUGGAGUGGUAUUUUUAACAGUAAGGAUACUCUCCUCCCAGUUGACCAACAGCUUGUCUUCCACAUCUAAUUCACGGGAUCUCCGAUCACAAAGAAUAGGUUACCACUGUGAACAACUCAUAUUGUGGGUCUCAUACCCAUCUCCCUCGAUGCAUUAUCUAUCACAUUACAUGAUAGACCCUUAGUAAAAGGAUCUGCCAGAUUUUUAGACAUUUGGAUAUAAUUCAAUGCAAUAACUCUGGAGUUUUUCAUUUUUCUGACAGACUUUAACCUUCUCUGAACGUGUCUUGAUGACUUCAUGUUAUCCUUUGAGCUGCUCACUUUAGUGAUCACAGUUUGAUUGUCAUAGUUCAUAAGGAUACCCGGUACAGGUUUCUCAACUAUCGGCAAGUCAUUCAAGAGCCGACGAAGCUAAUCUGCUUCGACCGUAGCUGUAUCUAGUGCUGUGAGUUCUGCUUCCAUUGUUGACCUCGUUAAGAUGGUUUGCUUGCAAGACUUCCAAGAAACAGCGCCACCUUCAUGAGUGAAUACAUAUCCGCUCGUGGCCUUUAUCUCAUCAGCAUCUGAGAUCUAGUUUGAGUCACUAUACCCUUCAAGCACCUUUGGGUGCCCGGUGUAGUGAAUUCCAUAAUUUGCAGUGCCUUUCAAAUAACGCAAAACUCUCUCUAGAGCUUUCCAAUGCACAUCUCCUGGUUUUGAGACAAACCGGCUCAGCUUGCUAACAGCAAAAGAGAUGUCAGGUCUUGUAGCACUGGCUAAGUACAUAAGCGAGCCAAUGAUCUAAGAAUAUUUCAAUUUGUCUCUAGCAAUUCUCCGAUUCUUUUGAAGCAACACACUAGCAUCAUAUGGUGUUGGAGAUGGCUUGCAGUCACUGUAGCCAAAGCGACUCAAGAUCUUUUCCACAUAGUGGGAUUGAAGCAAUGUAAUCCCACCAUCAUUGUCUCUCAACAACUUGAUGUUCAGAAUGACAUCAGCCACUCCUAAAUCCUUCAUCUCAAAACAGCGAGAUAGGAAAUCCUUGACCUCCUUAAUAACAUUCAGAUUUGUUCCGAAAAUCAGUAUGUCAUCAACAUACAAGCAAAUCAUAACUCCCUCGCCCCCACCAUGGCGAUAGUACACACAUCUGUCAGCAUCGUUCACAACAAAGCCUGCAGCUGUUAAAGUUCUUUCGAACUUCUCAUGCCACUGUUUGGGUGCUUGCUUGAGUCCAUACAAAGACUUCAGCAACUUGCACACUUUCCCUUCCUGGCCAUCUAUUACAAACCCAUCUGGUUGUUCCAUAUAAAUUUCCUCAUCCAACUCUCCAUUUAGGAAAGCAGUCUUAACAUCCAUUUGAUGAACAAGAAGCCAUGUGAGGCAGCUAGUGAAAGUAGAACUCGAAUAGUAGUCAGUCGAGCCACAGGUGAGUAAGUAUCAAAGAAGUCUUCACCUUCCUUUUGGGUAUAACCCUUAGCCACGAGACGAGCCUUGUACUUUUCAAUAGUACCAUCAGGCCUAAGCUUCUUCUUGAAAACCCAUUUGCAUCCUAUAGGUUUGCACCCAUAAGGACGAUCAGUUAUCUCCCAAGUUUCAUUUGCCAAGAUGGAAUCCAUCUCGCUACGAACUGCUUCCUUCCAGUAGUCAGCAUCUUCGGAUGCGUAGGCCUCUGAAAUAAAACUGGGAGUGUCAUCUAUGAGAUACACAAGAAAAUCAUCACCAAAGGACUUUGCAGUCCUCUAUCUCUUGCUCCUAAUAGGAACUUCAUUGUUCUCCUCCACGGGACUUUUAAAGUGUUCCAUCAAAAUGGCAGGUUCGGUAAUUUUAACUGGUUCCUGAUUCGAUGAACUAGGCAUCUCCUGAUUAGAUGAGGUAUCCAUAUCCUUCAUGGGAAAGAUAUCUUCAAAGAAAGUCGCAUCAUUCGACUCCAUGAUCGUACCGACAUGCAUGUCAGGUACCUCAGAUUUUACAACCAAGAAUCUAUAGCCAAUGCUAUGAAAAGCAUAUCCCAGGAAAACACAAUCCACAGUCUUUGGUCCAAGCUUCCGCUUCUUUGGAAUUGGAACAUUGACUUUCGCCAAACAACCCCAUGUUCACAUAUAAGAGAGUUUUAACCUUUUCGUCUCCCAUUCCUCGAAUGCAGUUAUCUCUUUGUUCUUUGUGGGGACUCGAUUUAGGACAUGACAUGCUGUCAAUACUGCCUCCCCCCACCAUGCCUUGGAGAGACCCGAUGUGUCUAACAUGGCAUUAACCAAAUCAGUUAGAGUACGGUUCUUUCUUUUGGCCACCCCAUUUGACUGAGGUGAGUAGGGAGGCAUCCUCUCAUGGAUUAUACCAUGUUCCGCACAAAAAGCAUCAAAUUCAUUAGAAAAAUACUCUCCACCACUGUCAGACCUAAGCCUCUUGAUUUUCUAAUCAAGUUGGUUUUCCACUUCAGCUUUAUAGAUCUUGAAAAAGUUCAAAGCCUCAUCCUUAGAUUUCAGAAGAUACACACGGCAGUAUCUAGUGGAGUCGUCAAUUAACAUCAUGAAAUAUUUCUUUCCACCUUUUGUCAAAACACCAUUCAUUUCACAUAGAUCUAAAUGUAUAAGUUCUAGUGGUGCAAGAUUUCUCGUCUCCGCGGUCACGUGAGACUUACGAGGUUGCUUAGCUUGCACACACACUUGACACUUAGAUCCCUUGACAGUGGUGAAAUUAGGGAUUAAGUUCAACUUCGCUAGUCGCGACAUGCAACCAAAGUUAACAUGACAAAGACGUGAAUGCCACACAUUUGAUUCACUAUUGUUGCAAAUAUGAUUAACAACUUUAUUGCAAACAUCUGAUAAGGAUAAAUGAAACAGGCCUCCUGACUCAUAGCCUUUACCAACGAAGGUUCCAUACUUUGAUAUUACAAAUUUAUUCGACUCAAAGACAAGCUUAUAGCCAUCUCUACACAGAAGAGAUCCGCUAACAAGAUUUUUAUUGACGGAGGAGACAUAAUGCACGUUCUUCAGCCGCACGAUCUUUCCCGAAGUAAACUUCAGAUCGACCGUGCCAACACCACGAACAGAAGCACUUGAACCGUUGCCCAUCAACACGGUUGAAGUCCCUGCGGUCUGAUAAGACGAAAACAUGAAAAUAUCACCGCAUACAUGCACAUUAGCACCCGUGUCAAUCAACCAAUCAGGAGAAUGACAUACCGAAAGAAUAGUGGGAAAUAUACCAUACCCAGCAUCCUUCAUGUCAAUGUCUCCGAUGACAACAUUAGCGGUCUUGCCGCCUUUCCCAGGAUGACGCUUGUCAUAGCGACUGGGGCAACUAGGAGCCCAAUGAUCAGGAUCUGCACACACAUGACAAGCACCUUUCUUCUUGUCACUCUUCUUCUUGAAGUUCGUGUGUUGUACAGCCUUGUUAUUCCCAUCAAACUUUGCUUUACCAUCAAGCUUGCCCUUGUUCUUGAACUUGUGGGACUGGGAGUUUUUCUUCUGUACCAGAUUGGCACUAGAUCCUCCCUCAAUACCUCGAGCACGUGUGUCCUUUGCUCUCGCCUUUUCUUCCACAUCAAGAGUACCAAUAAGAUCCGGGACGAAAAACUCCUGUCUCUUAUGCUUCAGUAAGGUAGCAAAGUUCCUCCAAGAAGGAGGAAGCUUAGUGAUGAUACCCCCGGUAACAAACUUGUCCGGUAGGAUACAAUUGAAGUGCUCAAGUUCUCUAGCAAAUGACUGUAUCUCAUGAGCCUGCUCAACCACGGAGCACUCUUCAGUCAUCCUGUAAUCAUAGAAUUGCUCCACGAUGUACAGUUCAGUGCCGGCAUCCGAGACCCCAAACUUGGCCUCGAGUGUGUCCCACAUAUCUUUUCCAUUGUCAAUUGACGCAUAAGCAUCAACUAUGUUCUCACCAAGAACACUCAAGAGAGCAGCCUUAAACAAGGUAUCCAUUUUCUGAAAAGCUUGUGCCUGUUGGGCAUUUUGCUCUCCUUCAGGUUUGCCAAGAGUGGUGUCAUAGCAACUCAUGGUUUGAAACCAUAAGACUGCUCUCACGCGCCACCUCUUAUAGUGGAUACCCUCAACCAUAGGAGGUCUCAUGGAAGCAGUAAAACCAUUCGAGGUAAAUUGCCUAUAAUAAGGCUUUUGGAUUGUUGGAAAUAUGAGGAAUUUACCGAAUGAUUUUAUUAACAGAAAUAGUAGAUAAAAUAUGGCUAGUAUAGCAGUGAUAAAAUAAGCCAUGUGAUUUGACAAAGAGAAGGUAAACAGCAUGUUCAUAUAUGAACCGUAACUAAACAUAUCUAGAGCAGACAGUAUAGCAGGUUGCACAUAUGAAAUAGAGUCUAACAUACGUAGUGCAGAAACUAGAGCCAAGAACUGUAGCAGGACUUCUAACAGAAAGGAGAAGAACACGUACGGCACAGCAGCAGCAGAAGCGCUGGACUUGGGGUCGGUGUCCUCGCCUGCCAUGUCAUCGAGGAGGUCGUGGACGUCGGGGAAGAAGUCGUCGUCGGGGAAGUAGUCGCCGGCGACCGGAUCGUCCGUGAUGAAGCAGCCAGUAGUCGUGCUGAGCGCUCCCCAAAAACCUUAUCACCCUUCUCCCGUACAGGACUCAAAAGGUGUGGUUCCGGAGGCCUACUGUCCCGACCAGUGGUGCACGCCGCAAGCCGGGAUGAGGAAGAACAUAACAACAGUGCAGUUCUCAGGAACGUGUGGCGAGAGGAGGAAGAGAUUCUGGUGCGUCUCUCUCUGAGAGGAGCGACCUCCCUUUUAUAGGCGCAAGAGAAGAAGGCGAGAGGGCAGCGACGGAAGGUGAAACGAAGAGACGAAGCUGAAGCGAACAGCCAGUAGCCAAAGGGCUGCACCGUGCGCAUUCAAACUCCACUAUCGCAAAAACUUUUCACUUCCAUGUGACCUUUCGUAUACCCGUAGUGCGUGGCAAAAAUUUAGACAUCGGCUCAUUCCCGCAACCCGCGUCGCGUCGUGGCAAGGCGGGCGGCAGAGGAGGAGCGCGUGUGGAUAUCCCUCUUGUUCUCAUGCUCAUAUAAGUGGGGAAGGAGCCUCCCUUAUAAAGAGGUCCAACCCCCUCUAAACUAGUAAUGUGGGACUAAACUUUAGUAGUAUCUCUUGCCUUGCAUAAAUGGGCUAAGUGGGUCUUUAGGAUUUAUUAGGAAUUUCUGAAAUAGUUAUUGGGCUGCCUAAAUAGACUAAAUUCCAGCAGGUUGACGUGGUGCUUCUCGGCUGCGUUGCAGAGCACGUACCUCGGCUCCCCGUCGAUCACCUUCACCACUCCCUGCACCUGCCAUCCAUUCAGUACGUGAUUGUUAAGCAGAGCAUGCAGCAGUCGGCGUGAUCUUGUUACUCGUUUCUCGAAUUGGCGGUGGAUGUUACCGAGUUGGCGGGGCAGACGCGGCGAGCCCUGUCGACGACCUCCUCGGCCCUCCUGCGCAGGUCCGCCUCCACGUACCGCACCACGUCCCCGGCGGCGGCUGAAAUCGAUCGAUCCCCAAAAAUCAGCGCUCCGGCCGGUUCAGAUAAUCAAGAAUUAGUUAGGGAGGGGAUCCCGGACGGCAUGUACCGGGGCCGCCGAGGGUGACGACGGAGGACACGACCGGCUUGGCGUGGACGACGACGAGCUCCGUCGGCGCCCUGGGGCCGGCCGUCUCCGCCACGUACCGCAGGGCCCACUCGAGCGCGCGGUAGCUAUGGUCGCUGUCGUCCACGCCGACCAGUACCUGCAGGCCGCGGGCUAUAUACGUGAGCUGGAGCUGGAUGCUACUUGUUGCCGAUCGGCGUAUGGGAUGUGAAACCGCGAAGGCCAAGUUGUGUGUGGCCGCUGACUGACCGGAGAUAAGGCAACUCUACCGCGCGAUCUCAUCCUGUCCGUGCGCGUCUGUUUGGAAUAAAACGGAUAAACCGGGCAGCCCAGCGCCCGAGAGCAAACGAACUUUUGUCCGUUUUAUGUCCGCUUUCGACCCAUCCUCAACCCAAGUUUGCGCCGUUUUUAGGGUAAACCGGACACCACACGGACGCGCGGGCCGUCUGCGCGUGUCCUCCCCUGGCCCGCCCGUCCGUGGCACAUGGGCGCCUUUUUCUAUCUGCUCCCCUUCCUCCCUUCGGCCGCACCCUCCUCCCGCUGGCAGAUACACGAAUGGCGGUCGGCCAGGCUCGGUGCUUGCCCAAAAGCUCGUCGGCGCACCAUUGCCACUCAUUAAGUGCGAUCACUGCCCAAAAAAGGUCGUGUGCUGCGUGUCUACAACGCUAGAACAUUCCGGAUGGGUGUUCAUCAAAUGCUUAAACGAUGGGGUAUGUGCUCCUUUUAGUUUCGAUUUGUGCUCUAGAUUUGGCUAGUUGUGCUAACUUCAAAUUUUAUUGUGUAGCAUGGAAUCAAAUUUUGAUAUUGAGAAGAAGAGUACAUCGAUAUAUUGAUAAAGCGCAAUUUAGUAGAUGUUUGUGCACUUUUAGUUAGCAUAGAGGCUGUAGAUGAGACAAGUGCACUUGUUGCUAGAUUAGAGGCUAGACACGAGACUAGGUGUGAGGAAGCAACAUCGACUUCUUUAAACUCGAAGAAAAAGAAGCAUGCAAGAUCGAGCCUCCUCCGCAGAUCAACAAUGAGUGCAUCGAAAAGACCCUAGCCCAACUCAAGGGGGCAGUUAUGAAAGUUGGAUAUCUUCUAAAAUGUAUUAGUGUUGUUUUUGUUUUCUUUGGUCUUGCUUUUCUAGUCAAAAUUUGGUGAUGUAUUCUCAUGUGCCAAAAAUGAAUGAUGAAAAAAAGUUAAGGGCUUGCAAAGAAAAAUGUACGCGGAUACGAUGCGGCUGGGAUACGUCUCCGCGCUGGGCGUACGGCCACCGCAUCCCAGAAACUGCCCGGACACGACCCCAUCGCCCUAUCCAAACGGACAGAAUUCGGAUAAAACGGACGUCCGUUUGGGAUGGCGCGGUGGAGUUGGCCUAAUGGAUACUGGCGGCACGUUGCCCCGGUUUCCGUUUGGUUUUCUGGCUUUCCACUUCUCGAUCGUGAUCUUCCCGCUGGACUGGAUGGCGACGGCGACGACAGCGACGGCGCGGGGCAUGCAUGGUGAUUGAUUCUUUUCCUUCGGUGCAUGUUGAUUGGUGUUGCACUCGAGAUGCGUGCUGAGGUUGGCAUUUUUCUUUUUGCCCGCCAAUCACGAGGCAACCUUUCCUUGGUGAGGCCAUCCGAGCGAACGAAGGAAGCUCGUUUAAGCGAGGAUCGUUUGAGGAAAUGCGCCAUGUGCAUGUAAAAGCAUCUUCAACAAGUUAAAAAAAACAUCUUCAACAGGCGCGCUUUGCCUCGGCAUGUAUAAUUUUUUUACACCGCUAAAAUAGUCUUUUUGCACGCGGGGGCGACAGAGGUUUUCCAAAUGCAAAAAACACGGCAACCAAUCUAGUGGCCCCACUUGCAACAGCCUAGAUUUGACAGCUCCCUCUUCCCUAUGAUGACAUUGUACUGGAGCAUCCCCGAAAGGCUUGUUGACCUGGUGAAAGAAACAUAUGUGUGCUCUCGGCUUAGUUACUUUGCCACUGCAAUUCAUGCUUGAACAUAAGAUUGUCCCCUAUUUGGUGCAUAUUUCAUUAGUUAGGUAUAUUUGAGCAGGAAAUGCACGUUCCUGCUAUUGUACUAUGCUUGAACACACAAGAAAAUCUAUCUCACCAUUUAUAAGUUCAAUGAUCUACAAGUUCAUCCAAUUUUUUUUAUCUAUACCACCAAUGAAUACCUAUCAAUGUUAGGACCAACAUAUAAUGAAUGCAAACAACCAAUUGUUAUUCAACUCUCUAAAAAGAUAAGCAAGAGAGUCCUAAUCAUCUCUACAAAAGCAUGUGUUCUCUACCGUGCUCUAACAUGUAUAAGUGAAGUGCAAGAGCAAUUUUAUAAUUUACCUCCACAAAAGAUAUGAGUGAAGUACAUAGAGCAUUCUAAAAAUUUAUGACUCAUGUGUAUCUCUCUCAAGGUGUGUGACCAAAACAUAAUGAUUGCAAUGACCACCAAACAAAACAAAAAACAAAAGCAAACGAUGCUCCAAGCAUAGCACAUAUCAUACACACAAAUAAAAACUCCGAUCCAAUCAAGACAAAACGGAAGUUGUUAAUGAAGAAAGAGUAGAUGCCUUCCAGGGCAUCCCCAAGCUUAGACGCUUGAGUCUACUUGGAUAUUUAAUUGGGGUGCCUUGGGCAUCACCAAACUUGAACUCUUGUCUCUCCUUGUUUCUCUCAUAUCGAUGUCUCCCCUCGAUCUUAAAAACUUCAUUCACAUAAAACUUCACAAAACUUAUUAGAGGGGUUAUUACACAUAAAAAUAAAUCACCUAUCAUGUACUCCCAAGACAAGAUGCAUAAUUAUGCGGAAGGAUUCCUUGUAUUGAAUGCUAAGGCUUCUUGAUUUUUCUUGUAGAUCGCCAUGGGCCUUCUUAGGAUGGCCCUUUGAUGAACCACCAUGGGAGUCUAGAGUCCGGACACCUGACCGGAAGACGACGUGGUGGAUGACCCCUAAUUCAAGACACCAUCACCUAGUCAAAACUCGUUUGGGGAAAAACUUAAAUGUGGCAAAUGUGGAAGGAAUCUUUAAAUUAGGGGUAAAAAUGUGACCGGUUCCUGAGUUGGGGGUAAUUUCUAUCACAAGGGUCAAUCUUAGGGGUAAAAAUGGCAUUAACACUAUUUUCUAUUUUAUAUUAUAACAAACAUAUAGAUGCUCAAAUAUUUUCCGUCCGAAGUGUGCUCACAUCUGUCCAGGAACCGGAAUAUGAUGAUCAUGAUUGGGAGGUGUUACUGUAUCUGUGUCCGAUUUACCCCUUGGUGAACACCCAUCCUGUGUUUAAAAAUAAAAAAAUCUACUAUGUGAAGUUAUAUUUUGUUGUCAUUUAAGGGUUUAUUCAAAAUCAAAGUAGUUAAAAAAUUUGUGAGAUUUGACACAUUAAUUGAAGCAUGGAGCAUGAAGAUUCCAUUUAAUGCAACACAUUAUUUUUUGGGCAUUCUUGUGCCAUAUCGAUGUGCUCUCAUUACUACUAAUAAAAAACAUAAAUGCAACACGUCCAUUUUUUACACUCUUGCACUAUGAUGUGCCUGAUUCAUGGACGAGUAUUAAACUAUUUGCACGCACGAUUUGCCACAUUAGUUGGAGAUAGAGCACAUAGAGUCCAUUUAGUGCAACGUAUACAUUUUAGGCAUUCUUUCACCAUAGGGAUGUACUCUCAUUACUACUAAUAAGGAACAUAAAUGCAACACAUCCAUUUUUGACAUUCUUACACCCUAGUAUGAUGUACCUCAUUUACGGAUGAGUAUCAAACUAUUUCGAUGCAUAAUUCGACACAUUAAUUGGAGUGUAGUAGGCUUCUAUUUUGAGAGAUCACACUCUCAUUAGUACUACUAAUAAGGAACAUGAAUGCAGUGCAUCCAUUUUCGAUAUUCUUGUACCCGAGUAUGAUGUAUCUCAUUUAUGGACGAGUAAAACAAUUACACAUUAAUUGGAGUGUAGUAGCUUACGCAUCAUAAAUUGGAUGCAGCAAAUCCAAUUUAGAUACUCUUAUUUAUGGAAAAGUAUCAAAUUGCUCCUUCCAUACACAAUUUGACACAUUAAAUUGGAGUGUAGUAAGAGUCUAUUUAAGGUAGGACUCCGAGGGAGUGAUCCAUCCCUGCUCCCCCUGUAGGACUUGCAAUCAUAAGUCAUUAGCCAUGUCUCGUUUAUCUGUUUCCAUGCUAUGUUUCCUCCUUGCUUUGCUAACUCCUACCAACCUCACUUCAGCCACCGGCAAUAUCGGAUUCAGCCUGCCUCUCGUAUCCAGCCACCACAAGCUCAACCACACAACCGGUGAAAUCGGGGAGCUCUUGCUGCCUGAGGGUGAUGUGAACCCCAUGAACAUACGACCGAGGGUAGCCCCUGCCGGUUGGCCGAUGUUCAGUGUCGUCGUCGGAGUCGGCAGCGGCAGAGGCCAGCACUUCUAUAAGCUCGCGCUGGACUUCGUGGGCAACCUCACAUGGAUCCGGUGUAAGCCUUGCACCCCAGAGGAGCAGCAGGAGGGCCCAAUCUUUGACGCCGCCCUCUCCCCAAAGUAUGCGCUUGUCAAGCCAACGAGCAUCCACUGCAAGCCCCCCUUCGUCGGCCACGGUCAUGACAAGUGCAGCUUCUCCGGCACCACUUCGCUCGCUGUCGUGCAAGGGUACCUGGCCAGUGACGUGUUCACCUUUGGCGACACCGGCACCGGUCAUAGAAGCUUGGGCGGACUCAUAUUCGGGUGCGCACACAGAGCAGAUGAGUUCUGGAACCACGGCAUUGUCGCUGGUGCCAUGAGCUUGAACAAAAGGUCGACGUCGUUCAAGUACCAGCUUGCCGGGCACGGGUUCGACACUUCAAAGUUUUCUUACUGCCUCUUCUACCACGGCCAACACACCGCCAAGCAUGGCUUCCUCAGGUUCGGCAGUGACGUCCCCAACCACGACCACGCCCACAGCACGGCGUUGAUGUACCA
This 103195-nucleotide long non-coding RNA is filed under the name Triticum aestivum (bread wheat). Its description in RNAcentral is "long non-coding RNA (TAES_LNC021946)". The record is from RNAcentral. Lineage: Eukaryota; Viridiplantae; Streptophyta; Magnoliopsida; Poales; Poaceae.